GAGCAGCUCUGCUCCAGGCAGGCAUGGGCUAAACCUUUAACAUAUUAAUCACGAGCCUUGCUCGCACCAUCCUUCAUUCGACCCUGCUCCAGUGGCAACGGAUGAUAGUGAAUUGGAGAAAGAAGAGGCAAACCAGACAAGCGUAGACCCCACCUAGUAUGCUGCUCUAUUCUCAGCUUUACACCCAGAUUCUGGUUUCAAGCUUCACGUGGAAGGACACCAGUAGAUGCUGAUGGGCGAAAUGGUUAAAAAGGGAAAAAGAAAAAAACUGAGCCUUUCUCGGCCUUCAGAUGUUGUGAACAUAGAGUUAUAGCCACGCAGUCCACGUCAAGGCUGAAAUUGCAUUCGCUGCAAGGGGGAAACCAGAUGGCAGGCAUUACAUUGGAGGUCUACCGAUUGAUCGAAAGCAAGAAAAAGGGUUGAUUAUGAAGGGAGGGGUGUCGCUUCUCUGGGGUAGAUUCGGUGCAGCUCUCCUGAACGAAGAAUAUGCGCCGUGUAGCAUCCAUAGACCUCCUCGCAGGCUUUGCAUUUGAUUCUACUUUUCGUGCCAAAAUGGAGGGAUGUGAGCAGAUGCGAAUGAGCAAGAUGCAGGAUGGAUUCUCAGAAUCCCCAUCAGGCUUAGUUGUGACUAGGCAGACGAAGCAAUAUCCGGCCAUGCACUAACGCUCAACCAUCCGAAUGGCAAGAAGGAAGCCUGUUCACACACAUGGUAACUCCGAUGAUCCUCCUCAUCGUUGGCAGCUGGGCAGUCAAGGCGGGGCAGUGGGUGAGACAGGUGUCCUAGUGUGGACAGCAUGCUAAAUUCGGCAUGACUCGUAAAAGAAGAAACGGCGCGAUUCACAGUGGUGAGCUGAGCUGCGGAUUGGAGAUCAGCACGCAUGACAUUCCAAGCAAGUACAGGCUUCUUCGCUCAGGUUUCGCAGAAUCAAUACAUGAUCACCAAGGAAAAUUAGGAAAUAAAAAUGCGUUUUGAAUGGAGUUAUAGUUGUUAUCAACACGAAGUAAAUGUGGUGAAAUUAAUUGAGUUAAUGCCUUGAAAAACCCCAAACUGAUACACCUAUAACAAAUUUAUGCUAAAAUAAUUUUUUGAUCAUAAAAAACUUCAAACCGGUACACAUUUGACAAAUUUACCCCAAAUCUGUAUAUUUGUGACAAAUUUACCCUCUGUUGAUUUCCGUUAAAUUUUACUAUCGAAUUACUAAAUUAAAGGACACGUGAAAGUUGACUGGUGUAUCGAUUUGUAAAAUUUUUUCUCUGUUUGUCGCAGUUAUACAAUUUUUGUAAUAUUUUGUAGUAUUAUUCCAAUUUAACGGAUGACAUAUUUAUCACAAAUGUGUCAGUUUCAGGUUUUUGGUGAUCGAAUAAAUUAAUUUAGGAUAAAUUUGUCACAAGCAUAUCAGUUUGGGAUUAUUUAUGAUCGGUUAUGGUAAAUUUGUCACAGGUGUACUAGUUUAUAAUUUUUCAUGGUCAAAAAAUUAAUUUAAGAUAAAUUUGUCAUAUGUGUAUCAGUUUGGAGCUUUUCAGGAUAUUAACCCAAAUUAAUUUUACCGCACUCCCACAUCAUUUGAUGUUGUGUUUCAGUGCUAAUUUGUACAAUUUUUUUUAAUGCUUUAAUGCAAUGGUUAACGAAACUAAAGUAGCCCAUGAAAAGUUUCAUAUCUUGUUCAUUUAAAGUCAGCUGCAACAAUCUGACCAAAAAAUUAAAAUCAGCCACAACUAUAAUUAAUUUUCCAUAAAUUAACCAAUAAAUAAAACUCCAAACAUUGGUUAAGAUCAUAAAGGUGCAUCACCUUGGGCUAGUCUAUACAUUUAUUAGAAAUUCUUAUCCAACUUACUAUGAAUGUUACUUACUUAACACAAUAUUGCAAUGACUUUUUUAUAAAUUACUAAAGUGGAAUUAACUUGACAUGACUUUAUAGUUUAUAAAACUAAAUUCACCUUAUAUGUAAAAGUAAAGCUUACAUAUGCUGGGUCAUGUCAUUUUUCUGAGGGAAAAAAAAACUCUCUCUCUCUCUCUAUGAGAGUUUCCAAAGGGUCUCAAGGGAGGCUUCGAUGUUCACACAAAUAUGGCUGGGCCAUGCGGUAUUACAUGAUAAUCUUAUGUCUACUCGUGGGCAAAAAUGGGACUACCGUGAAAGUUGGGGUUUUUUUAAACAAAAAAAAAACAAUUCGAGGCAAAAUUAAGAUUUUCCUGAAGUUUUGCUCUGCGACACUUUAAAUUUCUUUACAACAUUAUUUCACAAUUUAAAAACCUCUAGAAUCAGUCCAACAACGUAAAAUCCAUACAAAACCUAAUUUACAGUUUAACUAAGAAAACUUCUUCAAUUAGAUAAAUAAAAGUUUAAAAUCCUAACCAAUUACUAAGAAAUAUAAAUAAUCCGGCUUGACCCAGCCUCUCAAACGUGCAUGUAGCGAGAGCCCCUCGUCUCAUCUUGGCCAGACUCUGUUCUCUCUCUCUCUCUCUCUCUCUCCAUUUGCUCUAGUUAUUCCUUCGCAAUGGCAUCAACUGAAGCAAGACCAAAGAAAGUGCUAAACGAGACACUUGGGCUUGGGCUUAAUGUUUUGCUCUUAUUUAUAAUUUUUUGCCAGCCUGGUUAUUGCAACUUUAAUAGGAAAGUUCAAAGGCGUUCCUCCACUCCAGUGGUGAAGGCAGGGACAGCAGACUGGCAUAAAAGACGACAGCCUGAAACUGGAGGGAUCAUUGUCAAUUUGGAGUCUGCUCCGGUUUCAGACAGUCGUCCUUUAUGCCACUAUGCAUAAAAAGAACCUCAACAAUUGUUACUAGAAGAAGAACGGUCAAUUGUAGUAGCUAUAUUAAUCAAAUAUUAUUCUUGACAUUGAAGCUUCUAACCACUUUGAAAACAUUAUGAGUGUUAUAGACUUCCUUCUUUUUCCAAUAAAUUUCUCGAGAAAAUUACAAAAAAAAAAAAAAAAUCUUAACUCUUUUAAUGAUUUGUUUCUCAGCUAAUUUAGCUUGAAAAGUGCUUAUGUGAAUGUCAAAUAAGCAACUCCCAUCCUACUUGGCCGGAUUGGCAAAAGGCCGACGCUAACAUAAUCACUAGAGAUCAAAACGGCGGCGUUUUCCACAAUAAUUUUAAAAGAAAAAAAUCAUCGCUGAGCUAUUUUCUUAUCCAAAUCCUCAAACGCUCACCGACCCCUCGUCCAAAGAAUUCUAACCUGAAUUCAAUGAGAUCUCACUCAAAUCUCUUCAAAUCUCAACUCAAAUCGAACCAUUCUUGCUUGAACCUGAGUCGUUUCUUUCCACAAUUAGGAGAAAAUGCAGAUGUUUUCUCCCAUCCCAAAAGAGUUAUUUUAUAGUAUAAGUUUAUAACCCCAUAACUGCUUUGCUUAAUUAGAGCAGAUUCUAAAUGUGAGGCUAUAAUGGUAAACAUGGGAUAAGACAUCAAAAUUUGAGAUUUUGCUCAUACAGAAUAUUAAUAGAUAAAAUAGAAAUACGAAUAAUCUGCAGCAUUAAUUUUUUUUACUUUUGAGAAUACUUUUAUCCCGAUAAAAAGGAAAUUGAAAAUUCUCAAUACGAAUAGAAAUUUUAAAAUCAAGCUUUAUCGUAUGCCAAUUUGAACAUUUUGACAGUAACCGGUGCUAUUUUCCCUUUUGACCGAACCAUUUUUUACGCGACCUUUCUCGUUCUAAAGGAUGCAUUUGCAAAACUGAAAUUGAUUCCCAAAGGAGCAUGGAAAAAAGCGUUUUCCGAAGGAUUUCAUCAAUAUACGAAAAUCGACGGUCGCGAUUGUUUUGGCGUAGGAACCAAAACUAGAGACAGCUUAUACGGUGGCAUGGUAUGGGAAGUCGCCACGUGGCGCGCCGUGGAGCUUGGCCUUUCAGCUUCUCUGCUGGGGCACUUCCGACUCUGAUAGAGAGAGAGAGAGUGGUCGCCGGACGCUGGUGGUUGGCGACGGCGGAAGAGAGGAUGGCCGUGGCGGCGAGCCUCUGCAACCGCAUCCCCUCUCCGUUCCUCGGCGGCUUCCCUCCUCCUCCUCCUCCUCCUCCUCAUCCCCUCGCCGUCGGUCUCUCUCUCUCUCUCUUCGUUUCUAGAGUUUCGAGCUGACUGCGCGUCUUCCAUGGAGUUCGCUUUUUACUGUCUUCAUGUUGCGGAAUCUUCUUGAACGAAUCCGAAUGUUUUGCCAGAAAAGCUGAUUCCUUUCUUGUGUUUCGCGCGCCUGCUUCUUCAAUCUCACGACGAUUUCUCAUUUUCUCCUUCUUCUUCUUCUGCACCUGCGUUUUUGAAUGGAGGAGUUGUCGGUUGAUGAUCGGAGAAUGUGAUGCUGUCGCCCAAAUCCAAACCCCUCGCUCGCUCGCGCAGUCGCCCGAAUCUCCCCCGAACCUCAACUCAAAUCUCCCCCAAACCAUAGGAAGCACAGUUCGGAAGAUCAAAAUUAAGAAAGAGUAGAUGCUCGUGGAGGAGAUGUUUCGAAGUGGGCCUUUCAAAAGUGCAUGGAAUGUUGAAGUCGUAGUCACUUUCCAUGCAGCGAAAGACAGAGCGUCUACACUCUUCACGGCAAAUGUCGACAGCGCUCCUUCUGAUGCAAGAAGAAAAAGGAUGUGCGGGGUAAUUUAUCGAAAAACAAUUACGUAUAAUAUGAUGCACCGUAAGCUAUGUGGAUAAGGUUCACCAAAGUAGUAGUUACAAUUAAACUUGUAUUUUUAUUAUCUUUGAAUAAAACUCAAUUUCAGUUUAAAAAAUUUAAUAAUUGUCCACAUUGUUUAUCUUGAAAACAAAAUAUAGAUCUAAGUUGUUAUAGACCUAGUUCACAUAUACAACCUAUGGCUUCCGCUAGUUAGACUAAAUUUAGAUGCAUAGGUCAAAAGUUGGCAUUUGUAUAAAUUAUGGCGACUAAGAUCCAUGAGAACAUUUCAAGAAAGGACAAACAAAAUAGGGAGGUACUCUUUCGAGUAAUUAUAAGUAAACCAAUUGAAAUGUUAGAAAGAACUACAUUUGAAAAAAGGAAAACCAGAGCAGUGUAGAGCUCAUAUAAAAAGGUUCUUGGAAACCAUUCUACUCUAACCUAACUUUACUAGGAACUAUAAUAGUAAGAUUGUGAACUAAGUAGUCCUAACAAUGACACACGACACACAACAUAUCAUUUUUCAAAAAAUAGAGAAUUUCCACAUGUCAUGACAUGUUGUAUAUAAAAUGAUAACUUUUUCUUCAUUAUUUUGAUUUGAUAAAUUCAAUUGCAUUCCAUUCCAAUAAUCCAUAAAAGUUGAAGGAAGAAAAAUCAAACAAUCCACAUUCCACUAUUAAAUUUAAUAUUUAACAAAAAGUAGAAAAAUAAUAAUAAUACACGUUCCACCAUCAAAUAUAACAAGAAGUCUUUCUUUCCCCAUUUUUUUUUUUUUUUUAUAUAUAUAUUUACAUUUUGACCUAUCAUUUAUUGAAAAUUUUGAAAUUAACCUCAUGCAUAUCAAAAUCACGUGUCGAAAUUCCAUACUCACAUGUCAAGAGACUUGACCAUGUGUCGGAUUUUUCGACACUCAUUCAUCACGUGUUGGAACGUAUCGGAGUGUCAAACACAACACGAAGGCUUCAAUAUUUCUUAAAUUGUGAACCAAAUUCUAGUAGUACAAUUGCUUUUGCUGCCAAUGUCAUCUCAGUAGCAGAAAAGCCAUGGAAAGAUCGGGAGGUACAUUACAUACUUCAAAACACCAACUUACCCGAAACAAAUAAAUUGCAACGAAUAUCAGAACUUCUGGAUCAAAUUAUUCCCUCCGACUUAUCAUUCACGAGGAAAGGAAAGGCAUGAGGAGAAUCAGAAACGCAAUGUGGUCAUAGCAAAACCAAUCGCAUAAUGACAAGUUAACAGGGAACAUGCAAGAGCAAUUUAGCAUAAAUAUUGCAGUACUUUCGGCUAGUUUCGGGAAACGAAACACAUUCCAGAGAACAUGAAGCAUCCCAGAACGUCUUAUUCUCUUUUGUUGUCUACACUGCAUAAUCUGAAUAAUCAUAAUUUACGGCUUAAUUACGAAAAUUCCUGCACUUAGAUAAAUAAAAGUUGUUGCUACCAGCUAGAAUUAAUCCGUCUUGUCGAGUUCUCCCAAGCGUGCAUGGAGGGAAAGCCCCCUUUGUUUCCUCUCUCUCUUUUUCACCGUUUCUUUCCUUCUUUUCUUUUCUUUUCUUUUUUGUUCUUCUUGGCUAGGCUCCGUUUUCUCUCCUUCUUUCUGCUCUUGUAAUUUCCCUUGCAAUGAAGCAAGACUAAAGAAAGGGCUAAAACGAAACACUUAGGCUUGGGCUUAGGCUUGGGCUUAAUGUUUUGCUCUUAUUUAUUAUUUUUUGCAAGCCCGUUUCUUGCAACUUUAUUCAUGAAGAUAAAUAUAUUAGGGUAUUAUGUGCUGAUGGAUCCUAUGCGAAGUGAGGAUAAGGUCACUCGAAAUUAAAGUUGGGCAUAUAACUUUUUUAUGAAAAAUCAUAAAUCUAUUAUAUUUAUGUCAAUUCAGUCAUUUUGACUAAUUUUCAUUAGAAAUUACUGAUAUGGACAUUAGUUGUCCUGCAUGGCACACCUUGCCCUAAUAUGGAUAAUUUUUUUAUAGUAAUUCAAUUUUUUUAUUUGUUAUUCUUUUUAUUCUUUUUUUUCUCUCUUUUUUCUCAUCACCCAGUUCUUCCAUCACCAUGUUCCAAGACAUGGAUUUUUCUUCUCUUGCAUGAGAAAACUCGAAACUUUCAUUCCCUGCUCUAGAAGAAUUCAUCGAUCCACAAGGCAGAUAUCGACAUGCUCCCAAAAUACCUACCUCCACUGAUGUAGACGAACAUGGAAAACAAAAAAGGACUCAUGUUACUGAAGCCAUCUUGAAUUGGCAAUUGGAGACUUUGUUGGCACACAACAAUGCGUUCAAAAUCACCUAGGUGAGGGUCGCCGUUGCCCACCAUAGGCUAGGCUAGGCUAGGCCAAGUGAGAUCGAUCCUAAGAAAGACUGCCUUGGCUUGGGCAAGGCCUUACGAGGGUUAGCCUCGCCUAGGCCAAAUUUGGUGAGGCUAGCUCGCUCGGCUAUUGCCUAUGAUUAGCAAAAGGAGGAAGAAAGGAAAAGAAAAAAAGAAAAAAAUUAGAGAAAAUAAAAAAUAUAUAUUAAAUUAUUAUUAAAAUUUUUCCAUGGCCAUCCAAUCAGUAUUUAGUCAAAAUUAACCAAAAUAAUUAAAUUUAUACAAUUAUAAGGUUUAAGACUAAAUUAAUAUAAAUGCGAUAAGCUUAUGGCUUUUCUCCCUUGUCAAUAUAAACAUUUGAUAUUUAUUUUUUUCAUGGAAAGUGACACGGAUAUCAAUUUAAUAAUCUUUCUUUUGACAUCAAUCUAAUACUCUUUAUUUUUUAACGUCCCCCAUGCAUUCACGUGCUUCAAAGUUGUGUCUCGACUUUUUUUAUUUUACUUCUUCGAGAAAAUAUUAUAUAAACUUAUAAGUAAUCCGAUGGAUGGAAGAAAUCAAUUAAAAUACGUUAUUAGUCUUUUUCAGUCCUAAUUUAUAUUGAUUACAUAUAUCCGUGAAAUGUAAUUAUUUGAUCUAGCAAACUUAGUUUAUGUAAUACUUGCCCGCGGGAUAAUUAUAAAAAGGGUUUUAAAUCUAUUGUACUUAUGAUAAUUUAGUUUUAAACCUUUGAAUUUGACUAAUUAAGUCCUCAACUUUUUGACAAUUUGUCAAUUCAGUUCUAAAUAUUUCAAUCGGGUCACUUUAGCUCUAGUCAUUUUGAUAGUCACAUCGACGUUGCCUAAACCUCGAUGUCAACGAUUUCCAAUUAAAAUGGUCCAAAAGGAUUAAAUUGGUCAAUCGUAAAAAAAUUUAUGACUCUAUUAAUACAAUAUAAAGGCUUAUGACUUAAUUGACACAAAUUUAAUAAGUUUGAACUUUUUUUUUUUUUUGGGUAACUUCUCCCUUGCCCGUACUUCUUACAUAUUCUUCUCCCUCGAGAUAACCUUAAAAAUGUUAACGAUUAAAUAAGUGUAAGUAUCAGCUCUCCAACAACUUAGUGUCGUUGGCAAAAAAUAAUAAAAUACUAACUAAAAAAGUGAGUGUGACCGAACUACAUAGCUUUUGGAUCUUAGGCAGCUUUUUCCGUGUUGGCAUCUUAUUUUAAGUUUUGCGGCUAUAAAUAAUUCAGACGGUAUCUUCUUUACCAAAAAAAUAAUAAUUCAGACGGUAUCUUGACCCAUUGGAGUCGCCUGGAGACAUCACAUGCUCUUCUGUAAGGGCAGCACGCUUGUGAGCUGAGAGAAAGAUCCAAUCUCUAGGCCUCGAACGCGGAACAGUACUGAGAAUAUUUCUCCCGCUUAUAUCUUCUUCUGCUCAUGAUUAGAGAAAUAUUCCUACAUCUAUAUCUUUUACGAAUAGGUUAUAAAUUAUCAAAAUUACGGGAAAAAUACCAAAAUAAUCCUAAACUUUUUGCAUUGGUACCCAAUUCAGUCAUAAACUUUUUAAUUGGAUCAUUUUAGUCUCAAAUAUUUUUGUAUUGAUACCAAUUCAAUUUAUCCGGCUAAUUUAAACCGUAAAUUGUUGACGUAGCUGCCAGCGGUCUUAUGUGGCGCCAUGUGGACAUUUAUAUAUUUUUAUAUUUUUUUCAGAUUUUUUAAAUUAUUAUUUUCCUUUCUUCCUUUUUUUCUUUUUUUCUUUUUUUUCCUUUUCUUUUCUCCUUACUCCUUGGUCCGCGAGGUCACUGGCCAGCCGACCAUCAUCAGCCAUAGGUUGGUUGGGGCGAGGGGCCUCGCACCCUCCCUAGCCCCCGCCCAAAUCUAGGCGAGGGCCUCUGUGCCCUCGUUGGCCACAGACGAGGGUGCAGCUAGGGGUGAGCAUGGUCCGGGUUGGUCCGGGCCACCCCCUAACCCUAGGACUAACCCGUAUAGUGUCGGUCCUCAAUUUUUAGGACCGAUGACCGACCCUAUUGAGCCUGGGACCAAGGACUGGACCGACCCAAUGGGUUCGGUCCGGUUCCAGGGUUAACCCGGAACCGAUCGAUAAUUUUUUUCAUCUUUUUUUUCAUACUUCCUAAAAAAGUAAACCUACAAAAGUAUCUCAAUCAAUGUAUGAAAUUAACAAUGUGGCAUAUAAGACGAAAAGAAGUAUCUCAAUAAUUUUUUUUCGUCUUGUAUAUACAUAACUAGAUCUAAUGAAUUUUUUUCAUCAUGCAUAUACAUAACUAGAUCAAACACAAAGCUUCCCAGGUUCUUUUCCAACAGUAGAUAAGCCACUAGGAUAGAAGGAAAAAACAGGCCUAACGUCUAUCUAAAUGCCCGCAUUCCAAAAUUGCAAGAGCCAAAGUGAUUUGAAUAGAAUAUACAGCGCAAGUCCCCCUGUUGUAAGUGAGAAACUUAAAAAACAAACAGAAAAAUGCGUUCCCAAGUGAGUAAUUAAAACAGAUAAAAAUGCCAAGGAAUGUACCUCCAUUGAGAGCCAACCUAUUGAUCAGCAAAGUAAUUCAAUUGCUGCACUGGAAAAGACAACGGAAUUUACAUCAUAUGGGCCUGACUAUGAUGAAGUUGAUUGUUCUUCUCAAGACGUCUAGCAUUGGGAAUGUUUGACAAUGGCGUUCAUGUUCACCCAUCAUCAAAUGCUUUUCAGAAAAUCCUUUGCAGAGCAAAGGAGAAGAUACUUCAGGUAGCUUUCAUACACUUGCAGCCAUGUUCCUCAGUCAGCAAGCCGUCCCUCCGUUAUUUGCAUGUAAGAAGCAGAGCAAAUAAACCAAAUAUGUAAUCGACCUGUGGUGAUAAUCUGAGUACACAGCUCAACCCAAAUAUUCUCCACUACUGAUUCAAAUACCAUCCACUUCAAGCUAUGCCUCUUCUUUGAAAUAUCUAUGGUGAAUAGGACAUUGUAAGGAUUAGAUUGUGAAAAAAGAAGGUGUAUAACAGAAAACUAGGAUCUCUCUCUCAAAGCACAUACACAAUAGGCUAAUCAGGAUUUAUGACAUAAUAUACUUCAUUACAAAGUAAAGUUAUUGCUAUUAACAUCUAUUUAAUUCAAUAUCAUCCUUAGACUGCUUAAUCAUUUGUAUGAAUUUCACCUAUUUGAAUAACAUUAGGCACCAAAAGCACUAACAAACGAGUAUACAUACCAGUUAAAUACACAGACUUCGUACCGAACCUAGAUAUAUGAGGAUCAAAAUCCACCUUCCACCUGUCCAAAUAUUUGCUGUCUUGGCAGGUUCGAUAUAGUGAACUGUCUCCCAGAUUUAAAACAACUUCAUUAAUGGGACAUGAGACUCAGUGAGAUGACGAUUGGAAGGAAACUUGGCAGUAAUCUGAUUUACUCUGCAUCACAUUUCAGAUGAAAAAGUGGACAGAUCUCAGAGACAAUGGAGAGUUCUUCUAGAAAAGGAAGAAGUUCCAUCUGUCACGAGAUAUUUGACCCAAAAUUCCAUCGUUGCUACAUCUGCAGAAAAACCCCUUUCAACCAUUUCACCGACAAGUUGCGUGGCUCUAGUAUUUUUGUUAUCUCUUAGUAGUCUUUUGGAUGAUUGUGUUAUAAGUGACCCCAUCUGGGAGGUCAUAGGGACUAAUACCCAGCCAAACCAAUCACGUACACGAAGCAAACAUGGAAAAAAAAAAUCAACACAAAAUCAAGAGCAUACAUGAGGUUGAAGAUCUCAAAUGAAGCACAAAGUAGAACUCACUAGCCAAGUUGUGUUCGGAAAGCAAGGGCAAGCCGAGCGUUAGGGUUUCUAAUUAGGGCUUCUACUUUUCCUUCUAAUUUACUCGGCGAUAAGCGAGGUGACCGGCGCGAGUGGCGAGCGGCAAGUGCGAGCAUCGAGUGGGGCGAGCGUCAACUAGCGAGCGGCAAGAGUUGAGCGAGGCCAGCGGCGAGCGGCGAGCGUUAAGCAAGGCUAGCGGUGAGUGGCGAGUGGCGAGGGUUGAGCGAGGCUAGCAACGAUAGCAAAGGGCGAAUAGCAAGCGGCGAGCGGCGCGAGCGGCUCGGGCAACCAGAGGCGAGCAAGGAUGUCGCUACUUUUGAUUUUGGCAAAUUUGAAGAACAAAUAAGACAAAAUGGAAGAGAACAUACUUUGGAGAAGGAAGCCGCGAGGAGAUUUACAGCGUAGACUUUGCAGUUUGGACCGUUUGGACGUUGCGAGUCCGUGACUGUGANNNNNNNNNNNNNNNNNNNNNNNNNNNNNNNNNNNNNNNNNNNNNNNNNNNNNNNNNNNNNNNNNNNNNNNNNNNNNNNNNNNNNNNNNNNNNNNNNNNNNCGGCAUAAACUUCACGCCUUUUGGAUGCUGUUUGUUCGUGACAGUGAGCUGAGGAGUCAACAACUUCAACAUAAUUUUACUUAGGUUUGACCGUUUGAAUAUAUAAAAGAAUUAUUCCUUACCAAAAAAAUAUAUAAAAGAAUUAUAAAUAAUAUUAUAUAAAUAAUAUACAGAGUUGGUCCGGGUUGGACCGACCCAAAACUCUUAGGACCGAGGACCAACCCGCACAGUGUUGGUCCUGAAAUUUCAGGACCAAAGAUCGACCCAGUCCCCUUGGGAACCGGACCAGGACCGGCAGGGUUGGGCCGGUCCAGGAUCGGUCCAGGGUCGACCCUAAACCGCUGCUCACCCCUAGGCGCAGCAGCCCUCACUCUUGGCAGGCGAGGGUGCAGCGGCCCUAGCCCAGAUCCAAGCGAGGGCACGACGUCACAGGCGAGGCCGCCGUGGCCCUUGCCUGGAUCUAGGCGAAGGCCCAAUGGCCUCGCUCGUGGCGAGCAAGGGCCAUGAAGGCCUCACCUAUGGCGCCGUGCCCUUGCCUGGAUCUGGGCGAGGGCUGAUGCACCCUUGCCUGCCACAGGCGAGGGCUGUCGUGCCCUUGCCUGUGGCCGAGGAGGGCGCAAAGGCCCUCGCCGACCAAUAGGUGAGGGUUUGGACCCUCGCUUGGAUUUGGGCGAUGGUUAACGCCCUCACUUGUGGCCGAUGAGGGUGCGGCGGCCCUUGCUAGUGGCAGGUGAGGGCGCGGGGCCCCUCGCCUUGACUAGCCUGUGGCCGGCAAUGGUCGGCCGGUUGACGACCUCAUCCGCCAAGGGGUAAGGAGAAAAGAAAAAAAAAGAGAAAAAAAUAAUUUAAAAAAUUUGAAAAAGAAUUAUAAAAUUUGUUCAGGUGGCGCCACAUAAGACCAUGAAUGGUGAUGCACCUUGCAGUGACUAGAAAUUGGGAUAUGUUGUUAUCGAAGAGAUUGAAGAUGACCUCAACAAUUGUUACAACGAGUAGAAUGGUCGUUUCUAGCAGCCAUAUAAGGGGUAGUAAUUGUUCUUGAGGUUAAAGCUCCUGACCUCUUUGAAAACAUUGUUGAGUGUUGCAGAUUUCCUUCUUUUUUCUCGUGAAUUUCUUUGUAGCUUUCUGUUUGGCCAGUGGGUGGAUAUGUGUCGUUUUACAUUCUUUGCUGGUGUACUAUGUUCUUGUUCAUUUAUCCAUGGGAUAACUUGAUGCCUUGGUGAUGCGAGCACAGCUACAAUUUCAAAAGCUUUGAUCUAACACUAACAUCAUCGAGUGAUUCAAAUCAAAAUGAAACAUGUCAGCUUUUUCCAUCUCUCGCAUAUACACCAUUAUUGCUUACUAGCUAUUCCGAUGAUAAUAUAGGUGGUCUGUCAUUGCAGAAUGUGGGAGUCGUUACAUCAUGUAGUCUUCAUUUUCCCUCUGCGAGGCAACAGCUAGAUCUUUGCUGUGGCAAAUGCAUUAAGUUGCAAUCAAAGACUAUGUUGUCUCCCUGGCUGAUUAAAAUUCAAGCUGCCGAGGCCAAGGUAAGAAAAGAACGCUGAAAUGUUGAUUUUUUUUUUUUUUUUCUGCUGUAGGCUUUAGUUCAAGAUUACUGAAUUUUGGCAGACUGUAGAUGUUAGAACCGAACUUUUCCCAUCUUCAUUUGCUGUAGAAUUUACAGUUCAUGUAUGCAAAGCUAGAUAGAUAGUAUGCAGAUGCUCGAGACAAUUCUGUACAAACUACACUCAUCUGAUGUUCAUAUUUGUGGAAAUAAUUAGACCAGCUAGCUUCCUGACAAGUUGAUUCAUAAUCAAAUUAGGCAUCCCAAUGUUAAUACUUUGAUAAAUGACAGAGCACAAAAGGCUUGCACUUCAAAAAUAUGAUAUUUGUCUGUUUUUACUGCAGAGAACAACAAUCUUGGAUGUCGACGUAGCAGUGAGUCCAAUUGACUUGCAUAAAAACGUAAGUCGAAACAUCAAACAGAAGGGUGUUCUCGUGACUCCCAAAUUCUUUUCGUCUUGAUAAGGGCAUCCCCAACUCUGCAACUAAAUGCACUUCGCUUGCGGCUUUCGGAGACCAGCAUUACACGUCUUUUCUUGAGUACCUCCAAUUAUGUGCCCACUUUUUCCUGCAGAAUUUCAACUUUUUCAUCUAGUUCAGGCUGUUCAGCAAAAGCAGGGUCUUCAGUUAUUUGCACUAUUCUAGCAACUUGUAUUAAACACUGUUUGGUAUUAGCGCAUUUUCUGCUGAUUAUUACUUAUUGUGUAGAUGAGUCUAUAUAUAUGAUGUUAAAAAGGAGCAUGGCUAUUCACCACAUCACAUGGCAGCAUCUUGUAUCCAGUUUUGGCUAAAGGCUGUUUAGCAAGAGAGCACUACUGUGAUACAAGUGCACCAUGGUAAAACACAUUUGAUAUGAGUAAUCAAUGGGCAAGGGCAUUCAUCAGUCAUAAGCACCCAGAAUUGUGUUCCUUAUGAUAUUACGAAGGGCACAAUGGUACUGCUCACUGGUAUUAUCUUCGAUGAACAAAGCAUAAAGUGUGAGUUGAUGGAAUUUAAUGGAAAUUUUUUACUGUAGUGGAAGGCAAUCAGUGAUGAUUAAGAUUGCAUUGCACACAACUGCAAAAGCCGAAGCUGCACAAUUUACCACAGACACUUCAUAGUAGCAUGGUUAGGUAGAUUUAAAAUGAGAAAGAGUAUAUGCUUGCGGAGGUGAUGUUUCAAAGUGGGCCCUUUAAAAGUGCAUGGAGUGUUGAAGUCGUCACUUCCGUGCAGUGAAAGACAGAACAUCCAUGCUCUUCGUGACAUAUGUCAACAGUGCUCCUCAUACGAGAAGAGAAAGGAUGUGCAGGGUGAGCAGGCCGUUGCAUCUGAGGGCAAUUCAGCACAUAAUUUAUGGAGCAGAGAAGAGCAUCUCUGUGCUGCAUGGCAAUACGCUAAACAUUUGACACAUUCGACACAAGCCUUGCACGCACCAUCCUUCUAUGGCAGUUCCAGUGGCGGAGAAUGAUAGUGCAGUGGAGAAAGAAGAGGCAAUCAAGACAACCGUGGACCUCACCUAUAUGUUCCAUUCACAAGCUUCACACCCAAUUUUGCAGUCAAGCUGUGUGUGGAAGACCAGUGGAUGCUGAUGGUCGAAAUGGUAAAAAACCGAGUCCUUUGUGCCUCCAGAAGGACAACUAGCUAUUCUGAUGAUAAUAUUGUUUGUGUUUGUCGUUACAGAAUGACAGAUUGGUUACGUCAUAUAGUCAGCACUUUACCUUUGAGAGGUGAGAACUAGAUCUUUGUUCCGGCGAAUGCAUCAACUUGCUUCAGCAAAUAAGAUUUAUAAAGACAGCGACUUCUUUUGUGAUGUAUCCUGUUUGUAUCCAGAAGCUCUUAGAUCUGAAUAAUGCAAGCUAAGACUAUGUUGUCUCACUGGUUGAUUGGUUUUCACCCAGGAGCUAGAAUUGUUGCUUCAGUCAGAGAUUCAAGUUGCCAGGGCCAAGGUGAGAAAAGAAUGCUGAAAUAUAGAUUUCUUUUUUGGGAGGCUUUAGUCCAAUAUAACCGAAUUUUGGUAGACUGCAGAUGUUAGAACAGAACUUUUCCCAUCUUCAUGUGCUGGAAAAGAAUUUACAGUUCAUGAAUGCAAAGCCAUAUUGAUAGGAUGCAAAAGCUUGAGUCUAGUCUGUUCAAACUACACCUGUCUGAUAUUCAUUUUCGAGGAAAUAAUAAGACCGGCAAGCUUCCUGACGAGUUGAUUCACAAUCAACUCAUGCAUCCCAAUUUUAGUGCAUUAAUUCAUAACAUGAAGCAAACAAGUCUCAUACCCAAAAAUAUGAUAUUUAUCUGCUUUUGAUGCAGAGAAUAACAAUAUCAGAUGUCGAGUGUUAGUAGUGAUUCUGAUUGACUUGCUUGAGAACGUAAGUUGAACUAUCAAACAGGAAGGCUGUCUCCUGCCUCCCCAAUUCUUUUCCUUCUGGAUAGUGCCUCCCCAACUCUGCAACUACAUGCACUUGCUUGCAUCUUUUUGAGACCAGCAUUGGCCCGUUAUUUUUUUUUUUUUGGUAAAUACCAUAUUUUCUGUUGAUUAUAACUUAUUGUGGAGAAUGAGUCUAUCUAUGAUGUUAAAGAAAGAAGAAGAACAGGGCUAUUCACCACAUCACAAGGCAGCAUCUUGUAUCUCUUUGUUGGCUAAUUGUCAGUUUUGUGAGAAAGCACUUCUUUGAUGAAAGCAUACCAUGGGUAAAACGCAUUAGAUAUGAGUAAUCAAUGCACAGGGGCAUUCAUCAGAGCUGGAAGCACCUAGAUUCAGUCUUUUUUCUCUCAAAGGUCACAAUAGUACUCACCGGCAUGAUCUUUGAUGGACGAAGUGUAUAGUGUGAGUUGAUGGAGGUGAUGGUGAUAUUUUAUUUUCGGUGGUAAUUGUGGAAGGCAAUCAUGAUUGACAUUAAGACUGCACUGCACAAGAAUGUGAAAGUUGAAAGUGCAAAAUUUACCAGACAAUGCAUAGGAAGUGCACAUCAGUAGAUCUAAUAUAAGAAAGAGCAUAUGCUCUUGGAGGUGAUGUUUCAAAGUGGGCCUAUUAAAAGUGCAUGGAAUGUUGAAGUCAAAGUUGCAUUUUACGCAGAGAAAGACAGUGUCAAUGCUCUUCACGACAUGCGUUAGUGAGCGUUCCUUCCUGAUAUGGGAAGAAGUGGCUGUGCCAGGGCGAACGGGGUGUUGCAUAACUGAGGGCAAUUCAGCACAUGAUUUAUGGAGCAGAUGAGAGUAGAACUGCUCCAUCGGCAGUGGAUGAUCGUGAAUUGGAGAAAGAAGAGGCAAUCCAGGCAACCAUAGACGUCACCUAGUAUGCUUUGCACUCGAGCUUCACGUGGAGGGACGCCAGUAGAUGCUGAUGGGCGAAAUGGCAAAAAAACUGCACCUUUCUUGCCCUCCAGGUCUUGUGAACCUAGACUAUAGCCGCACAGUCCAUGUCAAGGCUGAAAUUGCACUCGCUGCAGUGGGAGACUAUAUGGCAGGCAUUACAUUGGAGGUCUACCAAUUGACCGAAGGCAAGAGAGAUGGUGAUCAUGGAGAGACGAGCAUUGCAUCUCUGGGGGGAGAUUUGGCCCAGUUCUCAUGGAGAAAGAACACACACGUGUACCAUCGAUAGACCUCCUCGCAGGCUUCGCAUUUGAUUCUACUUUUCGUCUCCAAGAUGAUGGGAUGUGAGCAGAUGCUAAUGAGCAAAACGUUGGAUGGUCGCAUUCUCAGAUUCCUCAUCAGGCUUAGAGUUGUGACUAGGUAGACGAAGCAAUAUCAGGCCGUGCAGCAACGCUUAACCAUCCGAACAGCAAGAAGGAAGCCCGCUCACACGCAUGGCAACUCCGACGAUCCUCCACAUCAUCGCCUACUGGGCGGUCAAGUCGGGGCAGCGGGUGAAACGGGGGUCCUAGGGCGGACAGCAUGCCAAAUUCAGUGCAACUGGUGAAAGAGAAAUUGACACGAUUCACGGCAGCGGGCUGAGCCACGGAGCGAAGACCAGCACGCGAGACAUUCCAAGCAACUACAACUUCCGCUUAGGUUCCGGAGACUCAAUGCAUGAUCGCCAAGGCAAAUUAGGAGAUAAAAAAAACGUUUUAAAUGGAGUUAUAGUUGCGUGAUGUCAACAUGAAGUAAAUGAGGUGACAUGAAUUGUACCCUACUCCCGUAUUAUUUGAUGUUGUAUUUCAGUGUUCAUUUCUACAUUUUUAUUUUAUUUUAUUUUAUUUAUGCUUCAACGCAAUAGUUAAUAAAACUAAAGUGGCCCAUGAAAAGUUUUAUAUCUUGUUCAUUUAAAGUCAGCUGCAAUUAUAUGAGGUCUUAAAAGUGCAUUCACCUUGGGCUAGUCUAUACAUUCGUCAGAGAGUUCUUAUCUAACUUACUCUAAAAGUUACUUACGUAAGACAAUUUUGUGAUAACAGUUUUGUCAUAAUUGUUUAAAAAACCAAAUUCACCUUCUUCUUUUUUUAAAAAAAUUUUACAAGUUAUUUUUUUUAAUUUAUUAGUUGAUUGCAUUUACAUGUAAAAGUAAUGUUUACAUUUGCCAUUAAAUGCAAUUUGUACAAGUAGUAUGAGCCGAAUCUACUUUUUUCUAGUUAUCAAUUUCUCUAUGAAUGCACAUGUUCUGCACCACCCUUGAUAUGUAAACUAGGUCGAUAUGGCUCAUUGAAGCAGCAAUUGUAAUUAAACUUGUAAUUUUCUUUUAAAUCUUUGAAUGGAACUCGAUUUUAUUUUCAAAAACUAAAUAAUUAUCCGCAUUGGUUAUUUUAAAAAAAAAUGCAGAUUGAAGUUGUUACAGACUCUAUUCACAUAUACAACCUACAACUUCAACUAAUUAAACUGAAUUUAGAUCCAUAGAUAAAAGGUUGACAUUUGUAUAAACUAUGAAGACUAAGACCAAGGAGAACAUUUCUAGAAAGAGCAAAACAAAAGAGAGAGGUGCUCUUUCGAGUAAUUACAAGUAAAUCUAUCCAAAUUAUAGAAUGAACUACAUUUGGAUGAAAUAAAGAUUAUGAUGCAUGCACAUUUUUCAUCUAUGGUGAUCAUAUGCUCCUUUUGUUAAAAUUUAGAAUUUAUUAUACUAAUCAAAGUAAUGGUUGGUUCAACCUUGAUUUUAAACCAGGUCACAUCCUUUUUCUGAGGCAAAAAAGUAAGAAGACAAGAUGCUCUCUUUUUUAUCAUAUUUAUUCUCUCCUACUAGGGUGUUUACGUGUAUAUAUAAACCUCUUUUCAAUCUCCUUUAUUGACUCUUACCACUUUUCAAUCUCUUUUAUUGACUCUCUCUCUCUCUCUCUCUCUCUCUCUCUCAUAGAGAGUUACCAAAGGGUCUUAAGGGAACCUUCGGCGUUCACAUUGCAAUGGUUGGACUGUGUGGCGUUACAUGAUGAUCGUAUGGCCACUCAUGGGUAGAAAUGGGGCCUUCAUGAAAGUUGGGAACGUUUUUAAAACAAAAAAUCAAUUUGAGUAGAAUUGCGAUUAAAAUUAAAAUUUGAGAUUUUUUUUUAUAGAAAAUUAGCAAAAUUCAUACUUCCAUCAACAAUCCAAGGUGUCUUAAACCGAAGAAAAUGCAAUAUUUUGUAAGAUAAAAACCUAUUUUUGCAGUAUUUCACCAAGAAAAAAUGUCCGUUGCUCCAAAAGUAUUUUAGUAGGAUUUCAUAUAUCCAAAAAUUAUAGAAAUAGGUAAGUUCGUGCAUAAAAAAUGGUGACACGAGGAUGCUCAUGUUUCGAUAUAUUAUUUGCACAAUAGAUGGGUAAUUAUAGAAAGGGAAGGGCGGCUAUUAUUGCAGUAUGGAAUUGGUAAGAUUUUAAUGAUAUAGAGAAACAAUAAUGUUAUAUUGAUGCAUGUUUUGAUUUUAUUGACCUUGUGAAUAAGAUAGGUCAUUUAUCUAUUAUCACACCCCAACUCUGUAAAAUAAGGAAAACGACACUAUCAUGGUCUUACCCAGAGGAUGCAGCUUCAAAUUAUCAAAAUAUAUAUUCAUCUAUAUACUUGAUAAAUAGUGAAUUGGUUACAAAAUCAAGAGUUUUGAAAUUCAUUAAAAAGAAAAAAGUAUGAGUGUAUCUCCAAACUCAAUUAAACCCCACAAAUAUCAUCCCAGACAUAUACAAGUAUCUAAACUCACAUCCAAAUCCAACUUUAAUUUUUUUUUUUGCCAAUAACACUCAUGUCCUACUUUAGCUUACCUAAAAAAGAUUUAGAAUGAAUAGUGUGAGUAACCAAAGCUUAGUGACUAAUUUAAAUCUCUCCUAAGCAAAUCAAGCAUCUACUGUGAUAAAACAAUACAAAAGAUUCAUUUAUCCAAAUCCAAUAUAUUAUGUAUGAUAGAAUCAAAAUAUGAGUAAUUUCACUAUAAUGCAACUUUAUAUUAAUCAAUUAUAUUCAUUCAAAUUUCAAAUACCAAAAGGGUAGUAAACGCUCCAUCCGAUUUUAUGCAACAAAUAUGUUUUAAACAUUACUUUUUCAUUUUAAAAAAAUCAUAUUGUGCAAUGCUUUUCAGAACUUAUAGUAUACCAAAUCUCGAUCACUUUCAAGACAUGAGCUUAUAAAUUUGUAGAGAAUAACAACCACCCCUAAAUAAAAUCCAAAUCGAAAGUUAUGCCGCUCAAAAAGUUUCAAAGUCCUAUCAAAGAUUAACUAAAUGUCAAACUUACGUGUCAACUAACCUCGACUAAAACUUUAGUAGGCGAUACCAUAUUCUUGAGUCAAAUCAACCACUUGACAAAAGACCUUUGAACAAUUACUUUGCAAAUAGAGUCGAUCUCAUUUAAAACUCCAAUUCAAGUGAGCUUACUUUCAAUAGAAAACUCUUUCGAAUUACUAAGAGACCAUAAAGCCAAAAGAUGGUCGGAGAAGGGUGAAAUCCAUUGCCAAAUACAGUUUUGAAAACUAUUUCUAGCAAUGUGCAAAAUUUUAAAAAUUUAUCCCAAUCAAAUCAUAAACCUAUAUUGACUUUCCUAAAGUCCUAUUAUGCAAUACCCUAAAAUUUCUUUACAACAUAAUUUUAUAGUUUAAAAAUCUCUAUCAACCUAGCAACAUAGAAUCUGCACAAAACCUAAUUUACGAUUUAAUUAUGAAAACUCCUUUAAUUAUAUAAAUAAAAGUUUUGAAUCUUUAACGAUUGCCAAGAAACUGAAUUAAUCCGGUGCAUGCAGCAAGAGCCCCCUUUUUGUCUCCUCUGUCUUUUUCUCGAUUUCUCCGGACUCUGCUUUCCUUCUCUCUCUCUCUCUCUCUUUUCGUGUUCUUCUCUCUUUUCGUGUUCUUCUUGGCAGACUCUGUUUUCAUCUUUUUUCUCUCUUUUCGCUCUAGUAAUUCCCUUACCAAAGAAAGGACUUUAACGAGACACUUGGGCUUGGGCUUGGGCUUACUGUUUUGCUCUUAUUUAUUAUUGUUUGCCAGCCCGGUUAUUGGAACUUUAUUCUUGCCCAUGAAAGUCCCUGCUUUCAUUCCUGCUUCUAGCACUACCAAGGAUUCUCGUCCCUCGAUUCAUUUUUCAAGCAUAACCUGCGAUUCAUUUUUCUAGCAUAACCUGCUUUCAAGAGACGAGAAUCCUUUGCCCUGCGAUUCAUUUUUCAAGCAUAACCUGCUUUCAAGAGACGAGAAUCCUUUGCCCUGCGAUUCAUUUUUCAAGCAUAACCUGCGAUUCAUUUUUCUAGCAUAACCUGCUUUCAAGAGACGAGAAUCCUUUGCCCUGCGAUUCAUUUUUCAAGCAUAACCUGCGAUUCAUUAUUCAAGCAUAACCUGCGAUUUUUUUUCAAGCAUAACCUGCUUUCAAGAGACGAGAAUCCUUUGCCCUGCUUUCAAUUGAGAGGCAAUUGAAAGGAUUCCUGCUUUCAUUCCUGCUUCUAAACUCUACAAAGGAUUCUCCUCCCUGCUUUCGUUCCUGCUUCUAAACACUACAAAGGAUUCUCGUCCCUGCUUUCAAGGAUUCUCUUGCAUUAACUCUUGCAUAAAAGAACCACAAACGAUGUCCCUACCUUCACCCACCCCGCGCCAUGGAUUUUACCUCCAUCGUCUCUAUCCUGAUCAACUUCCUCCAAGUGAAAUUCCAGGGGAAGUUGACUUCGCCCUUUGAAACUCACCCCGUUGCCACUGGAGUUGCCAUCUGCAGCCUGCUCCUGCAUUUUCUGUUGAUGCAUCUCGCUAAUCGGGCACCCCCGUCUAGCGGCCGUGCUCCUCCUUGUGAUGGAGCAUGGCACCUCCUCAUCGACUUCACUGGUUCGAUAUCGGUGGCUUCACUCGCGUGGUUGCUGUUCCACGACUCCUCCCACUCCAUCCUUUGGUUGUUUGCACUGCUCUUGUCUCUUUCUGUGAGUCUGUUGCGCGGCCUCUUUCAAAAACUAUGUCUGUGGCUUUACCGCAGACUCGUUCUCGUGAUUAUCCGUGUGGCACACUCCCCUGUAUGGCAUGGUGGAAGAGCGCAGCCACAUCCGCCGCACCCGGGUGUGGAUCUGUGUUUGUUGCUGGAAGUCUGAGCGGCCUAGUCGUUCGACUGAUUGUUCCCUACUUGGAUAAAGUAAUCUAACUAUAUCUGAAUCCAUAAGAGAAUCGCAAGCCUUCAGCAUCAAAUUAUCUCCAGACCAUAAGAAAGGAGAGCAGGGAACAAGUAAAAACCAUUUGUUAUCGAAGAGAUCAAAGACGACCUCAACAAUUGUUACCAAGAGAAGAAUAGUCGCUUGUAUAGCCAUAUAAGGGGUAGUAAUUGUUCUUGAGGUUAAAGCUUCUGACCUCUUGGAAAGCAUUGCUGAGUGUUGCAGAUUUCCUUCUAUUUUUGGUGUAUCUCUUUUUAGCUUUCUGUUUGGCCAGUGGAUCCAUAUGUGUCAUUUUACAUUCUUUGCUGGUGUACUAUGGUUUUGCUCAUAUAUCCAUAUGAACUGCGACAAAUAGAUGCCUUGGCAACGUGGGCACAGCUACAAUCUCAAAAGCUUUGAUCUAACAUUAACAUCAUUGAGUGAUCAAACCAAAAUGAAAGAUGUCAACCUUUUCAUCUCUGUUCCAUACACACCAUUACUACUUACUAGCUAUUCCGAUGAUAAUAUAGUUGUAGUUUGUCAUUGCAGAAUGUGGGAAUCGUUACAACAUAGUCUCUAUUUGACCUCCAAGAGGUGACAACUAGAUCUUUGCUGUCGCAAAUGCUUUAACUUGCAAUCUAAGACUACGUUGUCUCGCUGGCUGAUUGGUUUUUGGCCAGGAGCAUGAAUUGUUGCUUCAGUGGGAGAUUCAAUUUAGGGCCAAGGUGCGAAAAGAACGCUUGAUUUCUUUUUUUGGGAGGCUUUAGUUCAACAUAGCUGAAUUUUGGUAGACUGCAGAUGUUAGAACCAAACAUUUCCCAUCUUCAUGUGCUAGAAAAGAAUUUACAGUUCAUGAAUGCAAAGCUCGGUAGAUAGUAUGCAAAAGCUCGUGGCUAGUCUGCACAAACUACAUAAACCUUAUCUUCAUUUUCAAGGAAUUAACAAGACCGGCGAGCUUCCUAACAAGUUUAUUCAUAAUCAAAUUAUGCAUCCCAAUGUUAAUACUCCUAUUCAUAACACAGAGCACACAAGUCUUACACUAAAAAAUAUGAUAUUUAUCUGCUUUUGCUCAGAAGAUAAAUAUAUCGGAUGUCAAGUGUUGGCAGGGAUUCCAAUUGACUUGCGUAAGAGGUAAGUUGAAACAUCAAACAAAAAGGCGGUCUUCUGCCUCCCCAAUUCUUUCCUUCUGGAUAAGAGCCUCCCCAAUUCUUUCCUUCUGGAUAAGAGCCUCCCCAACUCUUCAACUACAUGCACUUCGCUGGCAGCUUUUUGAGACCAGCAUUGCAGGUCUUCUUUUGAGUACCUCCAAUUGUGGGCUCAUUCUGUCCACUUUUUCCUGCAGAAAUAAGUCUAGUUCAGCAAAAUCGAGGCUUCAGGUGCUUCCAUUACUUUAAAAAAAAUUUGUCAUUGCCAUAUUUUCUGUUGAUUAUAACUGAUUGUGGAGAUUGAGUCUGUAUAUGAUAUAACAAAAGAAAAAAGAACAGGGUUAUUCACCACAUCACAUGGCCGUAUCUUGUGGCCGUUUGUUGGGUAAAGUCAGUUUAGUGAGAGAGCAUUUCUGCGAUGAAAGCAUACAGUGGGUAAGACGCAUUUGAUAUGUGUAAUCAAUGGGCAAGGGCAUUCAUCACAGACGGAAGCAUCCAGUUUCAGGUCUGUUUCUCUCAAAGGUUACAAUAGUACUCACUGGUAUCGUCUUCAAUUAACAUAGCGUAGAGUGUGAGUUGAUGGGAGGUGAUGGUGAUCUUUAUUGUUGGUGUUAACCGUGGAAGGCAAUCGUGGUUGACAUAAAGAUUGCACUACACAAGAACGUGAAAGUCGAAUGUGCAAAAUUUACCAGACACUGCAUAGGAAGCACGGAUCGGCAGAUCUAAUAUAAGAAAGAGUAUGUGCUCGAGAAGCUGAUAUUUCAAAGUGGGCCUUUCAAAAGUGCAUGGAAUGUUGAAGUUGAAGUCGCAUUCUGCAUAGUGAAAGACGGCGUCAACGCUCUUCAGGACAUGCGUCAGUGAGCCUUCCUUCCUGAUACGGGAAGAAGUGGAUGUGCCAGGGUGAACGGGGUGUUGCAUAACUGAGGGCAAUUCAGCACAUGAUUUACGGAGCAGAAAAGAGCACCUAUGCUCCUGGCAGGCAUGGGCUAUACCUUUAACAUAUUAAUCACGACCCUUGCUCGCAGUAUCCUUCAUUCGACCCAGCUCCAGCGGCAGCGGAUGAUAGUGAAUUGGAGAUAUAAGAGGCAAUCCAGGCAAGCAUAGACCCCACCUAGUAUGCUGCUCUAUUCUCAGCUUUUCACCCAGAUUCUGGUUUCAAGCUUCACGUGGAAGGACACCAGUAGAUGCUGAUGGGCGAAAUGGUUAAAAAAAAAAAAACUGAGCCUUUCUCGCCCUCCAGAUCUUGUGAACAUAGAGUUAUAGCCACGCAGUCCACGUCAAGGCUGAAAUUGCAUUCGCUGCAGGGGAAAACCAGAUGGCAGGCAUUACAUUGGAGGUCUACCGAUUGAUCGAAAGCAAGAAAAAGGGUUGAUUAUGAAGAGAGGGGUGUUGCUUCUCUGGGGAAGAUUCGGUGCAGCUCUCGUGAAUGAAGAAUAUGCGCCAUGUGGCAUCCAUAGACCUCCUUGCAGGCUUUGCAUUUGAUUCUACUUUUCAUCCCAAAAUGGAGGGAUGUGAGCAGAUGCUAAUGAGCAAAAUGCAGGAUGGAUUCUCAGAAUCCUCGUCAGGCUUAGUUGUGACUAGGCAGACAAAGCAAUAUCCAGCCGUGCACAAACGCUCAACCGUCCGAAUGGCAAGAAGGAAGCCUGCUCACACGCAUGGCAACUCCGAUGAUCCUCCUCAUUGUUGGCAGCUAGGCAGUCAAGUCGGGGCAGCGGGUGAGACGGGUGUCCUAGUGUGGACAGCAUGCUAAAUUCGGCAUGACUCGUAAAAGAAGAAACGACACGAUUCAGAGUGGUGAGCUGAGCUGCGGAUUGGAGAUCGCAUGACAUUCCAAGCAAGUACAGGCUUCUUUGCUCAGGUUUCAGAGAUUCAAUACAUGAUCACCAAGGCAAAUUAGGGUAUAAAAAUGCGUUUUGAAUGGAGUUAUACUUAUUUUUAUUUUAUCUUUUGGUCAGUAGAGUUAUACUUGUUAUCAACACGAAGUAAAUGUGGUGAAAUUAAUUUGGUUAAUGCCUUAAAAAAUCUCAAAGUAGUACACAUGUGAUAAAUUUAUCCUAAACUAAACUACACAUUUGACAAAUUUACCUCAAACUGAUAUAUUUGUGACAAAUUUACCAUUUAUCGGUUUCUGUUAAAUUUUACUGUCGAAUUACUAAAUUAAAAGAUACGUGAUAGUUGACUGGUGUACUAGUUUGGGAUUUUACUCCGUUUAUAAUAGUUAUAUAGUUUUUGUAAUUUUUUGUAGCAUUAAUCCAAUUUAACGGAGGGUGUACCAAUUCAGGGUUUUUGACGGCCGAAUAAAUUAAUUUUGAGUAAAUUUGUUAUAAGUAUACCAUUUUGAGAUUUUUUUUUUUUUAUAAUCAAUUGGGGUAAAUUUGUCAUAGGUGUAUUAGUUUAGAGUUUUUUAUGGUAAAAAAAAUUAGUUUUGGAUAAAUUUGUUACACAUGUAUCAGUUUGGAGUUUUUCAAGGUAUUAAUCUAAAUUAAUUUUACCCCACUCCCUCGUCAUUUGAUGUUGUGUUUCAAUGCUAAAUUGGGCACCCAACUCGUGAAAGAAGAUUUGACACGAUUCACAGCAGUAGGGAUGAGCUGCGGAUUGGAGACCAGCACGUGAGACAUUCCAAGUAAACCUUCCAUUCAGGUUCCGGAGAUUCAAUGCAUGAUCACCAAGGCAAAUUAGGAAAUAAAAAAGCGUUUUGAAUGGAGUUAUAUCUGUUGAGUGAUAUCAACACGAAGGAAAUGGGGUGACAUGAAUUGUACCCCGCUUCCAUAUUAUUUGAUGUUCUAUUUUAGUGUUCAUUUGUACAUUUUAUUUUAUUUUAUUUAUGCUUAACGCAAUAGUUAAUAAAACUAAAGUGGCCCAUGAAAAGUUUCAUAUCUUGUUCAUUUAAAGUCAGCUGCAAUUAGGAGGUGACAAAAGUGCAUUCACCUCGGGCUACUCUAUACAUUCAUCAGAAAGUUCUUAUCCAACUUAUAGUAAAAAUAAUUUACGCAAGACAAGAUUGCGAUGACAGUUUUGUCAUAAUUGUUUAAAAAACUAAAUUCACCUAUUUUUAACUUUAUGAAUUAUUUUUUUAAUUUAUUAGUUGAUUACAUUUUUAUGUAAAAGUAAUAUUUACAUUUGCUAUUAAAUACAAUUUGUACAAAUAGUAUGAGUCGAAUCUACUAUUUUCUAGUUAUCAAUUUCUCUAUAUAAGCUAUGUCAGUACGGCUCAUUGAAGCAGCAAUUGUAAUUAAACUUGUAAUUUUCAUUAAAUAGAACUCAAUUUCAUUUUCAAAAGCUAAAUAAUUAUUUGCAUUGGUUAUCCUUUAAAAAAAUAUAUGGAUUGUAGUUGUCAUAGACCCAGUUCAUAUAUAUAACCUACAACUAGUUAAACUGAAUUUAGAUCCACAUAUAAAAAGUUGGCAUUUGUAUAAACUAUGAAGACUAAGACCUAGGAGAACAUUUCUAGAAAGAGCAAAACAAAACAGAGAGGUGCUCUUCUGAGUAAUUACAAGUAAACCUGUCAAAAUGAUAUGAUGAAUGGCAUUUGGAUGAUCAUCUAUGGUGAUCAUCUUCCUUUCACUAAUUUGUAUGCUCUUUUUGUUAAAACCUUGAAUUUACUAUACUAAUCAAAGUAAUGAUUGGUCCAAUCCUGAUUUUGAACCAAGUCACACCCUUUUUCUGAGGCAAAAAAGAAAGAAGACAGAAUUCUCUUUUUUGUCACAUUUAUGCCCUACUACUAGGGGUGUUUGCGUGUAUUUAUAAACCUCUUUUCAAUAAAUUUUUCAAUUUUUCAAUCUCCUCUCUCUCUCUCUCUCUCUCUCUCUCUCUCUCUCUCUCUCUCUCUCUCUCUCUCUCUCUCUCUCUCUCUCUCUCUCUCUCUCUCUCUCUCUCUGAGGGAGUUUCCAAAGGGUCUCAGGGGAAAAUUCAGUGUUCACAUUGCAAUGGUUGGACCAUGCCGCAUUACAUGAUGAUCCUAUGGCCACUCAUGGGUAGAAAUGGGACCUUCAUGAAAGUUGAGAAUUUAAAAAAAAAAAAAUCGAAGUAGAAUUGAGAUUAAAAUUAAUUUUUAAGAUUUUUUAGGAAAUUUGCCCAUAAUAAUUCAUGCUUCCAUCAACAAUCCAAAGCGUCUCAAACCGAAGAAAAUGCAAUCUUUUGUUAAGAUGGAAACCUAUUUCUACAAUAUUUCACCCAAAAAAAAUGUCCGCUACUUUAGAAGUAUUUUACUAGGAUUUUGUAUAUCCAACAAUUAUAGAAUAAGUGAAUUCGUGCAUAAAACAUAGUGACAAGAGAAUGCUCAUGUCAUGAUAUAUUAUUUGCAUAAUAAAUGCGUAAUUAGAGAAAGGGAGGAGUGGCCAUUAUUGUAGUAAGAAAUUGGUAAAAUUAUAAUGAUAUAGAGAAAUAAUAACGAUGUAUUGAUGUAUAUUUUCAUUUUUUUGAUUUUGUGAAUAAGAUUUGUCCUUUAUAUAUUGUCACACCCCAACUCUAUAAAAUAAGGAAAACGACACCACCAUGCUCUUACCCAAAGGACACAACUUCAAAUUAUCAAAAUAUAUAUUCAUCUAUAUACUUGACAAAUAGUCGUUUGGUUACAAAAUUUUAAGAGUUCUAAAAUUCAUUAAAAAAAAAGUGGGUGUAUCUCCAAACUCAAUUAAACCCCAAAAAUAUCAUUCUAGACAUAUACAAGUAUCUAAACUCGCAUCUCAAUCCCACUGUAAAAAAAUUUCCGCUAAUUAUGCUCACGUCCUACUUAGCUUACUUGAAAAGAAUUUGGAAUGAAUAGUGUGAGCAAUCACAGUUUUUCAUUGCUAACCCAAAUCUCUCAUAAAUAGAUCAAGCAUCCGCUAUAAUAAAGUAAUACCAGAGAUUCAUUUACCCAAAUCCAAUAUAUAAUGUACAAUAAAAUCCAAAUAUUAGUAAUAUCACCUCAACGCAACUUUAUACUAAUCAAUUAUAUUCAUUCAAAUUUCAAAUAUCAAGAGUAGUAAAUGCUCCAUCCAGCUUUAUGUAACAAAUAUGUCUUAAGCAUUACUUUUUCUAUUUUAACAAAAUCAUAUUGUGGAAUGUCUUGCACAGCUUAUAAUAUAUCAAAUCUUCAAGAUAUGAACUUACCAAUUUAUAGAGGAUAACAACCCCUAAAUAAAAUCCAAGUUGAAAGUCACACCGACUCGAAAAGCUUCAAAGUCCUAUUAAAGAGUAACUAAAUGACAAACUUACAUGUCUCCUAACCUUGACUAAAACUUUAGUAGAUAAUGCCAUAUUCUUGAGUCAAAUCAUCCACUUGGCAAAAGACCUCUGAACACCUACUUUGCAAAUAGAGUCGACCUCUUAUCUCGGAACUUCAAUUCAAGUGAAUUUACUUUCAAUUGAAAACUCUUUCAAAUUACUAAGAGACCAUAAAGCCAAAAGAUGACCGGAGAAAGAUGAAAUCCAUUGCUAAACACAGCUAUGUGAAAACUAUUUCUAGUAGAGCGCAAAAUUUUAGAAAUUUAUUCCAAUUAAAUCAUAAUCCUAAAUUGACUUUCCUAAAGCCUUGUUUUGAGACACCCUAAAAAAUUUUCAAAACAUAAAUUUUACAACUGAAAAACCUUUAUAAUCAACUCAGCAACGUAGAAUCCAUUUAAAACCUAAUUUAUAGUUUAAUUACGAAAACUUCUUCAAUUAGAUAAAUAAAGUUUUGAAACCUCACCGAUUGCUAGGAACAGAAAUAAUCCACCUUAAUCAAGUCUCUCGAGCGGGCAUGCAGCAAGAGCCUACUUUGCCUCCUCUUUCUAUUUUUGUCCGUUUCUCCGAGCCCUGCUUGCCUUCUUUUCUUUCCUUUUCCUUUUCUUUUUUUUUUCUUGGCCAGACCCUGUUUCACUCUUUCUGCGCCCGUGAAUUCCCUGGGAGCGGCAUGAACUGAAGCAUGACUGAAGAAAGGGCUUACGCGAGACACUUGGGCUUGGGCUUAAUGUUUUGCUCUCGUUUAUCAUUUUUUGCCAAAGCUCGGUUACAGCAAAAAUCUGUAUAGGUUAUUAACUUAUUACGGAUGGAUGCAAAUUAUGCGGAGCGAGAAUAAUGUCACCCUAUCCCAUGAUAAGAAAUUUAGGAGAGAUAAGGACGUUUAAUUUCAAGCGCGAAGUUCGAAACCCUACAUCCUGCUGACAGAGAUAGAAAAAAUUCUCUUCUUAAUUUUUUUUUUAACACAAGAAAAAAUUAAUCGGAAAGUUUAAAGGCCUUCCUCCACUCCACGACGUGAUGAGGGGUGAAGUCAGGAACAUCAUCGAAAUAUUUUAUGGAAAAAUAAGUACCGUGGAAUAAGGAUAUUAUUUAUAUAUCAUAUAUUUUCAUGGAAAGAUCUCUCAAUUCGACUCGGAUAAGGAAUGAUGAUAUGGGUCCCAUCCGAGAUUUCAUUUCUCAGAUAUAUUAUCUGAGAAAUGACACCUUGGAUGGGACCCAUAUCAUAUACUUUCUGAGGAACGACACCUUGGAUGGGACCCAUAUCAUCAUUCCUUAUAUAUAUGAUAUAUACGCGAUGCUCCUGUCUUCACCCCUCCCCGCACCAUGGAUUUUACCACCAUUGUCUCUAUCCUCAUCAACAUCAUCCAAGUGCAAUACCAGGGGAAGUCGAUUUCACCCUUGGAAACCCACCCAGUCGCCACCCGCAUCGCCAUCUGCAGCCUCCUCCUGCAUUUCUCUUUGGGGCGUGUCGCUAAUCGGGCACCACCGUCUCGCGGCCCUGCUCCUUCUUGUGAUGGAGCAGCCCACCUCCUCUUCCACUUCACCGGUUUGAUAUCGGUGUUUUCGCUCGCGUGGUUGCUGCUCCACGACUCCUUCCACUCCCUCCUCUGGUUCGUGCUGUUCCUGUUGCUUUCCGUGCGUCUGUUUCGGGGCCUCAUUCAAAACCUUUGGCUGUGGUUUUACCGCAAACUCGUUCUCAUGAUUAUCCGUGCGGGGGGCUCCCGUGUAUGGCACGGUGGAAGAGCACAGCCACAUUUGCCACGCCCGGUUGUGGAUCUGCGCUUCAUGCUGGAAGUUUGAGCGUCGUAGUUGUUCGACUGACUGCUCCCCGCUUGGAAGAAGUAAUUUUAAUUGUGUGAUCACUUUAAAUCAAAUGAUUAGUACUUUAGGAAGCUAAGCCAGUUUUAUGUAAGAGGCACUUGGGGCUUUCUUCUCUUUAUCUGAAGCCAUAGCCAUGAGGAAUCCCCAAGCCUUCGGCAUCAAAUUAUCUCCCGAUCAUAAGAAAGAAAAGCAGGGAACAAGUCAAAACCACCAAUGUAUCUUUCCUGUUCCUAGCCAUGAACGGUGAUGGACCUUGUAGUGACUAGAUCUAAUUAAGAUAGGCUAAGCUCUCAAAAGAAAUUAGGAUCUAUUGUUAUUGAAGAGAUUGAAGAUGACCUCAACAACUGUUACGACAAGUAGAAUGGUCUUUUCUAGUAGGCAUAUAGGGGGUAGUACUUGUUCUUGAGGUUAUAGCUUCUGACCUCUUUCAAAGCAUUGCUGAAUGUUGCAGAUUUCCUUCUUUUUUUCUGGGGAAUCUCUUUGUAGCUUUCUGUUUGGCCAGUGGAUGGAUUUGUGUCAUUUUACAUUCUUUGCUGGUGUGCUAUGGUUUUGCUCAUUUAUCCAUAUGAACUGGGAUAAAUUGAUGCCUUGGAGACGCAAGCACAGCUAAAAUUUCAAAAGUUUUGAUCUAACACUAACAUCAUUGAGUGAUCCAAAUCAAAAUGAAAGAUGUCAGCUUUUUCCAUCUCUCUCGCAUAUACACCAUUACUGCUUAAUAGCUAUUCCGAUGAUAAUAUAAUUGUACUUUGUCAUUGCAGAAUGUGGGAGUGGUUACAUCAUAUAAUCUUUAUUUUACCUCUUGAGAGGUGACAACUAGAUCUUUGCUGUGGCAAAUGUGUUAACUUGCAAUUUAAGACUACGCCAUCUCGCUGGCUCAUUGACAUUCAAGUUGCUGGGCCAAGGUGAGAAAAGAAUACUGAAAUGUCGAUUAUUUUUCAGGAGGCUUUAUUUCAAGAUAACUGAAUUUUGGUUGACUACAGAUGUUAGAACCGAAAUUUACCACCCUGCAUGUGCUAAGAAUUUACAGUUCAUGUGUGCAAAGCUAGAUAGAUAGUAUGCAGAUGCUCGAGACAAGUCUGUACAAACUACACACAUUUGAUGUUCGUAUCUGAGGAAAUAAUUAGACCAGCAAGCUUCUUGACAAUUUGAUUCAUUAUCAAAUCAUGCAUUCCAAUGUUUGUACUUUGAAAUAUGAUAGAGCACACAAGUCUUGCACUUCAAAAAUAUGAUAUUUAUCUGCUUUUUCUGCAGAGAACAAUGAUCUUGGAUGUUGACUGUAGCAGUGAGUCCAAUUGACUUGCAUAAGAACGUGACUUGAAACAUCAAUCAGAAAGGUAGGUUCUCCUGACUCCUGAAUUUUUUUCUUCUUGGUAAGUGCCUCCCCAACACUACAACUGCAUGCACUUCACUUGCAGCUUUUAGAGACCAGCAUUGCACAUCUUUUCUUGAGUACCUCCAAUUAUGUGCCCAUUUUUUCCUGCAGAAUUUUAAUUUUUUAAUCUAGUUCAGCAAUAGCAGGGUCUUCAGGUACUUCCACUAUUCCAGCAAUCUGUAUUAAACACUGCUUGGUAUUAGCACAUUUUCUGUUGAUUAUUACUUAUUGUGGAGAUGAGUCUAUAUAUAUGAUAUUAAAAAGGAACGUGACAAUUCACCACAUCACAUGGCAGCAUCUUGUAUUCAAUUUUAGCUUAAGUAUGUUUAGCAAGAGAGCACUACUGCAAUACGAGCGCACCAUGAUAAAAUGCAUUGGAUCUGAGUAAUCAAUGGGCGAGGGCAUUCAUCGCAGUCAUAACCACCCACAUUUGUGUCCCUUAUCUUCUUGCAAAGGGCACAAUAGUACCACUCACUGGUAUCAUCUUUGAUGAACGAAACGUGAAGUGUGAGUUGAUGGAAGUUAACGACUAUCUUUUACUGUAGUGGAAGGCAAUCUGUGCACACAACUGCAAUAGCCAAAGCUGCAAAAUUUACCACAAACAUUGCAUAUUAGCAUGGUUAGGUAGAUUUAAAACAAGAAAGAGUAUAUGAUUGUGGAGGUGAUGUUUCAAAGUGAGCCUUUCAAAAGUGCAUGGAGUGUUGAAGUCAUUGUCAUUUCCGUGCAGUGAAAGACAGAGCGUCAACACUCUUCACGACAUAUGUCAACAGUGCUCCUCCUGAUACGAGAAGAAAAAGGAUGUGCAGGGUGAGCAGGUCAGAGAUUCAAGUUGUUGCUAGAAUUGUUGCUUCACUCAGAGAUUCAAGUUGCCUGGGCCAAGGUAAGAAAAGAACACUGAAAUAUAGCUUCCCAAUAUAACCGAAUUUGGUAAACUGCAGAUGUUAGAACCGAACUUCUCCCAUCUUUAUGUGCUGGAAAAGAUUUUACAGUUCAUGAAUGCAAAGUCAUAUAUAUAAUAUGCAAAAGCUUGAGACUAGUCUGUACAAACUACACACAUCUGAUUCAUUUUUUGAGGAAAUAAUAAGACCAGCAAGCUUCCUGGCAAGUUGAUUCAUAAUCAAAUUAUGCAUCCCUAUGUUAGUAAUCCAACUCAUAACAUAGGGUAAACAAGUCUUACAUUCAAAGUUAUGAUAUUUAUAUGCUUUUGCUGCAGAAGAUAACAAUAUCAGAUGUCAAGUGUUAGCAGUGAUUCCAUUGACUUGCAUAAGAGCAUAAGUUGAAACAUCAAACAGAAAGGUGGUCUCCUGCCUCCCCAUUUCUUUUCUUCUGGAUAAGCGUGCCUCCCCAAAUCUGCAAUUACAUGCACUUCGUUUGCAGCUUUUUGAGACCAGCACUGCAUGUCUGCUUUUUUAGUAUUGUUCAAUUGUGGGUUCGCUCUGUCCUUUUUUUCCUGCAGAAUUGCAAUUUUUCCAUCUAGUUCAGCAAUAGCCGGGGGUAUUCAGGUACUUCCAUUACUUUAAAAAAAUUUGGUAUUACCAUAUUUUCUGUUAGUUAUAACUUAUUGUGGAGGGAGUCUAUAUAUGAUGUUAAAAGAAGAAAAAGGAACAGGGCUAUUCACCACAUCACGUAGCUGCAUUGUGUAGCUGUUUGUUGGCUAAAGUCAGAGCACUUCUGUGAUGAAAGCAUACCGUGGGUAAAACACAUUCGAUAUGAGUAAUCAAUGCGCAAGGGCAUUCAUCACAGAUGGAAGCACCCAGAUUCAGGUCUUUUUCUCUCAAAGGUUACAGUAGUACUUACCGUCAUCGUCUUCAAUGAACAUAGCGUAGAGUGUGAGUUGACAGAGGUGAUGGCGAUCUUUCAUUGUUGGUGGUAACCGUGGAAAGCAAUCAUGAUAGACAUUAAGAUUGCAGUGCACAAGAACGUGAAAAUCAAAUGUGCAAAAUUUGCCAGACACUGCAUAGGAAGCACGGGUCAGUAGAUUUUUGUGGAGGUGACGUUUCAAAGUGGGCCUUUCAGAAGUGCAUGGAAUGUUGGAGUCUAACUCACAUUCUGCGCAGCGAAAGAAAGCUUCAACGCUCUUCACGACAUGCGUCAGUGAGCUUUCCUUCCUGAUAUGGGAAGAAGUGGAUGUGCAGGGUGAAUGGGUUGUUGCAUAACUGAGGGCAAUUCAGCACAUGAUUUAUGGAGCAGAAAAGAGCAGCACUGCUCGAGGCAAUGAUGGGCUAAACCUAUUGACAUAUUCAUGACAAGCCUUGAGCGCACCAUCCUUCCUAUGACCCAGCUCCAGCGGCGGCAGAUGAUUGUGAAUUGGAGAAAGAAAAAGCAAUCCAGACAAGCAUAGAACUCACCUAGCAUGUUCCAUCAAGCUUCGCACUAAUUUCUGUUUCAUCCUUCUUGUGGAAGGACACCAGUAAAUGCUGAUGGGCGAAAUGGUAAAAAAACAAGCCUUUCUCACCCUUCAGAUCUUGUGAACGUAGAGUUAUAGCUGUGCAGUCCAUGUCAAGGCUGAAAUUGCAUUAGCUGCAGCAGGAAACCAUAUCGCAGGCAUUACAUUGGAGGUCUACAGAUUGAUUGAAAGCAAGAGAGAUGGUGAUCAUUGAAAGACAGGCAUUGCUUAUUUGGUGUAGAUUUGGCACAGCUCUUGUGAAUUAAGAAUAUGCACUAUGUAGCAUCCAUAGACCUCCUUGCAGGCUUUGCAUUCGAUUCUACCUUUCAUCCCAAGAUGCUAAUGAGCAAAAUGUUGGAUGGUCACAUACUCAGAAUCUUCAUCAGGCUUAGUUGUGACUAGGCAGACAGCAAUAUUGGACCGUGCUGUAAUGCUCAACAAUCCGAAUGGCAAGAAGGAAAGCCUCGUCACAUGCAUGGCAACCGUGACGAUCCUCCUUCUCAUCUGCCUACUAGGCAUUCAAGCGGGGGCAGCAGGUGAAACGGGUGUUCUCGGGUGAAGAGCAUGCUAAAUUCAGCUUGACUAGUGAAAGAAGAUUCGACACGAUUCCCAGCAGUAGGGCUGAGCCGCGGAUCUGAGACCAGCGCGCAAGACAUUCCAAGCAAGUGCAGCCUUCUUUGCGAAUCAAUACAUGACCAGCAAGGCAAUGGAGUUAUAGUUGCUGAGUGACAUCAACAAGAAGCAAAUGGGGUGAAAUGAGUCGUACCCAACUACCGUAUUAUUUGGUGUUGUAUUUCAGUGCUAAUUUGUACAAUUUUUUUUUAAUCUAUGCAUUAAGGCAAUAGUUAAUAAAACGAAAAUGAAAUCUCAGCAAGAGUUUUGGGCAGAUCUAGCUUUCGUUCCUGAGGAAGCUCCCAGGAAAAGCUUCGUCAAAUAUUUACCUUCCAAAUAGUUCCUUCCUAAUGCGAGAAGAGGGUUGUUGCAUAACUGAGGGCAAUUCAGUCAAUAAUUUUUGGUCAAAAUCAGUCUGAAAGAUUGAAUUAGCACUAGGUCAAAAGUUUGAGAUUAGAUUGUCAGAAUUAUAAAGUUUAUGAUUAGAUCGACACUAAUGCAAUAAAUUUAGAACUUUUAUGACAUUUUUUCCAUUAAAAAAGUCCUUAAUCUGGCCAACUGUUUUAGGGGUCAUCCUGGGCACGUUUCUCAUAUGUUUUGAUUGUGUUAUUUGAUAGUUCGAGUUACGGUAUUAGGAAUACAUUUCUUUCGGUGAGCAUUACAUUUAUCUCCUCUAAUUGCUUGAAAGCAAGAGAGAGAGAGGGUGAUCAUGGAGAGAUGGGCGUUGCAUCUCUGUGGGGGAUUCGGCGCAACUUUUGUGGAGAAAGAAUAUGCACGCAUGGUCUCCAUGGAAUUUGGUGUUGUUAAAUUUCGGUAUCGAGUUAAUGACUUUAUAAAACGUGUUACAACACGUGAUUUAUGGAGUCAUCUAAUCGUACUCAAAGUUUGUAAACACAAAGUCCUGGUGGCCGAAGAAUGCAAACCCGAUUAAUGGGACGAUUAUCUUGAGAGACUCAAUCAUGAGAUUGCCCUUAUGAAUUACACUUAAUCCCCGGCGGGCUCUAUACUCUCUCAAGUCUGUAAUCGGCUUUAAAGCGCUAUUAGCCAGUAGAAGGGGAAGGGGGGUCUAGGCAACAUCAAGUCAACUGAGAGAAUCAUCUUAUGAACUUUUUCCUCUUUUUGGUCGUCAAAAGGGCUUUUAAUCUUCAUUCAAACCAUCAAGCCAUGUCCUGUGAAUCGAGCUACGCAUUGUCAAAAGCCUAAAAUCUGCUGCACUAAUCUAUCUGUUGAAGACUGGAAUCCAUGGUGGCACCCCCUCCUUGGGAAGCUAACUCCAAUCAGUGGUCAUUAAAUCCGGAUCGAAAUGUCAAACGUCCAAUCGGGUCCUCUCUUUUCGGCAGAUCCUUCCCCGCGUGUGCGUGAUCAUGCUCGUCUGCUGGCUCUUCCCACCAUGUCAAACGGCUUCUGUGUGGUGUGAAACGAGUGAACUUUCCUCGUCGUGGGAGCCUCUCUCUCCCUCUCCCUCUCUUCGUCUUCGGUUUCGAGGCAUGGAGAGCGAUCGGGUGUUAAAAGGUGGAUUCCGUGUUGUUAAACACUUGACUUCUCCGGUGGUUGAAACGAGUGAGCUUUUCUUUCUCGUUUUGUUCUUCUUGGCCAGACUCUGUUCUCUCUUUCUUUCCGCUCUCGUAAUUUCCCUUGCAAUGAAGCAAGACUAAAGAAAGAACUAAAACGAGACAAUCGGGCUUGGACUUGGACUUAGGCUUGGGCUUAAUGUUUCGCUCUCAUUUAUUAUUUUUUGCUAGCCCUUUUAUUGCAACUUCAAUCAUGGAGAUAAAUCUUUUAGGCUAUUACGUGCUGAUGGAUACUAAACGGAGUGCGGAGCGAGGAUAAGGUCACGGGGAAAAAAAUUAGGAAAGAUCAAGGACUUUUUUUUUUAAUGGGAAAAAUGUUAGAAAAUUCAUAAAUCUAUUAUAUUAGUGUCAAUCUAAUUCUAAACAUUUUAAUUGUGUCAAUUUAGUCUUAUUUUUUUUUAUCUAAUACAAAUUCAGUCAUUCCAACUAAUUUUGACUAACUGACAAAAAAAAAAACUAAUUUUAACUAGAAAUUACUGAUAUUGAUGUUGAUUGUUUUACCUGGCAUGAUUAGUGUUGACACAACAAUUUCUAAUUAUAUUUUAAUAUUUUUCAAAUUUUUAUUAUUUUAUCUUAUUUUUUCCUUCUUUUUUUCUCCUUUCUUCAUCUUUUUAUUGGUGACCGACCACUAGCCAUAGCUAGAUGAGCUAGCCUCUCCAAGGCAAGGGUCGCCAUUGCUCGCCACAAGCGAGGCUUGACUUAGCCAAGCCAGGGACGACAAGCCCCGAUGAGGCCUUGCAAGGGUCAGCCUAGGCUAGAUUUGGGGAGGCCAAUCCACCUAGCCAUCACCUAUGGACAAUAGUCGGUCAUCGACAAAAGCAAGAAGAAAGGAAAAAAAAAAAAAAGAGAGAAAGAAAGAGAAAAAUAUUAUAAAAAAUGAUGAAAAAUCGAAAAAUAUUAAAAUAUUAUUAAAAAUUGUUAAUGUCCGUCCACAUCAGUAAUACCAUGUCAAAACUAACUAAGAGGACUAAAUCGAUACAAUUAUAAAGUUCAAGACUAAAUUAAUAUCAAUGUAAUAAAAAUAAACAAUAAAAUAUAAAAUUUAGGACUUUGCUUUUUUUCCUUUUUAUAUAUAACCAAAUAAAAAAUAAAUCGGACAUUUCAAGGCUUUCGUCCACUCCAUGGUGUGGUGAGGGGGUGAGGGUAAGGACAUCAUUUGAUAUUUGCUUUUUCAUGGAAAGUGGCACAGAACAUCAGUUUUUUUCUUCUUCUUCUUCUUUGGGUUUGGGCAUGGGACAUCAAUUUGAAUUAUUUUCUUUUGGAUCCUCUUUCUUUUCGGGUCCAACCCUGCUUCAACUCAGGGUCGGGUCCGACCCUGCUUCAACCUCGCACCACCCAAAAUGUAGAAUAUUCAAAUUGACCCGAAAGAAAAAGCGUAUAAAACGACAGUCCCAGUCUUUUCAUCCCUCACCUCGCCAUGCGCCAUGGAUCUUUCCUCCAUUGUCUCUAUCCUGGUCAACUUCAUCCAAGUUGGAAUACCAGGGAAAGUUGACUUCACCCUUUGAAACCCACCCCAUUGCCACUUGCGUCGCCAUCUGCAGCCUCCUCCUGCAUUUCUCUUUGGGGCGUGUCACUAGUCAGGCACCACCGCCUCGCGGGCGUGCUCCUCCUUGUGAUGGAGCAACACACCUCCUCUUCCACUUCAUCGGUUUGACAUCGAUGUUUUCACUCGCGUGGUUGCUGCUCCACGACUCCUUCCACUCCUUCCUCCGGCUCGUGUUGUUCUUGUUGCUUUCCGCGUGUCUGUUGCACGGCUCCAUUCAAAAACUUUGGCUGUGGUUUUACCGCAAAUUUGUUCACAUGAUUAUCUGUGCGGUGCGCUCCCAUGUAUGGCAUGGUGGAAGAGUGCAACCACAUUUGCCGUGCCCAGCUAUGGAUCUACAUUUCAUGCCAGAAGUCUGGGUGCCGUUGUUUAACUGUUCCCUACUAAUUUAAUUGUAUCACCACUUUAAGACAAUUUAUUAGUACUUUUGGAAGCUAAGUUAGUUUUGUAUAAGAGGGACUUGAGGCUUUCUUCUCUUUAUGGGAAGCCUUAAGGAGUCCCCAAGCCUUUGGCAUCAAAUUAUCUCCCGACCAUAAUAAGAAAGGAGAUUGGGGAACAGGUACAAAACCACCUUUGUAUCUUUCCUAUUCCUAGCCAUGAAUGGUCAUGCACCUUGUAGCAAUUAAAUCCGCUGAAGAUAGGCUAAACCCUCGGAAAAAAUUGGGAUCUAUUUGUUGUCGAAGAGAUCGAAGAUAACCUCAACAAUUAUUAUGAUAAGUAGAAUGAUUGAUUCUAUUAGCCAUAUUAAGUAGAUAUUGUUCUUGAGAAGAAAGCUUCUGCCCUCUUUUAAUACAAUGCGAGUGUUGCAGAUUUCUUUCUUUUUCUAAUGAAUUUUUUGGGAAAAUUGCCAAAAAUAUCUUAAGUCUUUUAAUAAUUUGUCAAUUUAGUUUUACAGCUAAUUCAACCCAAAAAAAUGCUUAUGUGAAUGUCCAAUCAGCGGCACCCGACUUACUUGGCCAAACCGGCUGAAGGCCAGCACUGAUGUGGUCACCGGAGAUCAAAAUGGCGACGUUUUCCACAAUAAUUAAAAAAUAAAUAAAUAAAGAAAUCGUGGCUGUGCUCUUUUCUUGUCCAAAUCCUCAAACGCUCGCCCAACGCCCCAGUCCAAAGAACUCUAACCCGAAAUUAACUGAAAUCUUGCUGAAAUCUCUUCAAAUCUCAACUCAAAUCGAAUGAUUUUUUGCUCAAGCCCGAGUCGUUUCUUUCCACAUUUUAAGAGAAAACGCGUAUGUUUUGUUUUUGCAAAACCCUUGCUCGCUCGCGCAGUCGCCCAAAUCUCCCCCAAACCUCAACUCAAAUUGCGAAUGGAAGCCUUGCUAGAUGUAGAUGUGUUUUGACGACUUGUUCAUUAGUUGGGGACAGAUGGUUGUUUCACUCUCACACCUAUAUCCCUUGGUUGAAGUGUCUACUGUCUGUUAGCAGUUUGUAAAAAUGCCCAAGCGAACUUUUGUGAAAAUUUCCCUCUGGAUCUACAUCUCUGAACGUUCAUUGCGUAUUCAAAUCGUAAUGAGCACUUUUGAUUCAUUCAUUUACUCUCGGUUUAUGAUAUUUGAAUCCAAAGGUAAUAACAACGGAAGGAUGUUCGCUUCUCUGUUUGAUGUGCUAUGUCUUGGGGCCUUACAUGGCUGUUCCCGCUGUGAGACAUUGUCUGGAAUCGUUGAUACACAAGGUGGUUUUCUGAUGAACUUCACGCUGGUCGCACCCAAACUUCUUUAAUGUUCAUGUACCAUGUGUCUCGGUGAUCUAUGACCUGUGUCGGUAGAGCUAUAAUAGUCGGAUUGUAAACCAAAUUCUAGUGGUACAAUUGCUUUAGCUGCUACUGUCACCAGUAGUAAAAAAGCCAUGGAAAGGUCGAGAGGUACAUUACAUACUUCAAUACACCAACUUACCCAAAACAAGUAAAUUGCUACGAAUAUCAAAACUCCUGGAUCAAAGGCAAGAAGAGAAUCAGAAAACGCUAUGUGGCCAUAGUAAACCUAAUUGCAAGUUAACAAGGAACAUGCGAGAGCAAUUUAGCAAAAAUGUUGCAGUGCUAGUUGAGAUAGCUAGUAUAAUCACCUAGAGGGGGGUGAAUAGGUGCACAAACAAAUUUUCAAGAUACGGAAGCGAUUUUAGGCAAUCGAUAGAAAGGAAAAUAUGAUCAAAGUAAAAUAAAGGUUAGGGAAUAGAGAAAUAAACACAAGAUUUAUAGUAGUUCGGCUUAUUCCAAGCCUACGUCCACUCUUCCGCACUGACAGCCCACCGGCUGGAUUUCACUAUGAACAAGAGAGAAGUUACAACACAUUUUUUCCUUGAUUCCAUAGUGUAGAUGUUCUACCACACUUCCUCAAGGUUUCUCACGAAUAUAGACUCUAUUUUGUUUACACGAUUAUGCUCAACAAAUGAAUUGACUAGAAAUAAUGAGCUUCAGACUUUGGAAUUCUUCUAUCGUGCACACUUUCGAACAACUAGAACGUCUUCCUUAUAUACUCCUUCAUGCCAUCAUACCCGUUGGCACUUACCAAAGGAAUUCCUCCAAUCUACCCGUUGGACGGAAUCAAUUAGGAAGAUCAUUCGAGCUAUUAAAGGAACAUGUCGAUAGCCCAUCAAUCAUGUUCGCCCAUACAAUCAGGAUCUCGGUUUCCAUAAGUAGAACCUUCCAAGUAUACUUCGCCAAUCAUCGGAUCCUUAAUAUUCGAAUCAAUUGUGAUCAAAUAAAGAAUUCCGUUAUGUCAUAUCCAGCCAAGAGAUCUUCUCCAGUCGAUAAGGCCACAUCCUUAAUGAAACAUCUAGUUCUUGAUAGCCUUUCUUCAACGGAUUAUAGACUGUCAAUGAGGAUAGACUUUGAGUCUUGAGUCUGGCUGUCCGGAGGUCUUCAGACUUUAAAUAGCAGAGUCUGCAAUCCUUCAGACUAGCCUGAUGGAAACGUUUUGUCAACUUCAAAACAUUUCAAGAGGAAUUUCUCCAACAAUCUCCUCCUUUUUUAUGGUGACAAAACUUUCCUGCAGAUUUGGAAAACUUUGACCUACAAAACAUUUCUCAAACACAUAUGCAUAUCUUAUAGAUAAAAUGGCUAAAUGAAUAACACUAGAUCUGCAACCACAGAAAAUAGGUUAGUCCAGUAUGCAAUAAAGCCAUCCAUAAGACAUCAAUAGUAGUUAAUAAUAAGCAGUCAAAUCCAAAUCCCAGAUUUAGUCCACAUCCAAACACAAGUCAAGUCAAAACAAACCACAAACAGAACAAGCCAAAAGUUCAAAUUUAAGUUCAAAGUUUUUCAAGUCUCGCAACUCUCCCCCUUUUUGUCAGCAUAAAAAAGAUUGAUAUGAAAAUGAAGUCAAGGAUUCUUGGGAAUACGAACAAGCUGAAAAUCUCCCAUCGACUGAACGAUGCCUUCCAGCCUUUUAAAGUCUUCCUUCAGCUGAGCAACAUCCUCACCCUUAGCAUUAGCCUGAAUCUGAAGAGAAAGGGCUUGGAUUUGAUCAUUUAAUGAACCCGAAGAGACUUGUCCUGCAUUCUGCAAGUUCUGAACUUCACAUCCCAAUGCAUAUAUCUGACCUUGCAUCUCCAAGAGAAUAUCCAUCACUCUGCGAAAGUCUGCUGAAUUUUCGGUCUGCGUACUGGCAUUAACACGAUCUGAUGGAGUAAAUGCAGACGAUGGUAGAUCAGCAUAAUCACGCAGAUUUGGCGAAGAAACCUCAUGACCUUCCUCAGGAAACUGAGAGGCAAAAACCUCCUCUGGAUCUGCUGGGGAUCGACUGACUCCCUCACUGGUUGCAGGAUUUAAGGUCAUUCCUAGUUUCUCUUGGUCUCCCCCUGUGUCCAUGCCUUUAGGUGGAGAGUGCUCCUCAUGUUCUCCUUCUUCUUGAUCUCUUUUCUCUUAUUCUUCUUUUUCAACUCUCUCUUGCUUAGCAUCUCUUUCUUCUUCUUCUUCUUCUCUUUCCUCUGCCUCUUUUUCCUCUGCCUCUUUCUCUGCUCUUUCUUCUGUCUACUCUUUUGAUUCUUUCUCUAGAACAGAUUGAUUGAGAUUCUUCAAAGCAGAGAUAGUGAUGUUAUCCUCAUCAUCUUCAUCCUCAACGAGGAGAGCUAUUCUUCUCUUGGAUGGAGCAUCCAUGGGCUCCUUACCUUUCCUUUUUCUUGCAGAAGAGAAUUGAUGAGAUUUGACUAGAGUCUUCUCGUUAAAUUUCUCCAAUGCCUUGCUUAGUUCCUUCAGACGCAUCUUGGUCACCAUUUUCAGUCCUACCACCAUAUGAUCGCACGAUCGAGCACAAAGAAUUUGCGGAGGCUGAAUGUUUAGAUGUCUGAAUAACUUCGUUACAAAACCUGGAUAAGGAAGUUGUCCUAUGUCUUUCAUCACAGCUUUAUACAUAUGGAACAUAAUAGUGUGAGGAAGUGAAAACCUUUUCCCAGUGAUGAUGGCAUACAUUAGCUUUGCCUCUGAACUUGAGACAUCAGUCUUGGAAGUUGAUUUCGGUCUGAGGCAAUUAAUUACAAUUUUGUGCAGCAAGAUGUUAAAUGCACUGAUCCUUGAAUAUGAAAUAUUUCCCUCUGUUCUCCUGUCUUUAACAAAUUCCAGAGUAGUACGAGCAAUAGAAACUUUGAUCCGUUGAUACCUUCCUCUCUCAACUCCUAACACAUCUGCCAGCAUAUCCAUAUCCACAACAAAGUCUUGAUCUUUGACACUGAAGGAGAAUCUAUUCGAAUCCAAGAAACUAAGAUUUGAAUAGAAAUAUGCAGAUAGUUGAGGAUAGGCUUCUGUGGAGUCAGAGCAGAAUUUCUCAAGUUGAAGAUGACCAAACUUUUCCCUUAAGUUCACAUUUACUUACAGCAUCCAGAAAGUCAAAAUCCACACUCCUAGGGUUUAUCACCCCUCGAUUCAGCAAUUUUGAGUAUAGAUCCAUAUGUUCCUUCGAUCUAAACAACUCUCCCAUUUUUCCUUGAUUUUCCGCCGCAAUUCCCAUUCUUGGCCGAAAUUCGCUGUAUAAUUUGUCAUCAUCAUUUCCAUCCACCGGAUUAACUCCCCAAUCUCGAGGGUCACUUGGGAUAUUCGCAAGGGAUUCUUCUGCCACACCCUUACGAGCAAUUCCCAAACUUUCCAUUUUUCACAAAAAGAUAUAUUCAUUUCCAUAUCCUUUGUCCUUAAGAAAAUCAUCCACAUAGUUCAACGAAGUACCAGUCCCUUUUAAAGCACGAUACAGCUGAUAAAUAAAAGAGGGCCUUUGAACUCUUACAGGGUCUGCAUCUUCAAUGAUUUCUUCAUUUUGAUGAUGAUUAACAUCUUGAGGACUAGAUGGAGGAGAAUGACGCUGCUGAGAAUGUUGUGGGCUCUGCUGCUGAUUUGGAGACACUUCUUCUUCAGUGAGAUCGAAGUGCGUAGGCCCCUCACUCAUUCGUCAUGGUCCCCUGCUUCCGAUCCUCGAAGACUUUCUUGAAGACGACAUCUUUCUUAGUCUUUGAAAGAUUCCUUGCUUGACUUUCCCAAAAAAGAUGACAACUUUUUCGAAGAUUAAACAAGAGAAGAAAACAGGAAUGGAAGAUUGGUGCUUUUUAGGGUUUUGGAGUUAAGCGAGGAGAAACCGAUUAUAUAUAAGACAAUCGUAAGGAGGGGAUACCAACCAGCGUAAUGGUAAGUGAAAAUAUGCCUUUUUUAAAAAAUAAAUUUUUAAAAAAAUAACUGCCCUUUUUCGAAAAAUAGUCACAUCAAAAUAACUUCUUUUUCUAAAGGAAACGAUGCAAUAAUUUUGUCAAUUAAAGAUAGCGAUUGAGAUAACAAUAAUCAACACGGUUGAUCAACGUACCUUUUCAAAAUGAGAUUAGAGAGAGAAUAACUUAUAGACAAAGUCUUGCAGUCAAAGUCUUAUAGUCUGAUUCUGAGAGUCUCUAGACUUUAACUUCUUCAAACUUCAAAAUGUUGAGUCUUGAACGGAUAAUUUCAAAUUGAUUUUUCUUCAAAGGCUUUAUAAAUACAUCCGCCAGUUGGUUCUUUGAGUCAACAAACUGAAUCGAAAUUUCUCCAUUUUGAACAUGAUCUCUAAUGAAGUGAUGUCGAAUCUCUAUAUGCUUUGCUCUUGAGUGAAGAAUUGGAUUUUUGGUGAGAUUGAUUGCGCUGGUGUUGUCACAUUUAAUCUCCGUGCAUGAAUCUUCAAUUCUGAAGUCUCUUAGCUGUUGUUUUAUCCAUAGAAUUUGUGAACAGCAACUUCCAAGAGCUACAUAUUAUGCUUCUGCUGUAGAGAGAGCUACUAUACUUUGCUUUCUUGAAAACCAAGACACUGCCCUGCCUCCAAGUAGUUGACAGGUACCUGAGGUGCUCUUUCUAUCAACUCUGCAUCUGGCUAAGUCUGCGUCUGAGUAUCCAAGAAGAGUAAAGUCUCCCCUUUUAGGAUACUAGAGACCGAAGCUUGAAGUUGAUGCAAUGUAUUUGAUAAUAGUCUUUGCAGCAUUUAAAUGUGAUUCUUUAGGGUUUGCUUAAAAUCUGGCAAAAAUGCAAACACUAAACAAAAUAUCAGGUCUAGAAGCAGUAAGAUAAAAAAAACGAACCGAUGAUACUCCUGUAUAACUUUUAGUCAACUUUCUUUCCUCCUUCAUCUUUAUCUAUCUUCACGGAGCUUGACAUUGGUAUAUCAGCCUUUUUGCAAUUGUCCAGUCCAAACUUCUUCACAAUAUCAUUAGCAUAUUUCUCUUGAUAAAUAAAAGUUCAUUCCUUCAAUUGUUUUACUUGAAGUCCAAGAAAGAAGGUUAACUCACCCAUCAUGCUCAUUUCAAAUUCAUCUUGCAUAGUCUUAGAGAAUUUCUUGCACAGACUUUCAUUAGAGGAUCCAAAAAUAAUAUCAUCGACAUAUAUUUGAACAAGUAGAAAACUCUUGCUUUCUCUUUUAAUGAAAAGAGUAGUGUCUACUUUACCUUUAACAAAUCCAUUUUCGAUUAAAAACUUACUCAGUAUGUCGUACCAAGCUCGAGGAGCUUGUUUAAGCCGUAUAAAGCCUUUUUGAGUCUGAAUACUGAGUCUGGUUUCUUUGGGUCUUCAAACCCAGGUGGUUGUUCCACAUAGACUUCCUCUUGGAUGAAUCCAUUUAAGAAGGCACUUUUGACAUCCAUUUGGAAUAACCUGAAAUUCUUAUAACAAGCAAAAGCAAGUAAUAAUCGAAUUGCUUCUAACCUUGCUACUGGUGCAUAAGUCUCGUCAUAGUCUAUCCCUUCUUCUUGUGUAUAUCCCUUGGCUAUGAGUCUUGCCUUGUUUCUUAUGACUUUUCCUUUCUCGUUCAUCUUGUUCCUGAAAACCCAUUUAGCUCCAAUAACAGACUUACCUUUCGAUUUAGGAGUUAAUUCCCAGACAUCAUUAAUACUGAAUUGCCUGAGCUCUUCUUGCAUAGCUUCAAUCCAGCUUUCAUCAGAUAAAGCUUCUUCUAUACUUUUAGGUUCUAUUUCAGAAAUAAGAGCCACAGCACUAGACUCUUCGCGCCUUUUGGAUCUUGUGCGAAUUCCUUCAUUGAUGUCGCCAAUAAUAAGAUCUUUGGGAUGACUAGACUUAUGUUUCCAGUUGCUGGUUAAUUUGUCAGAUUGAUGGUCACUUUCUCCACUUGAAUCUUCAACAGUCACUUGUUGCUGGUCCUUCAAAGUCUGAGCUAUUUUAGACUUUGUAAAGUCUGGAGCAGGUUUAGAUUCUUCAAGAUGAGUCUGAAUGGAUUCAUUUUGCAUAGAAUCUUGGAAUUUAACAUUCAUUGAUUCUUCCACUGUUUGAGUCUUCUUGUUGUAGACUCUGUACGCUUUGCUUGUGGUUGAAUAUCCAAGGAAGAUGCCUUCAUCUGAUUUUUCUUCAAACUUUCCAACUCGAUUAUUUGCAUUUUUCAGUAUAAAACAUUUGCAUCCAAAUACAUGAAAAUAUGAAACAAUAGGCUUCUUUUCUUUGAAUAGUUCAUAGGGGUUUUUUUUUUCCAAAAUAGGCCUUAGAAAGACUCUAUUUAUAAUGUAACAUGCUGUAGAAACUGCUUCAGCCCAGAAACGUGAAGAGAUGUUACUUUCAAUUAAAAGAGUUCUAGCCAUUUCUUGAAGAGAUCUAUUCUUUCUUUCCACAACUCCAUUUUGCUCUGGAGUAUAUGGAGAGGAGAAUACAUGCUGAAAACCAGAUUCAUCAUAGAAUUUUGUAAAAUCAUGAUUUUCAAACUCACCUCCAUGAUAUGUGCUUAUACUUGAUAUAACAUACCCUUUUUCAUUUUGAACCUUUUUAGCAAACUUUUCAAAGUGAGAGAAGGUUUCAGACUUACUUGUCAAGAAAUAUACCCAAGUGAAUCGUGAGUAAUCAUCCACAAUUACCAGGCAGUAUUUCUUACCUCCAAUGCUUUGCGUUCUGGUUGGUCCAAAAAGAUCCAUAUGCAAAAGCUGCAGUACACGGUUAGUGGAAACUUGAUUUAUUGGUUUAAAGGAAUUUCUUACCUAUUUUCCCAAUAUAUAUGGUGUACAUAGAUCAGACUUUUGAUAUGAUAAAUUGGAUAGACCACGAACAAGCUUCUUUGCUGAGAUUUUGGCUAUUUGCUUCAUAUUGACGUGCCCGAGCUUUCUGUGCAUAAGUUUGCUUCAUCUUGGAUUGAGAUUAGACAUUGUGAUUCAUCUGGUUUCACGUCCAAGAGGUAGAUAUUUCCAUGUCUUUGACCCAUGAAUGACUGAGUAGAAUCUUUACUAAUUCCAGAACAUAUUCCCUCUUGAAAGUUGAUUUUGAAACCAGUAUCACAUAGCUGACUAAUACUGAGUAAAUUGUAUUUGAGCCAUUCCACUAAGGAAACAUUGCUGAUUUUGAGAUUUCCAAUUAUUACAGUUCCAAAUCCCACAAUUUUUCCUUUACUGUUUCCUCCCAAAGAAACUUUUCCACCAUUUACUCGAACAAGCUUUAUGAAGUAAUUUGAGUCUCCUGUCAUGUGUCUUGAGCAUCCACUAUCCAGAUACGAUUUUACCUUUUUCUUGGUAGUGACCUGCAUUUAAAAAAGAAACUCAAGCCUUCUUUGGUACCCAUAUUUUCUUGGGUCCAUUGGUGUUAGUAUGAUAUGCGGUUUUUACCCAUAUCUUUUUAACAGGUUUCCAAAUCAUAGGAUAUUCUUUUUCAAAAUGAUCUGCACUAUUGCACUUUGAGCAUCUGAGAGCAUUGUGACCUACUGGUUUUACAAAGAUUCUUUUUAAAAUGAUUUUUGUAAGCAUCUCUUGUGGGUCUUUGUUUGAUUCUUUCUUUCACCUUAGGAAAAUCAAUUAAAGGAAUAGUUUCAUCAGUCAUUCCCAAACCAGAUUUAUUAAAAUAAGGUCUUUGAACAGAAAGAAUUUUUUCUAGUUUCUCAGAUCCUAUAGAAAAUCUUUUGGAAAUAUUUGAGAUAUCUCUUUUCAAGAAUGCAUUUUCUUUUAACAAAUUAUCUUCACUUUCCUUAAGAGAAGAAACAUUAUUGUCUAAACUUUUCACUUUUUCUUUCAAAAUAUUUUCCUGUUGUUUUAGAGCAGAAUUUUCUUUCUUGAGUUCGGAAAUUCUUUUAAGAGAAGUCUUAAGACUGAAACACAAUUCAUCAAUAUACUUUGAAACCUUAAUAGGGAUUUUCAAGUUACUUACUUCAAAUUCGCUUUCUGAGUCUGAAUCUGUCUCGGAAUUUGAAUCUGAAUCCGAUUGUGCCAUCAGACAUAUAUUGGCAUAAUCAUCAUCACUUUCUUCACACUCUGUAUCACUCCAGGUUUUAGCUUUAAGAGAUUUUCGGUACUUUUCAGUUUUUCCUUUCUUCUUUCUCAAAAGAGGACAAUUGGAUCUGAUGUGUCCUUUUUUCUUACAUUCAAAGCAAACUAUAUCUUUGUUUGAUUCAUCAUCCUCAACAGACUUAGUCUGUUGCUUUUGAAAGCUUUGUUUCUUUGGAUUGAAUCUUCUUCAUUUUCUAUUCAGCUUUCUGAAUCUUCUUAUCAUGAGAGCAAGUUCCUCAUCAUCCAUAUCGUCUUCAGAAUCUGUAGCAUCAGAAUCAUUAUUAGAUUUUAACGCAAUGGAUUUCUUACCUUUAGGGUCUUCGUCUUCAUUGAUUCGUUCCACUUCAUAAAACUGAAGAGUCCCAACCAACUCAUCAACAGAUAGAUGCAUGAUUCUUUGGGUCUCUCUGAUUGAGGUCUUUAUGUGAUUUCAAUCCUUGGAGAGUCCACGCAGUAGCUUGUUUACUUUCAUGGGAUCAGAAAUUGGUUGACCUUGAUUUUCAAGACCGUUCACAAUAUCUGUAAAACGACUAAACAUAUCAGUUAUAGAUUCUCCUGGUUUCAUUUUGAAGGCUUCAUAUUGGCCGAGGAGAAUGUUGAUUCUAGUCUCUUUCACUCGAUCGGUUCCUUCAUAAGUAAUAUGUAAUCUAUCCCAAACUUCUUUAGCUGUAACACAAGAAGAUAUUAUGUUAUAUUCAGUAGGGGAUAAAGCACAAUAUAAGGAAUAAAUUGCUUUUGCAUCAAGAGCUUGUCUCUUGAUUUUCUCUUCCUGAGUCAUUUCGCUAGACUCAACAUCUUUUCCUCUUUCUGAGACAGAUGCAGCUUUAGGAAUGAUUCCUUUUUCUACAACGUCCCAUUCCAGAGGAUCCUUUGAUCUUAGGAAUGCUUUCAUCUUGUUCUUCCAUAUGUUGUAAUCCUUUCCAUCAAAGUAAGGUGGUCUGGUAUUGCUUUGCCCUUCUACCAGCCCUGGAGCCAACAUACUAGCCAUGGAUCUUUAACUCUGAAGUAAAAUACUUCAACAAAAGUGAGUACACAUGCUCUGAUACCAAUUGAGAUGGCUAGUAUAAUCACCUAGAGGGGGUGAAUAGGUGCACAAACAAAUUUUCGAGAUACGGAAGCGAUUUUAGGCAAUCGAUAGAAAGGAAAAUACGAUCAAAGUAAAGUAAAUGUUAGGUAAGAGAGAAAUGAACACAAGAUUUAUAGUGGUUCGGCUUAUUCAAAGUCUACAUCCACUCUUCCGCACUGACAGCCCACCGACUGGAUUUCACUAUGAACAAGAGAGAAGUUACAGCACAGCUUUUCCUUGAUUCCACAGUGUAGAUGUUCUACCACACUUCCUCAAGGUUUCUCACGAAUAUAGACUCUCUUUUGUUUACACGAUUAUGCUCAACAAAUGAAUUGACUAGAAACAAGGAGCUUCAGACUUUGGAAUUCUUCUAUCGUGCAUACUUUCGAACAACUAGAACGUCUUCCUUAUAUACUCCUUCAUGCCAUCAUACCCGUUGGCACUUACCAAAGGAAUUCCUCCAAUCUACCCGUUGGACGGAAUCAAUUAGGAAGAUCAUUCGAGCUAUUAAAGGAACAUGUCACUAGCCCAUCAAUCAUGUUCGCCCAUACAAUCAGGAUCUCGGUUUCCAUAAGUAGAACCUUCCAAGUAUACUUCGCCAAUCAUCGGAUCCUUAAUAUUCAAAUCAAUUGUGAUCAAAUAAAGAAUUAUGUUAUGUCAUAUCCAGCCAAGAGAUCUUCUCCAGUCGAUAAGGCCACAUCCUUAAUGAAACAUCCAGUUCUGGAUAGCCUUUCUUCAACGGAUUAGAGACUGUCAAUGAGAAUAGACUUUGAGUCUUGAGUCUGGCUGUCCGGAGGUCUUCAGACUUUAAAUAGCAGAGUCUGCAAUCCUUCAGACUAGACUAAUGGAAACGUUUUGUCAACUUCAAAAUAUUUCAAGAGGAAUUUCUCCAACACUAGUUUCGGGAAACAAAACACAUUCAGAGAACGUGAAGCAUCCCGGAAUGUCUUCUUCUCCCUUGUUGUUUGCAUAGAAUAAUUUGAAGAAUCAUAAUUUAUAGCUUAAUUACGAAAAUUCCUCCAAUUAGAUAAAUUAAAAUUGCUGCUACCAAAUAUAAUUAAUCAGUCUUGUCGAGCUCUCUCGUAGCGUGCAUGGAGCGAAAGCCCCCUUUGUUUCCACUCUCUUUUCUCGGUUUCUCCGAACUCUGCUUUCCUUCAUUUUUUUUCUUCUUUUUUUUCGUUCUUCUUGGCCAAGCUUUGUUUUAUUUCUUUCUGCUCUUGUAAUUUGUCUUGCAAUGAAGCAAGACUAAAGAAAGGGCUAAAACGAGACACCCAGCCUUGGGCUUAAUGUUUUGCUCUUAUUUAUUAUUUUUUGCAAGCCCGUUCCUUGCAAAUUUAUUCAUGAAGAUAAAUCUUUUAGGUAAUGUACCGAUGGAUCCUAUGUGGAGAGAGGAUAGGUCACUCGAAAUUAAAGUUGGGCACAUAACUUUUUUUAAUAGAAAAAAUAUCAGAAAAAUUAUAAAUCUAUUGUAUUAGUGUCAAUUUGACCUAGUAUCAAUUUAAUCAUCUCAACUAAUUUUGAUCAGAAAUUACUGACAUAGAUAUUGGUUAUCUUGCAUGACAUGCCUGCCCUAACAUGGAUAAUUUUUUAAUAAUAAUUCAAUAUUUUUUAUUUUUUAUUUAUUGUUAUUAUUAUUAUUUUCUUUUUUUUUCUUCAUUCUUCUUGGCCUCACUUGGGCAGGAGUUGGCGUCGCCGACCACAGGUGAGGCCUAGCCAAACGAGAGUGAUCCCAAUCAAGCUUGCCACUUUGUAUCAUUCUUGGAAAAGGUUGAGCCCUCACUUAUGCCUAAAUGAGGCCUUACGAGAGUCAGCCUCACCCAAGGCAGACUUGGUGAGGCCAGCUUGCUCAGUCAUUGCCUAUAACCAACAAAAGGAAGAAGAAAGAAAAAAAGAAAAGAAAAAACAAUAUAUAUAUAUAUAUAUAUAUAUAUAUAUUAGUAUUAAAAAUUUUCCACGGCCCCAAAUCACUUUUUGGUGUCCAGGAGGGGAAUUAGGGGUGAUUGGGUCUAAGAUAGGCAGGAUCUAAACCUGGACCCUGUACCCGAUCCUGUUAAACGGAUUCCUCUUUUCUGGACCCUAUACCUGACCCUGUUUGUAUUGAACCGUAUACCUGACCCACCCUGUUUUUCCGAUCCGGUUGCAAGAUCAACCUUGUUUUCACUAGAACCUGUUUUGCAAUCUUCCGAUAUCUUAUACGACUUCGAAUUUUAUAUUAAUACGUGAGAAAAUAACGUAAUCCUCAUAAUUUGUAUUGAAAUAUUAAGCACUUGUAAUAAAUAAAUACAUAAACUUUUUGACUAAACGAAAAAUUAAGGAUUCACGAGGCUAAUUAUAAUAAAUAAGAUCAUAAGGCAAAGAAUUAGCAACAAACAUGGAUUUAAUAUUAUUCUUAUUCCCACAACUAUUACAUGAAGUUACUUAUUUAUGCAAGCAUAACUCCUCAUACAAAAGAAAAAUUAGGCGGGCCAAUCUAUGUGAUACACAAGAACUUGGCGGUGAUGAACACCGUCCGUCCAUCGGACGGUGUGAGAGGGAGCCAGGGAGGGAGGGAAGCAAGUGAGGAAGAGGAAUGUCCUCCCUUGCAUGUUUAAGAGAGCCAAGAGGAAAAACGUCGUGUGAUUGCAGGGUAAGAAUAAAAAUCGAGGGAGAAAAAAGGGUUUUGGACCUUUACUUACAAAACUGAUUAGGGAAUUGGUUCCAAAACCGGUCCAGGAACCAGUUUCUGGGUGGGUAAUCACUCGGAACCUGUUCUCGGACCAGUUUAAACCGAUUCCAAAUUUUGGGAAUUGGUUCCCAGACCUGUUUCAACGGGAACUGUUUCAACGUGAACCGGUUCUCGACCCUAUUUUCUGGGUGGGCUAGUUCAGGAACCGGGUAUACCUAGUUCGGUUGCACACCCCUAAAGGGAAUCAUGGUCUGUAGACAUCCAAUUUGACUUUUGGUGCCUUGUAUCAAAUUUUGGAGUUCGGUAUUUUGGCAAAACACUCCAUCAAAAGUGAAUUUGGAUGUCUGUGAUGUCUGUGGACCACUGCCAAAAUCAAAUUUUGGAGUCUAGUGUUAUAUCAAAUUUUGGAGUCCGGUGUUUGGGCAAAACACUACCGCACCAAAAGUGAAUUUGGAUGUCUGCAGACCAUUGCCAAAUCGCCGCAUCAAAAGUAAAUUUGGAUGUAUGUGGACCAUGAUUCCCUUCGGUAUAAAUAGAAGUAUAAAUGAUGCUCCUAUCAUCGCCCCUCACAACUCCAUGGAUCUUACCUCCGUUGUCUCUAUCCUAGUCAACUUCAUCCAAGUGAAACUUCCCCGCCUUCACCCUUUGAAACUCACCUCGUCGCCACCGCAUCACCAUUUGCAGCCUGCUCCUGCUUUUCUUUUUCGGGCGUGUCGCUAAUCCGGCACCAUUGUCAAGCGGCCCUCCUCCUUCUAGUGAUGGAGUAGCACGCCUCUUCUUCCACUUCACCAGUUUGAUAUCGGUGUUUUUGCUCAUGUGAUUACUGCUCCACGACUCCUUCCACUCCGUCCUUUGGUUCAUGCUAUUCCUGUUGCUUUACGUGAGUCUAUUGCGGGCCUCAUUCAGAAACUCUGGCUGUGGUUUUACAACAAACUUCUUCUCAUGAUUAUUCGUGCGGCACGCUCCCACGUAUGGCAUGGUGGAAGAGCACAGUCACAUUUGCCGUUAUCUAACAUAAAAACUAAUCAAACCUAGGAUUUAUAAUUUUUCAUUUUUUAAUUAAAAAUUAAAUAUAAUAUAUAUUAUCAGUCUGGUCAAGGUGGGCAAUUCCACACCUAAAACGAGAAACAAACUGAUUUCAUUGGUUUUUAGGCGAUCUAGAUGAUUCUCGAUUCAUUUGCACAACCUUGCUCCUCGUCGUCGUUGUGCUUUCACAUGGUCUCCACCCAUUUCUCUCUCCUCUUUAAGAGUUUCCACAAAUAUUCCUCCUCAAUACCUUGUUUUUUUCUGUUUUCUCGAAAAGAUGACAUUUAUGAUUCAAUUUGAAUGAAAUAACAAUUUUAAUGCACGCACAUUUUUCACCUAUGGUGUAUCAUCUUCAUUCCAUUAAUUUGUAUGUUCCUUUUGCUUAAAUUUUGAAUUUAUUAGACCAAUCAAGGUCCUACCUUGUUUGGCCUUUUUCCAAGGAAAAAAGGAAAAAAAAUGAAGAAGAAGAAGAUGACAACAAAGUUCUCUCUUUUUAUAAUAUUUAUUCUCUCCUGCUAGGGUGUGCGCAUGUAUGGAUGCAUAAACCUCUCUUCAAAAACUUCUGAGUCUCCCUUAUUGACUAUCCCAAUGUAGUUUCUUUGUGAACUAGACUUAGUCACCAGAUUUUCACUCAUGCCCUUCCCGGUUCCUUCCCCCUUUUACUCACCCCUCAUCCCUUGCUGUGCUUUCGCGUGGCCUUCCCCCAUUUCUCUCUCUUCUUCAAAAGUUUCCACAAAUAUUCCUCCCCUAUACCUUGUUUUUUUUUUUUUUCCUAUUUUCUCAUAAAGAUGAUAUUUAUUAUUGAAUUUGGAUUAAAUAAACAUUAUGAUGCAUGCGUAUUUUUCAUCUGUGAUAUAUCAUCUUCAUUCCACUAAUUUGUACGUUUCUUUUGCUAUAAUUUUGAAUUUAUUAUACUAAUCAAGGCCUAACCUAAUUUGAACUGGUUCAAGUCCUUUUUUCUAGGCAAAAGAAGAAGAAUUCUCUCUUUCGAUCAUAUUUAUUCUCUUCUACAAGGCUUUGCGUAUGUAUGGACACAUAAACCACUCUUCAAAAACUUCCUCAGUCCCCAUUAUUGACUACACCUCUGAUAGUGCUAGUAUUAACAAAAUAAAGGAGUUAAGGAAGAGAAUAAGAACACAAGAUUUAUAGUGGUUCGGCUUAAUCCAAGCCUACGUCCACUCUCCCACGAUAACAGCCUUCUUGGCUGGAUUCCACUAUGUAAUCAACAAGAGAUUACAACUUCGAGUGCAAACACUUAGUAGUAGAUCACACCAACUCACUAAGUCACUCUCUUGGUAUUUCUCUCACGAUUACAAACGUUUAAGCUCUCCAAAGACAAGUGUAUGAUCGAAGGUCGCUCAGACUUUGGAAUUAUAAAUUCUACGCUCCGUCUCUCUUACUUGCUCAUCGGUCCAUGAUCUCCUUAAAUACUCCUCCACUUCCAAACUACCGUUGGAUAGUAUCCCGGAGAAUCGUCUUCCAAUAUACCCAUUGGACAGCUCUGUAUUUAGAAGAUUUAGUAGCCGUUGAGUGACAAAGGUAAAAUCCCAAAUUGAUUCCGAUCGCCCAUACAAACGAAAUCUUGGUUUCCAUAAGUAAAGCUUCUUCGUAUAUAAAGUUCUUGUCUUCAAUCAAAUCAAUCUUGAUGUGGAAUCCAAACCAGAUCACUAGCCGUUGUAUGAUUGGGCUUGAGUUACGAUUCAUCGUAAUCUGGAUGUAAAGUCUGAGUCUUUAGACUUUACGAUAUAAGUCUUGAGACUUUACAAUCUGGGUCUGUAGACUUUACAAUCUGAGUCUGUAGACUUUACAAUCUGAGUCUUGAGUCUGGCAGUCUUCAGACUUUGAGUCUCGAGUCUGGCAGUCUUCAAACUUUGAGUCUCGAGUCUGGCAGUCUUCAGACUUUGACACAGAAGUCUGGAAAUCUUCCAAAUAUACUUUGGACAUGUGUUACAUUCAGUCUUCUGGUCGUCUUCUGACUUUGAUAAUAUCAUCUACAUGUUCUAUCAUCUGCAUGGUCUAUUACUCAACCAUCAAACAUGUUAGUAGCCUUUGAUUUAUUUUGUCAUCUUCAAAACAUCAUAAGGGAUUUCCCUAACAACCUCUCUCUCUCUCUCUCUCUUCAAUCUCAUUUAUUGAAUUAGACAAAGCCAAAUAAUCUCGAGAGAGAGAGAGAGAGAGUUUCCCCAGGGUCUUAGGGGAGGCUUCGAUGCGACCGCAACAAUGGUUGGACCAUGUGGCAUCAAAUGAUGAUCCUAUGUCCAGGUGCGCGCGUAUGAAAUCUUAAUUAAAGUUGCGAAUUUUUUUAAAAGAAAAUCAAGGCCGAAUGAGAUUAAAAUUAAAGUUGGGCAUCUUUUCUGGAAAUUAGCCCAUAAAAAAGUAAUGCUUCCAUCAACAAUCCAAGGCAUCUUAAACUUAUUUUUGCAAUAUUUCAUCGAAAAGAUAUCCAGCUGCUUCAAAAGUAUUUUAGGAGAAUUUAAUAUAUGCAACAAUCAUAGAUAUAGAUGAGUUCGUGCUUAAAACAUGGCAACAAACAAAUGUUCAUGUCGCAAUAUAUAUAUAUAUAUAUAUAUAUAUAUAUAUAUAUAUAUUGUAAACUAUGCUAGGGGCGAGGAUAGGUCAUGGGGGGGAAAUGUUUGGCCAGAUCAAGGCCUCUUUAAUGGGAAAAAAUGUCGAAAAAGUUUUAAAUCUAUUGCAUUUGUGUCAAUUUAAUCUCAAACCUUUAAAUCAUAACAAUUUGAUCAUAAUUUUUUGCUAAUUCAAUUCUUCAGACUAAUUUUAACUAAAAGUUACUAAUAUAGAUGCUGGUUAUUCAAUGUGAUUCAACCAAACAGGUUACCCUCACGUGGGUGAGGAUCAUUGGCCUAACUAGGUGAGAGCGAUUCUCAAUGAGGCAGCCUUGGCCUGGUCGAGGGGAGCCCUCGCCCUCGCCUAGGCUAAGAUUUGGUGAGACCAGCCUGCUCAGCCAUUGCCUAUGAAUGGCAAAAGGAAGAAGAAAGAAAAAAAAAUUGUAAAAAAUUGUAAAAAUAUUAAAUUUUUAUUAUAAAUUUUUUUACAACCACCCACGUAAGCAAUAUUCAGUCCAAAUUAAUCGAAAUUACUAAAUUGACACAAUUAUAAGAUUUAGGAUUAAAUUUAGAUAAAUGCAAUAGGCUGAUGAUUUUCUUUGGUAUUUUUCUCCCUUAUGAAUAUAACCAAAUAAAAAAUAAAUCCGACAGUUCAAGGCCUUCGUUCACUCCAUGGCGUCGUGAGGGGUGAGGGUAGGGACAUCAUUUGAUAUUUGCUUUUUCAUGGAAAGUGGCACAGGACAUAAUUUUUGUUUUUUUUUGGGUCUGGGCAUAGGACAUUGUUUUUAUUUUGGGUGCUGCGGGGCGUCGUGAGGGAUGAAAAGACGGGACGUCAUUUUAUACUAUUUCUUUUGGGUGAAUUUGAACGCUCUAUAUUUGGGAUGUUGCAAAACAUUUUUUUAGGUCCAAACCAUUGAUGAUAUGCACCCAAAUGGGAUGGAAAAACGGGGACGUCAUUUCAUACUCUUUCUUUUGGAUGAAUUUGAACACUAUAUUUUGGAUGUUGCAAAACAUUUUAUACUCCUUCUAGGUUUAGGGCACUUUAUAUUUUGGAUGUUGUGAAACAUUUCAUACUCUUUCUUUUAGGUUUAGUGUACUUUAUAUUUUAUAAAAUGUUUCGCAACAUGUUUCGCAAUAUAUUUGGCUGUUGCGGAACAUUUUAUACUCUUUUUUUUAGAUUUAAUGUACCUUAUAUUUUAUAAAAUGUUCCAGAUUCCUACAGGAUUAGAUUUAAUGUACCUUAUAUUUUAUUCCGGAUUCCUACAGGAUAUCCGGAAAAUCUGAUAAAAUACAAGGUACAUUAAAUCUAAAAGAAAGAGUAUAAAAUGUUCCACAACAUCCAAAAUAUAGGUUCUAUAAAAUGUCGUCCCCGUCUUUUCAUCCCCUCACGACGCCAUGGAUCUUACCUCCAUCGUCUCUAUCCUGGUCAACAUCGUCCAAGUGGCUUACCAGGGGAAGUCGAUUUCACCCUUGGAAACCCACCCCCUCGCCACCCGCGUCGCCAUCUGCGGCCUCCUCCUGCAUUUCUCUUUGGGGUAUGUCGCUAAUCAGGCACCACCGCCUCGGAUGGAGCAGCGCGCCUCCUCUUCCACUUCACCGGUUUGGCAUCCGUGUUUUUGCUCGCAUGGUUGCUGCUCCACGACUCCUUCCACUCCACCCUCUGGUUCGUGCUGUUCGUGUUGCUUUCCGUGAAUCUGUUGCGCGGCCCCAUUCAAAAACUUUGUCUGUGGUUUUUCCGCAAACGCUUUCUCAUGAUUAUCCGUGAGGGGGGCUCCCGUGUAUGGCACGGUGGAAGAGCGCAGCCACAUUUGCCACGCCCGGUUGUGGAUAUGCGUUUCAUGCUGGAAGUCUGAGUGCCGUAGUUGUUCGACUGACUGCUCUCUCCUUGGAAGAAGUAAUUUUAAUUGUGUGAUCUCUUUAAAUCAAAUUAUUAGUACUUUAGGAAGCUAAGCAAGAUUAGUGUAAGAGGCACUUGGGGCUUUCUUCUCUUUAUCUGAAGCCAUAGCCAUGAGGAAUCCCCAAGCCUUUGGCGUCAAAUUAUCUCCCGAUCAUAAUAAAGGAGAGCAGGGAACAAGUAAAAACCACCUAUAUAUCUUUCCUGUUCCUAGCCAUGAAUGGUGAUGCACCUUGCAGUGACUAGAAAUUGGGAUCUGUCGAAGAGAUUGAAGAUGACCUCAACAAUUGUUACCACGAGUAGAAUGGUCGUUUCUAGCAGCCAUAUAGGGGUAGUAAUUGUUCUUGAGGUUAAAGCUCCUGACCUCUUUGAAAACAUAGUUGAGCGUUGCAGAUUUCCUUCUUUUUUCUCGUAAAUUUCUCUGUAGCUUUCUGUUUGGCCAGUGGGUGGAUAUGUGUCGUUUUUACGUUCUUUGCUGGUGUACUAUGUUCUUGUUCAUUUAUCAAUGGGAUAAAUUGAUGCCUUGGUGACGCGAGCACAGCUACAAUUUUAAAAGCUUCGAUCUAACACUAACAUCAUUGAGUGAUCCAAAUCAAAAUGAAACAUGUCAGCUUUUUCCAUCUCUCGCAUAUACACCAUUACUGCUUACUAGCUAUUCCGAUGAUAAUAUAGGUGGUCUGUCAUUGCAGAAUGUGGGAGUCAUUACAUCAUGUAGUCUUCAUUUUACCUCUGCGAGGCGACAGCUAGAUCUUUGCUGUGGCAAAUGCAUUAACUUGCAAUCAAAGACUAUGUUGUCUCCCUGGCUGAUUAAAAUUCAAGCUGCCGAGGCCAAGGUAAGAAAAGAACGCUGAAAUGUUGAUUUUUUUUUCUGUAGGCUUUAGUUCAAGAUUACUGAAUUUUGGCAGACUGUAGAUGUUAGAACCGAACUUUUCCCAUCGUCAUUUGCUGUAGAAUUUACAGUUCAUGUAUGCAAAGCUAGAUAGAUAGUAUGCAGAUGCUCGAGACAAUUCUGUACAAACUACACUCAUCUGAUGUUCAUAUUUGUGGAAAUAAUUAGACCAGCUAGCUUCCUGACAAUUUGAUUCAUCAUCAAAUUAGGCAUCCCAAUGUUAAUACUUUGAUAAAUGACAGAGCACAAAAGCCUUGCACUUCAAAAAUAUGAUAUUUGUCUGUUUUUACUGCAGAGAACAACAAUCUUGGAUGUCGACUGUAGCAGUGAGUCCAAUUGACUUGCAUAAAAACUUAAGUUGAAACAUCAAACAGAAGGGUGUUCUCCUGACUCCCAAAUUCUUUUUGUCUUGAUAAGGGCAUCCCCAACUCUGCAACUAAAUGCACUUCGCUUGUAGCUUUCGGAGACCAGCAUUACACGUCUUUUCUUGAGUACCUCCAAUUAUGCGCCCACUUUUUCCCGCAGAAUUUCAACUUUUUCAUCUAGUUCAGGCUGUUCAGCAAUAGCAGGGUCUUCAGUUAUUUGCACUAUUCUAGCAACUUGGAUUAAACACUGUUUGGUAUUAGCGCAUUUUCUGCUGAUUAUCACUUAUUGUGUAGAUGAGUCUAUAUAUAUGAUGUUAAAAAGGAGCAUGGCUAUUCACCACAUCACAUGGCAGCAUCUUGUAUCCAGUUUUGGCUAAAGGCUGUUUAGCAAGAGAGCACUACUGGGAUACAAGCGCCCCAUGGUAAACACAUUUGAUAAUGAGUAAUCCAAGGGCCAAGGGCAUUCAUCAUCCAUAAGCACCCAGGAUUUGUGUUCCUUUAUGAUAUUAUGAAGGGCACAAUAGUAUGCUCACUGGUUAUUAUCUUUCGAUGAACCAAGCAUAAAAGUGUGAGUUGAUGGAAUUUAAUGGAAAUUUUUUACUGUAGUGGAAGGCAAUCAGUGAUGAUUAAGAUUGCAUUGCACACAACUGCAAAAGCCGAAGCUGCACAAUUUACCACAGACACUUCAUAGUAGCAUGGUUAGGUAGAUUUAAAAUGAGAAAGUGUAUAUGCUUGCGGAGGUGAUGUUUCGAAGUGGGCCCCUUAAAAGUGCAUGGAGUGUUGAAGUCGUCACUUCCGUGCAGUGAAAGACAGAGCAUCCAUGCUCUUUGUGACAUAUGUCAACAGUGCUCCUCAUACGAGAAGAGAAAGGAUGUGCGGGGUGAGCAGGUCGUUGCAUCUGAGGGCAAUUCAGCACAUAAUUUAUGGAGCAGAGAGGAGCAUCUCUGUGCUGCAUGGCAAUACGCUAAACAUUUGACACAUUCAACACAAGCCUUGCACGCACCAUCCUUCAUAUGCCAGUUCCAGUGGCAGAGAAUGAUAGUGUAGCGGAGAAAGGAGAGGCAAUCAAGACAACUGUGGACCUCACCUAUAUGUUCCAUUCACAAGCUUCACACCCAAUUUUGCAGUCAAGCUGUGUGUGGAAGACCAGUGGAUGCUGAUGGUCGAAAUGGUAAAAAACCGAGUCCUUUGUGCCUCCAGAAGGACAACUAGCUAUUCUGAUGAUAAUAUUGUUUGUGUUUGUUGUUACAGAAUGAUAGAUUGGUUACAUCAUAUAGUCAGCACUUUACCUUUGAGAGGUGAGAACCAGAUCUUUGUUCCGGCAAAUGCAUCAACUUGCUUCAGCAAAUAAGAUUUAUAAAGACAGCGACUUUCUUUUCUGAUGUAUCCUGUUCGUAUCCAGAAGCUCUUGGAUCUGAAUAAUGCAAUCUAAGACUAUGUUGUCUCACUGGUUGAUUGGUUUUCGUCCAGGAGCUAGAAUUGUUGCUUCAGUCAGAAAUUCAAGUUGCCAGGGCCAAUGUGAGAAAAGAAUGCUGAAAUAUAGAUUUCUUUUUUGGGAGGCUUUAGUCCAAUAUAACCGAAUUUUGGUAUACUGCAGAUGUUAGAAUGGAACAAUUCCCAUCUUCAUGUGCUGGAAAAGAAUUUACAGUUCAUGAAUGCAAAGCCAUAUCGAUAGUAUGCAAAAGCUUGAGUCUAGUCUGUACAAACUACACCUGUCUGAUAUUCAUUUUUCGAGGAAAUAAUAAGACCGGCAAGCUUCCUGACGAGUUGAUUCAUAAUCAACUUAUUCAUCCCAAUUUUAGUGCAUUAAUUCAUAACAUGAAGCAAACAAGUCUCACACUCAAAAAUAUGAUAUUUUUCUGCUUUUGAUGCAGAGAAUAACAAUAUCGGAUGUCAAGUGUUAGCAGUGAUUCUGGACUUGCUUGAGAACGUAAAUUGAACCAUCAAACAGGAAGGUUGUCCCCUGCCUUCCCAAUUCCUUUCUUCUGGAUAAGUGCCUCCCCAAUUCUGCAACUACAUGCACUUUGCUUGCAUCUUUUUGAGACCUGCAUUGCCUCUUUGCUUUUCCUGCGGAAUUGCAAUUUUUUCAUCUAGUUCAGCAAUAGUAAGGUCUUCAGGUACUUCCAUUACUUUAAAAAACAUUUGGUAUUACCAUAAUUUCUGUUGAUUAUAACUUAUUGUGGAGAAUGAGUCUAUAGAUGAUGUUAAAGAAAGAAAAAAGAACAGGGCUAUUCACCACAUCACAAGGCAGCAUCUUGUAUCUCUUUGUUGGCUAGUUGUCAGUUUAGUGAGAAAGCACUUCUGUGAUGAAAGCAUACCGUAGGUAAAACACAUUCGAUAAAGUAAUCAAUGCACGGGCAUUCAUCGCAGCUGGAAGCACCUUGAUUCAGGUCUUUUUUCUCUCAAAGGUCACAAUAGUACUCACCGGCAUGAUCUUCGAUGGACGAAGUGUAAAGUGUGAGUUGAUGGAGGUGAUGGUGAUCUUUUAUCGUUGGUGGAAUUGUGGAAGAUAGUACUCACUGGCAUGAUCUUUGAUGGACGAAGUGUAAAGUGUGAGUUGAUGGAGGUGAUGGUGAUCUUUUAUUGUUGGUGGUAGUUAUGGAAGGCAAUCGUGAUUGACAUUAAGACUGCACUUCACAAGAACGUGAAAGUUGAAAGUGCAAAAUUUACCAGACAAUGCAUAGGGAAGCGUGGAUCAGUAGAUCUAAUAUAAGAAAGAGCAUACGCUCUUGGAGGUGAUGUUUCAAAGUGGGCCUAUUAAAAGUGCAAGGAAUGUUGAAGUCAAAGUUGCAUUUUACGCAGAGAAAGACAGCGUCAAUGCUCUUCACAACAUGCGUUAGUGAGCGUUCCUUCCUGAUAUGGGAAGAAGUGGCUGUGCCAGGGUGAACGGGGUGUUGCAUAACUGAGGGCAAUUCAGCACAUGAUUUAUGGAGUAGAUGAGAGCAGCACUGCUCCAUCGGCAGUGGAUGAUCGUGAAUUGGAGAAAGAAGAGGCAAUCCAGGCAACCAUAGACGUGACCUAGUAUGCUUUGCACUCGAUUCUGGUUUCAAGCUUCACGUGGAGGGACACCAGUAGAUGCCGAUGGGCGAAAUGGCAAAAAAACUGGGCCUUUCUUGCCAUCCAGGUCUUGUGAACCUAGACUUAUAGCCGCACAGUCCAUGUCAAGGCUGAACUUGCAUUCGCUGCACCGGAAACUAUAUGGCAGGCAUUACAUUGGAGGUCUACCAAUUGACCGAAAGCAAGAGAGAUGGUGAUCAUGGAGAGACGGGCAUUGCAUCUCUGGGGGGAGAUUUGGCGCAGCUCUCAUGGAGAGAGAAUACACACGUGUACCAUCAAUAGACCUCCUCGCAGGCUUCACAUUUGAUUCUACUUUUUUUGUCUCCGAGAUGAUGGGAUGUGAGCAGAUGCUAAUGAGCAAAACGUUGGAUGGUCGCAUUCUCAGAUUCCUCAUCAGGCUUAGAAUUGUGAGUAGGUAGACGAAGCAAUAUCGGGCUGUGCAGCAACGCUUAACCAUCCGAACGGCAAGAAGGAAGCCUGCUCACACGCAUGGCAACUCCGACAAUCCUCCGCAUCAUUGCCUAGCAGUCAAGUCGGGGCAGCGGGUGAAACGGGGGUCCUAGGGCGGACAGCAUGCCAAAUUCAGUGCAACUGGUGAAAGAAAAAUUGACACGAUUCACGGCAGUGGGCUGAGCCGCGGAGCGAAGACCAGCACGCGAGACAUUCCAAGCAACUACAACUUCCGCGUAGGUUCCGGAGACUCAAUGCAUGAUUGCCAAGGCAAAAUUAGGAGAUAAAAAAAACAUUUUGAAUGGAGUUAUGUCAACACGAAGCAAAUGAGGUGACAUGAAUUGUACCCCACUCCCAUAUUAUUUGAUGUUGUAUUUCAGUGUUCAUCCGUCCAUUUUUAUUUUAGUUUAUUUAUGCUUCAACGCAAUAGUUAAUAAAACUAAAGUGGCCCAUGAAAAGUUUUAUAUCUUGUUCAUUUAAAGUCAGCUGCAAUUAUAUGAGGUCUUAAAAGUGCAUUCACCCUGGGCUAGUCUAUACAUUCAUCAGAGUUCUUAUCCAACUUUUUUCUAAAAGUAACUUUUGCGUAAGACAAUUUUGUGAUAACAGUUUUGUGGUAAUCGUUUAAAAAGCCAAAUUCACAAUUUUUUUUAAAAAUUUUACGAGUUAUUUUUUUAAUUUAUUAUUCGAUUGCAUUUACAUGUAAAAGUAAUGUUUACAUUUGCCAUUAAAUACAAUUCGUACAAAUAGUAUGAGGCGAAUCUACUUUUUUUUAGUUAUCAAUGUCUAUAAAUGCACAUGUUCUGCAGCACCCUUGAUUUGUAAGCUAUGUCCAUAUGGCUCAUUGAAGCAGUAAUUGUAAUUAAACUUGUAAUUUUCUUUUAAAUCUUUGAAUAGAACUCGAUUUUAUUUUCAAAAACUAAAUAAUUAUCUGUAUUGGUUAUUUAAAAAAAAAAUACAGAUUGAAGUUGUUACAGACCCAAUUCACAUAUACAACCUACAACUUCAACUAAUUAAAUUGAAUUUAGAUCCACGGAUAAAAAGUUGGCAUUUGUAUAAACUAUGAAGACUAAGACUGAGGAGAAUAUUUCUAGAAAGAGCAAAACAAAAUAGAGAGGUGCUCUUCCGAGUAAUUACAAGUAAACCUAUCCAAAUGAUAAAAUGAACUACAUUGGGAUGAAAUAAAGAUUAUGAUGCAUGUACAUUUUUCAUCUAUGGUGAUCAUCUGCUUCUUUUGCUAAAAAUUUGAAUUUAUUAUACUAAUCAAAGUAACGAUUGGUCCGACCUUGAUUUUAAACCGGUUCACAUCCUUUUUCUAAGGCAAUAAAGAAAAAAAAAAAGACAAGAUGCUCUCUUUUGUCAUAUUUAUUCUCUCCUGCUAAGGUGUUCACGUGUACAUAUAGACCUCUUUUCAAUCUCCUUUAUUGACUCUUACCACUUUUCAAUCUCCUUUAUUGACUCUCUCUCUCUCUCUCUCUCUCUCAUAGAGAGUUACCAAAGGGUCUUAGGGGAACCUUUGGUGUUCACCUUGCAAAGGUUGGACUAUGCUGCGUUACAUGAUAAUCGUAUGGCCACUCAUGGGUGGAAAUGGGGCCUUCAUGAAACUUGGGAACUUUUUAACAACAAAAAACCAAUUUGAGUAGAAGCGCGAUUAAAAUUAAAAUUUGAGAUUUUUUUAGGAAAUUAGCAAAAUUCAUACUUCCAUCAACAAUCCAAGGUGUCUUAAACCGAAGAAAAUGCAAUCUUUUGUAAGUUAAAAACCUAUUUUUGCAAUAUUUCACCAAGAAAAAAUCCACGCUGCUUCAAAAGUAUUUUAGUAGGAUUUCGUAUAUCCAACAAUUAUAGAAAUAGGUGAGUUCGUGCAUAAAACAUGGCGACAUGAGGAUGCUCAUGUUGCGAUAUAUUAUUUGCACAAUAAAUGUGUAAUCAUAGAAAGGGAGGGGCGGCUAUUAUUGCAAUAUGAAAUUAGUAAGAUUAUAAUGAUACUCCUUACCAAAAACAAAGAAGAAGAAGAUUAUAAUGAUAUUGAGAAACAAUAAUGAUAUAUUAAUGUAUGUUUUCAUUUUAUUGACUUUGUGAAUAAGAUUUCAUUUAUCUAUUGUCACACCCCAACUCUAUAAAAUAAGGAAAACAACACCACCAUGGUCUUGCCCAAAGGAUGCAACUUCAUAUUAUCAAAUAUAUAUAUAUAUAUAUAUAUAUAUAUAUAUAUUCAUCUAUAUACUUGAUAAAUAGUGAGUUGGUUACAAAAUCAAGGGUUCUGAAUUUUUUUUUUUUAAAAUGUGUGAGUGUAUCUCCAAACUCAAUUAAACCCCACAAAUAUCAUCCUAGACAUAUAUGAGUAUCUAAACUCACAUCCAAAUCCAAAUGCAAAAAAUUUCUCGCCAAUAAUGCUUGCGUCCUAUUUUAGCUUACCUGAAAAAAGAUUUGGAAUGAAUAGUGUGAGUAACCACAGCUUAGUGACUAAUCCAAAUCUCUUCUAAGUAGAUCAAGCAUCUAUUGUGAUAAAGCAAUAACAAAGAUUCAUCUAUCCAAAUCCAAUAUAUAAUGUACAAUAAAAUCAAAAUAUGAGGAAUCACUUUAACGCAACUUUAGACUAAUCAAUUAUAUUCAUUCAAAUUUCAAAUACCAAAAGGGUGGUACACGCUCCAUCUGGUUUUAUGCAACAAAUAUAUUUUAAACAUUACUUUUUCGUUUAAAAAAAUCAUAUGGUGCAUUGUUUUUCACAACUUAUAAUAUUUCAAUUCACAAUCACUUUCAAGACACGAGCUUACAAAUUUGUAGAGGAUAACAACCACCCCUAAAUAAAAUCCAAAUUGAAAGUUCGCCACUUAAAAAGUUUCAAAGUCAUAUCAAAGAUUAACUAAAUGUCAAACUUACAUGUGAACUAACCUCAACUAAAACUUUAGUAGGCGAUACCGUAUUCUUGAGUCAAAUCGUCCACUUGACAAAAGAUCUUCAAACAAUUACUUUGCAAACAGAGUCAACCUCAUCUUAAAACUCCAAUUCAAGCGAGCUUACUUUUAGUAGAAAACUCUUUUGAAUUACUAAAAGACCAUAAAGCCAAAAGAUGAUUGGAGAAGGGUGAAAUCCAUUGCCAAAUACAGUAAUUUGAAAACCAUUUUAGUAGCAUGCAAAAUUUUAAAAAUUUAUCCCAAUCAAAUUGCAAACCUAAAUUGACUUUCCUGAAGUCCUACUUUGCACUACCCUAAAAUUUCUUUACAAUAUAAUUUCAUAGCUUAAAAACCUCUAAAAUCAACCUAGCAACAUAGAACCCAUACCAAACCUAAUUUAUAGUUUAAUUACGAAAGCUCCUUUAAUUAGAUAAAUAAAAGUUUCAAAUCCUUACCAAUUGCUAAGAAACAGAAUUAAUCCGGUGCAUACAGCAAGAGCUCCCUUUAUCUCCUCUGUCUUUUUCUCGGUCUCUCCAUACUCUACUUUCCUUCUCUCUUUUUUUCGUGUUCUUCUUGGCCAGACUGUUUUCAAUUUUUUUCACUCUUUUUGCUCUAGUAAUUCCCUUACCACCACAGCAACUGAAGCAAGACCAAAGAAAGGCCUUUAACGAUACACUUGGGCUUGGCCUUUGUGUUUUGCUCUUAUUUAUUAUUUUUUGCCAGCCCGGUUAUUGAAACUUUAUUCUUGUACAUGAAUCUUCCAGGUAUUACCUAUUGAUGUAACUAUGCGGACACACUGUACCGAGGAAAGGGAAAGGGGAAUUCAAUUGGCACCGGACAAAGUCUAUUUUUUUUUUUUUUUUGGAAAAAAUCACUAAAAAUCCAAAAUUUUGACCAAAGUGAUAAAUUUAUCCUAAGUUUUUUUUUUUUUUUUUGUGAUAUGAAAUAUCCCAAACUUUACCAAUCGUGAUACAUUUAUCUUAAAAAAAAAAAUUAUGACACAAAAAAUCAUGAACUUGUAUCAGUGUAACACAUUUACCCUUAAUUAUAGAACAUUUUGAUAUUUUACUUUUCUUUUUUUCUUCUUCUUCUUCUCUAGGGAAGAGAGUAGAAGAAAAAAGGGCAAAAAAAAAAAAAAAGGAAAAGCAGAAAAAAAAAGAAAAAGAAAAGAAGAAGAUGAAAAUGUCUUUAGUGGGGUAAAUGUGUCACGAUUAGUAAAGUUUGGAGAUUUUCAUGUCAUAAAAAAAUUUGAGGUAAAUUUGUCAUUUUAAGUAAAAUUUGAAGUUUGUGGCGGUCUUUUUUUUUUUUUUUUUUCCUAACACAAGAAAAAAUAAAUAGGAAAGUUCAGGGACAUGCUUCGAAGAGCGAAACCAAGAAUCUCAUGAAUGAUAGCCACGUGGUUCUUUCAUGCAGAGUGGCAUUAUUGUUAUUAGGUGAAGGCUUAUGAAGAGCGAAAUCAAGUAGGGGCAUCAUUCGUCUUCUCUUGUGAAGAGCAUAAGCGAAAUCCCUGGUUCCGAGAUCUCUUAUGAAGAGCGAAACUUAUGAAAGGCGAAGUCCCUGAUUCCGAGUUCUCUUACGAAGAGUGAAGCUUAAGAAAAGCGAAAGAGCACUCGCUCAUCUCAUCGCUUUUCAUGAGAUCACUCGCUCGGAUUCAUAUUCAUGGCUUUUCAUAGAGCACUCGCGCGGAACCAAUUCAUCGCUUUUCAUAAGAGCACUCGCUCGGAACCAUGAGUUGCGCUUUUCAUAAGCUUCGCUCUUCAUAAGAGAACUCGAACCACCAACGAUGUCCGCCAUGGAUUUUACCUCCAUCGUCUCUAUCCUGAUCAACUUCAUCCAAGUGAAAUUCCAGGGGAAGUCGAUUUCACCAUUCGAAACUCACCCCGUUGCCACCGGCGUUGCCAUCUGCAGCCUGCUCCUGCAUUUCUUGUUGCUGCAUCUUGCUAAUCUGGCACCCCCGUCUAGCGGCCGCACUCCUUGCGAUGGAGCAUCGCACCUCCUCAUCGACUUCACUGGUUCGAUAUUGGUGGCUUCGCUCGCGUGGUUGCUGCUCCACGACUCCUCCCACUCCGUCCUCUGGUUGUUCGUACUGCUCCUGUUGCUUUCCGUGAGUCUGUUGCGCGGCCUCUUUCAAAAACUUUGGCUUUGGUUUUAUGGCAAAAUCUUUGCCAUGAUUUUCCAUGUGGCGCCAUCUCGUCUAUGGCAUGGUGGAAGAGCGCUGCCAUAUCCGCCGCGCCUGGUUGUGGAUCUGCAUUUGUUGCUGGAAGUCUGAGCGCCCUAGUUGUUCGACUUACUGUUUCCUGUUUGGAAAAACUAAUUUUAAUCGUAUGACUACUUUAAAUCAAAUUAUUAGUACUUUAGGAAGCUAAGCUAGUUUUGUAUAAGGUGCACUCGGGCCUUUCUUCUGUUUAUCUGAAUACAUGUCCCCAAGCAUUCGACAUCAUUGAAUUAUCUCCAUUGGCCGUAAGAAAGGAGAGCAGGGAACAAGUAAAAACCACCAGUGUAUCUUUUCUAUUCCUAGCUGUGAACGGUGAUGGACCUUGUAGCGACUAGAUCCGAUUAAGAUAGGCUUAUUCCUAAAAAGAAAUUGGGAUCUAUUGUUAUCAAAGAGAUUGACGAUGAUAAACAAUUGUUAUGACAUAGUAGAAUGGUCUUUUCUAGUAGCCAUAUAAGGUGUAGUAAUUGUUCUUGAGGUUAUAGCUUCUGACCUCUUUGAAAGCAUUGCUGAGUGUUGCAGAUUUCCUUCUUUUUCUCUUUGUAGCUUUCUGUUUGGCCAGUGGAUGGACACGUAUCAUUUUACAUUCUUUGCUGGUGUACUAUGGUUUUGCUCAUUUAUCCAUAUGAACUGGGAUAAACUGAUGCCUUGGAGACGCGAGCACAGCUACAAUUUCAAAAGCUUUGAUCUGACACUAACAUCAUUGACUGAUCCAAAUUAAAAUGAAAGAUGUCAGCUUUUUCCAUCACUAUCACAUAUACACCAUUACUGCUUACUAGCUAUUCCGAUGAUAAUAUAGUUGUAGUUUGUCAUUGCAGAAUGUGGGAGUCAUUAUAUCAUAUAGUCUUCAUUUGACCUCUGAGAGAUGACAACUAGAUCUUUGCUGUGGCAAAUGCGUUAACUUGCAGUCAAAGACUAUGUUGUCUCGCUGGCUGAUUGCUGCAGCCAAGGUGAGAAAAGAAUGCUGAAAAGUUGAUUUUUUUCCAUAGGCUUUAGUUCGAGAUUACUGAAUUUUGGCAGACUGUAGAUGUUAAAACCGAACUUUUCCCAUCUUCGUGUGCUAUAGAAUUUACAGUUCAUGUAUGCAAAGCUAGUUGGAUAGAAUGCAGACGCUCGAGACAAGUCUGUACAAACUACACACAUUUGAUGUCCGUAUCUGAGGAAAUAAUUAGACCAGCAAGCUUCUUGACAAGUUGAUUCAAAAUCAAAUUAUGCAUCCCAAUGUUAAUACUUUGACAUAUGACAGAGCACACAAGUCUUGCACUUCAAAAAUAUGAUAUUUAUCUGCUUUUUCUGCAGAGAACAACAAUCUUGGAUGUCAACUGUAGCAAUGUGUCUAAUUGACUUGCAUAAGAACGUGAGUUGAAACAUCAAACAGGAAGGUAGGUUCUCCUGACUCCCGAAUUCUUUUUUUCUUGAUAAGGGCCUCACCAACACUGCAACUACAUGCACUUCACUUGUGGCUUUUAGAGACCAGCAUUGCACAUCUUUUCUUGAGUACCUAUUACGUGCUCAUUCUUUUCAGGUCUAUCCACAAGCCUAAAUGUUUAUUGCCGAAAACGAUUCCCUGGAGAAUUAUCAUGAUACUAAGUCAAAUAAUGAAGCUAAGUAGGUAAUGUACAGUGUAACUUAAGACUGCAGGACUGUCAAAAGCUUCUUCUAAUUCAGUAGCAGAUACUUCAAAAUGUUAAUGUUAAAUGGAGGCCAAAUGUUACUGAAGAGACUGAAAAUAAUUCACCAAUUAUUAGAGAAUAAUGGGGAGAUGUUUAGCCUUUUUUUUUUCGAGGUUACUUAAGAUUCCACUAGACCAAAAGAUUUGGAAGUUUCUUCCCUACUGGAGAGAAACAGAGGGAUGCUCAUGAAAAAUGGCACUUCUACUAGCAUUUUCAGACACCAAUUCUUCAUUAUCAAAUUGCCACCUGUCAAACGUUGUCAUAUGGUCGUUUUAGUCUACAAAAUAAAGUCAAAAUUGUUUUUGAGACUAAAGCUUCUGAACUCUUUGAAAACAUCACAAGCAUCACAGUUUUGCUUUUCUUUUUCUGGCGAGUCUCUUCGUGACUUUCUGGUCAGCCAGUGGAUCUAUAUGUGUUGUUUUACACACUUUUUGAUGGUAUACAAUGGUUUUGCUCAUUUAUCCAUAUGAACUAGGAUAAAUAGAUGCCUUGGAGACACGAGCACAGCUGCAAAGCAGAAACUUUGUUCUAUCAUCAUGGAGUUAUCCAUAUCAAAAUGAAAAAUGAUAGUUUUUGAUCUCUGUCCCAUAUGCAUGGGUACUGCUUACUAGCUAUUCUGAUGAUAAUUUUGUUUGAGUUUGUCAUUGCAGAAUGACAAGUGGUUACAUCAUAUAGUCAGCACUUUACCUCUUAGAGAUGACAACUCGAUCUUUGUUGCUGCGAAUACAUCAACUUGCUUCAGCAAAUAAAAUUUAUGAGGGCAGCGAAUUUUUUAGUGAUGUAUCCUGUAUGUAUCCGGAAGCUCUUGGAUCUGAGUAAUGCAAUCUAAGACUAUGUUGUCUCACUGGCUGAUAGGUUUUCGUCCAGCAGCUUGAUUUGUUGCUUCAGUCAGAGAUUCAAGUUGCCAGGGCCAAGGUGAGAAAAGAACACUGAAAGAUAGAUUUCUUUUUUGGGAGGCUGUAGGUCAAUAUAACCAAAUUUUGGUGGACCGCAGAUGUUAGAACCAAACUUUUCCCAUCUUCAUGUGCUGGAAAAGAAUUUUUACAGUUCAUGAAUGGAAAGCCAUAUAGAUAGUAUGCAAAACUUGAGACUAGUCUGUCUUGAGGCUAGUCUGUACAAACUACACACACCUGAUAUUCAUUUUUCGAGGAAAUAAGAAGACCAGCAAGCUUCCUGUCAAGCUGAUUUAUAAUCAAAUUAUGCAUCCCCAUGUAGUACUCCAACUCAUAACAUAAAGCACGUAAGUCUCAUACUAAAAAAUAUGAUAGUUAUCUGCUUUUGCUGCAGAUAACAAUAUCGGAUGUCAAGUGCUAGCAGUGAUUCCAAUUGACUUGCCUAAGAGCAUAAGUUAAAACAUCAAACAGAAAGGUGGUCUCCUGCCUCCCCAAUUCUUUUCUUCUGGAUAAGUGCCUCCCCAACUCUGCAAUUCUGCGCACUUCAUUUAGUUCAGCCAUAGUGGGGUCUUUAGGUACUUCCAUUACUUAAAAAAAACAAAAAAAUUGGCCUUACCACAUUUUCUGUUGAUAAUAACUUAUUGUGGAGAAUGAGUCUAUAUAUAAUGUUAAAAAAAGAAAAAAGAACAGGGCUAUUCACCACAUCAUAUGGCAGCAUCGUGUAUCCAUUUGUUGGCUAAAGUCAUUUUGGCGAGAGAGCACUUCUGGGAUGAAAGCAUACUGUGGGUAACACAAAUUCGAUAUGAGUAAUAAAUGCUCAAGGGCAUUCAUUGUAGACAGGAGCACCCAGAUUCAAGUCUUUUUCCCUAAAAAGUUACAAUAGUACUUACCGGCAUCAUCUUCAAUGAAUGUAGCAUAGAGCGUGAGUUGACGGAGGUGAUGGCAAUCUUUCAUUGUUGGUGGUAAUUGUGGAAGGCAAUCAUGAUUGACAUUAAGAUUACACUGCACCAAAACGUGAAAGUUGAAUGUGCAAAAUUUACCAGACACUAUACGCAGGUCAGGUGAUCUAAUAUAAGAAUGAGCAUAUGCUCGUGGAGGUGAGGUUUCAAAGUGGGCUUUUUAACAGUGCAUGGAAUGUUGAAGUUGAAGCCGCAUAUUGCGCAGAGAAAGACAGCAUCAACGCUUUUCACAACAUGCGUCAGUGAGUGUUCUUCCCUGAUGCGGGAAGAAGUGGAUGUGCCAGGGUGAACGGGGUGUUGCAUAACCGAGGGCAAUUCAGCACAUGAUUUAUGGAGCAGAUGAGAGCAGCCUUGCUCCAGCAGGUCAGUAGAUCUAAUAUAAGAGUGAGCAUAUGCUCAUGGAGGUGAUGUUUGAAAGUGGGCCUUUUAAAAGUGCAUGGAAUAUUGAAGUCGAAGUCGCAAUUUGCACGGAGAAAGACAGUGUUAACGCUCUUCACAACAUGCAUCAGUGAGUGUUCCUUCCUGAUACAGGAAGAAGGAUGUGCCAGGGUGAACGGGGUGUCGCAUAACUGAGGGCAAUUCAGCACAUGAUUUAUGGAGCAGAAAAGAGCAGCUCUGCUCCAGGCAGUGAUACCUUUGGACUUAUUCAUCACAAGCCUUGCACACAACAUCCUUCAUGUGACCCAGCUCCAGCGGCAGCGGAUGAUUGUGAAUUGGAGAAAAGAAGCGGCAAUCCAGACAAGCAUAGACCUCACCUAGUAUGCUCCAUUCACAAGCUUUGCACUCAAUUCUGGUUUUAAGCUUCACGUGGAAGGACCCCAGUCGAUGCUGAUGGGCAAAAUUUUAAAAAACUGAGCCUUCCUCGCCCUCAGAUCUUGUGAACAUAGAAUUAUAGCCACAGAGUCUAUAUCAAGACUGAAAUUGCAUUCGCUGACCAUAUGGCAGGCACUACAUUGGAGGUCUACCGAUUGAUCAAAAGCAAGAGAGAGGGUGAUCAUGGAGAGACGGGCAUUGUGUCUCUGGGGAGAGAUUCGGCGCAGCUCUCAUGGGGAAAGAAUCUACACGUGUAGAAUCGAUAGACCUCCUCACAGGCUUCGCAUUUGAUUCUACUUUUCGUCCCAAGAAGAUCGUGUGAGGGGAUGCUAAUGAGCAAAAUGUUGGAUGGUCGCAUUCUCAGAAUCCUCAUCAGGCUCUGUUGUGACUAGGCAGGUGAAGCAAUAUCGGGCCGUGCAGCAACGCUUAACCAUCCGAAUGGCAAGAAGGAAGCCUGCUCACAUGCAUGGCAACUCCGACGAUCCUUGUCAUCGUUGCCACCUAGGCGGUCCAGUCGGGGUAGCAGGUGAGACGGGUGUCCUUGGGCGGACAGAAUGCUAAAUUCAGUGUGACUAGACAAUUCACAGCAGUGGGCUGAGCUGCAGAUCGGAGACCAGCACGCGAGACAUUCCAAGCAAGUGCAACCUUCUUCGCUCAGGUUUCGGAGAUUCAAUACAUGAUCACCAGGGCAAAUUAGGAAAUAAAAAAGCGUUUUGAAUGGAGUUAUAAUUACCGACCAGAAAAAGAAAAGAAAUGAGUUAUAAUUGCUGAGUUACAUCAACACGAAGCGAAUAAUGUGAAAUGAAUCGUACCCUACUUCCAUAUAUUAUUUGACUUUUGUAUUUCAGUGUUAAUCUGUACAAUUUUUUCUACAUAUAUGCUUUAAUGCAAUAGUUAAAAAAAACUAAAGUGGCCCAUGAAAAGUUUCAUUUCAUUUUUCAUUUAGUAGUCAGCUGCAAUUAUAAUAUAAUUAUACAUAAAUAACCGAUAAAUAAAACUCCAAACAUUGGAUAAGGUCAUAAAGGUGAAAUGCACCUUCGGCUUGUCUAUACAUUUAUUAGAAAGUUCUUACCCAACUUAAUAUAAAAGUAAAUUACUUAAGACAAUAUUGCGAUAACAGUUUUCUAUGUUGCUAAUUAUUUAUUAAUCUAUAAAAAUACAUGUUUGGCGGCAAUCUUGAAUUCCAGGAUAUCGAAAAAGAGUUAUAUUGAUGCUCCAUAAGCUAUGACGAUAAGGUUCACCAAAGCAAUAAUUGUAAUUAAAUCUGUAAUUUUCUAUUAAAAUCUCUUAAGAGAACUCGAUUUCAUUUGCAAAAAUUAAAUAAUUCUACCCAUUGGUUAUUCUUGAAAUCAAAAUAUAGAUUGAAGUUAUUAUAGACCCAGUUUAUAUGUUUCCAUCCUACGAUUUCGGCUAGUUGAACCAAAUUUAGAUCCGGGGUCAAAAUUUGGCGUUUGGAUAAACUAUAUGAAGACUAAGACCCAAGAGAAACUUUCUAGAAAGAAAAAACAACACAAAGAGGUACUCUUCCGAGUAAUUAUAAGUAAACCUAUCCAAAUGAUAGAAUGCAUUGCAUUUGGAUGAAAUCAAGAUUAUGAUGCAUGCGCAUUUUUCAUCUAUGGUGAUCUCUUCAUUCCACCAAUUUGUACAUUCCUUUUGCUAAAAUUUUGAAUUUAUUAUACUAAUCAAAGUUACGAUUGGUCUAACCUUGAUUUUGAAUCGAGUCACGUCCUUUUUCUGAGGCAGCCAAAAAAAAAAAUGAGGAGAGAAUGAUCUCUUUUCUCCUACGAGGGUGUUUGUGCGUACAUAUUACGAGGGUGUUUGUGCGUACAUAUAAUCCUCUUUUCAGUGUCUUUUAAGGUGUUUGUGCAUACAUAUAAUCCUCUUUUGAGCGACUUUUCAAUUUCCUCUCUCCCCUCAAACCCCACUCCCCCCUUCCUUGUGAUGGAGUUUCCAAAGGGUCUUAGGGGAGGCUUCAAUGUUCACAAAGAUAUGGUUGGACCAUGUAGCAUUAUAUGAUAAUCCUAUGUCUACUCGUGGGCAAAAAUGGGAUCAUUGUGAGAGUUGCGGAUUUUCUGUUAAACAAGAAAAAAAAAUUGCCGUGAAAUUGAGAUUUUGUUAAAGUCAUGCUCUGUGACACUCUAAAAUUUCAUUACAACAUAAUUUAAUGGCUUAAAAACGUCUAGAAUCGACCCAGCAACAUAAAAAUCCGUACAAAGCCUAUUUUACUGUUUAACUACGGAAACUCCUUCAAUUAGAUAAAUAAAAGUUUCGAAUCCUUAUCGAUUGCUAUGAAAUAGAAAUAAUCUGGCUUGACCAAGCCUCUCAAACAUGCACGCAGUGAGAGUCCCCUUUUGUCUCCUCUCUGUCUUUUUCUCAGUUUGUCCAAACUCUGCUUUCCUUCUUUUUUUGUCUUUUGGGUUCUUCUUGGCCAUACUCUAUUUUCUCUCUUUCUGUUCUUGCAAUUCCCUUGCGACGGCAUCAACAGAAGCAAGAUCAAAGGAAGGGCUUAAACGAGACACUUGGGCUUGGGCUUCAUGUUUGGCUCUUAUUUAUUAUUUUUUGCGAGCCCGGUUAUUGAAACUUUAAUCUUGCACAUAAAUCUUUAUAGGUUAUUACGUAUUGAUGCAAACUACGCGGAUUGAGAAUAAGGUCUUGGGUCAUCUUGCGCAGCAGCCCUAAUCCCCUCCCCUCCUCGAGCUCGCGUCCGUGUUGCGCCCGCUUUAGUAGAAAUCUUAGCAGCAGCGCAAUCACCCGGUAGCUACCCAUUGGAAGACCGAGUUACCCAAGUCGUCUUCUCACUUUCCAAUUUUGCGAUAUGCAAAUGUUCAGUAAUGGGUCUGGUGAGACCUCGGGCCUUGCCAACCUCUAGCGAAGUAUACUCAUUGAAUUUUUUUGAUAAUUUUCCUCUGAAAAGUCAAAUUAGAGUUUUCGCACCAACGGCGGAGCACGUUUUUUAAUGCAUAAGUUUAUAACCACCCCUGACUCCUCUCUCUCUCUAUCUUUUCAAUAUUAUUUAUUAUUUAUUUGUCUAAGAUAAUAAUAAAUUGAGAUUUCUACUUUUUUUCUAGUUAUCAAUUUAUCCAUAAAUGUGCAUGUUCUACAACAAUCUUGACUUCCACAUUAUUGAAAAACAAUUACAUAUGAUAUGAUGCUCUGUAAGGCAUGUGGAUAAGGUUCCCCAAAGUAGUAGUUACAAUUAAACUUGUAUUUUUAUUAUCUUUGAAUAAAACUCAAUUUCAUUUUCAAAAAUUUAAUAAAUGUCCACAUUGUUUAUCUUGAAAACAAAAUAUAGAUCUAAGUUGUUAUAGACCUAGUUCACAUAUACAACCUACGACUUCCACUAGUUAGGCUGAAUUUAGAUGCAUAGGUCAAAAGUUGGCAUUUGUAUAAAUUAUGACGAGUAAGACCCAGGAGAACAUUUCAAGAAAGAACAAACAAAAUAGGGAGGUACUCUUCCGAGUAAUCAUAAGUAUAAUAAGAAAUGAUAGAAAGAACUACAUUUGGGAAAAGGAAAACCACAUCGGUGUAGAGCUCAUAUAAAAAGGUUCUUGGAAGUCUUUCUAUCCUAACCUAACUUUACUAGGAGCUAUAAUGGUAAGAUUGUGAACUAAGUAGCAUCACCAUUGACACGCGACACGCAACACAUCAUUUCUCAAAAAUAGAGAAUUUUCACAUGUUGGGACAUGUUGUAUGUAAAAUGAUAAUUUUUUAUUCAUUAUUUUAAUUUGAUAAAUUCAAUUGCAUUCCAUUCCAAUAAUCCAUAAAAGUUGAAGGAAGAAAAAACAAACAAUCCACAUUCUACUAUUAAAUUUAACAUUUAACAAAAUGUCAAAAUAAUAAUAAUAAUAAUAAUACACAUUCCACCAUCAAAUAUAACAAGAAGUCUUUAUUUCCCCUUUUAUUUUUAUAUUUAUAUUUUGACCUAUCAUUUAUUGAAAUUUUUGAAAUUAACCCCAGAAUCACGUGUCGAAAUUCCAUACUCGUAUGUCAGGAGAGUUGAUUACGUCUCAGAUUUUUCGACACUCAUUCACCACAUGUUAGAACGUGUCGUAGUGUCGGACAAGACACAAAUGCUUCAAUGCUUCUUAAAUUGUGAACCAAAUUAUAGUGGUACAAUUGCUUUUGCUGCCAAUGUCAUCUCAGUAGCAAAAAAGCCAUGGAAAGAUCAUGAGGUACAUUACAUACUUCAAAACACCAACUUACCCGAAACAAGUAAAUUGCAACGAAUAUCAGAACUCCUGGGUCAAAUUAUUCCCCUCUGACUUAUCAGUCAUGAGGAAAUGAAAGGCAUGAGGAGAAUCAGAAAUGCAAUGUGGUCAUAGCAAAACCAAUCGCAUAAUGACAAGUUAACAGGGAACAUGCAAGAGCAAUUUAGCAUAAAUAUUGCAGUACUUUCAGCUAGUUUCGGGAAACGAAACACAUUACAGAGAACAUGAAGCAUCCCAGAACGUCUCCUUCUGUUUUGUUGUCUACACUGCAUAAUCUGAAUAAUCAUAAUUUACGGCUUCAUUACGAAAAUUCCUGCACUUAGAUAAAUAAAAGUUGUUGCUACCAAAUAGAAGUAAUCCGUCUUGUCGAGUUCUUCCAAGCGUGCAUGGAGCGAAAGCCCCCUUUGUUUCCUCUCUCUUUUUCUCCGUUUCUUUCCUUUAUUUCUUUUCUUUUCUUUUCUUUUUUUGUUCUUCUUGGCCAGGCUCUGUUUUCUCUCCUUUCUGCUCUUGCAAUUUCCCUUGCAAUGAAGCAAAGACUAAAGAAAGGGCUCAAACAAAACACUUAAGCUUGGGCUUAAGCUUGGGCUUAAUGUUUUGCUCUUAUUUAUUAUUUUUUGCAAGCCCGUUUCUUGCAACUUUAUUCAUGAAGAUACAUAUUUUAGGUUACUAUGUACUGAUGGAUCCUAUGUGGAGUGAGGAUAAGGUCACUCGAAAUUAAAGUUAGCAUAUCACUUUUUCGAGAAAAAUCAUAAAUCUAUUAUAUUUGUGUCAAUUUGAAUUAGUGUCAAUUCAGUCUCUCCCCCCCCUUGGGUCAAAGAAGACCAAGAAAAUCUCGAUUCAACAUAAGCUUGGGGUGCUAAUAAGGAGGACCUUGCUGGGUUCGUUCAAUCAACAAGCCUUAACGCCCUUGAGACGGGAUCAACUCCUUUUAUAAAUAUGAUACCACCAAAGUCAAGCAACACUGACUUCUUCCUAUUACUACGCUCCGUACCCUGGCUAGAGAGCAUGAAUGACUCUUCCCAGGAACGAUCAGAUGCAAACCUGUUAAAAGCGCCUUUCCCAUGUGGAAGAAGUUACUUGUGUGCCUUAUCCUUUUAACUAAUUUUGAUCGAAAAUUACUGAUAUGGACAUUAGUUGUCCUACAUGGCAUGCUUAGCCCUAAUAUGGAUAAUUUUUUAUUUAUAGUAAUUCAAUUUUUUUAUUUGUUAUUAUUAUUUUUUUCUUUAUUUCUUUAUUCUUCCUUGGCCAUUGCCUGGUGGGUUGGCCUCACCUAGGUGAGGGUCGCCAUUGCCCACCACAGGCUAGGCUAGGCUAGGCCAGGCGAGAGCAAUCCUAGGCAAGGCCACCUUGGCUUGGGUGAGGCCUUACGAGGGUUAGCCUCGCCUAGGCUAGAUUUGGUGAGGCCAUCACGCUCAGCUAUUGCCUAUGAUCAACAGAAGGAGGAAGAAAGAAAAAGAAAAAAAAAUUAGAGAAUAAAAAAAUAUAUUAAAUUAUUAUGAAAAUUUUUCCAUAGCCGUCCAUAUCAAUAUCUAGUCAAAAUUAAUUAGAAUGAUUAAAUUGAUACAAUUAUAAGAUUUAAGAUUAAAUGAAUAUAAAUGCGAUAGGCUUAUGACUUUUCUCUCUUGUCAAAAUAACCAAAUAAAAAAUAAAUCCGAAAGUUUAAGGCCUUCGUCCUCUCCAUAGUGCGGUGAGAAGUGAGGGUAGGGACAUCAUUUGAUAUUUAUUUUUUCAUGGAAGGUGGCACGGACAUCAAUUUAAUAAUCUUUCUUUUGACAUCAAUCUAAUACUCUUUAUUUUUGAAGUCCAUUCCAAUCAAGGACGUCCAAAUGCCCUUUUUCCAAGUUCCCUUUCAAAAAUUCUAAGGACGCAACAGUUAUCUUCCUUUGAAAAAUGUUAAGGAUCCUUAACAUUUUUCCAAGGGAGUCAUGAUUAAAGGACAUCCUACUCCAAAAGAAGUCGGAAAAGGAUGUCGGGAUGUCCUUUAAUCAUGACUCGAUGUCCUUUAAUCAUCACUCUCUUUCACAUAGAUGGAAAGUAUAAAUAAUGUCCCCGUCUUUGCCCCUCCUCACGGCGCCAUGGAUAUCCCCUCCAUUGUCUCUGUCCUGGUCAACUUCAUCCAGGUGCAAAACCAGGGGAAGUCGAUUUCACCCUUUGAGACCCACCCCGUCGCCACCCGCGUCGUCAUCUGCAGCCUCCUCCUGCAUUUCUUUUUCGGGCGUGUCGCUAAUCAGGCACCACCUUCUCGCGGCCGUGCCCCUUCUUGCGAUGGAGCAGCACGCCUCCUCUUCCACUUCACCGGUUUGACAUCGGUGUUUUUGCUCGCAUGGUUGCUGCUCCACGACUCCUUCCACUCCGUCCUUUGGUUCGUGCUGUUCCUGUUGCUUUCCAUGCGUCUGCUGCAGGGCCUCAUUCGAAAACUUUGUCUGUGGUUUUACCGCAAACUCGUUCUCAUGAUUAUCCGUGCGGCGUGGUCUCGUGUAUGGCAUGGUGGAAGAGUGCGGCCACAUUUUCUGCGCCCGGCCGUGGGUCUCCGUUUCACGCCGGAAGUCUGAGCGACGUAGUUGUUCGACUCUUCCCUGCUUGGAUUCAAUAAAUUUAAUUGUAUCACUGCUUUAAUACAAAUUAUUAGUACUCUAGGAAGCUAAGCUAGUUUUGUAUAAGAGGCAACUCAAGUCUUUGUUCUCUUUAUGGGAAGCCUUAAGGAGUCCCCAAGACUUCGACAUCAAAUUAUCUCUCGACCAUAAGAAAGGAGAGCAGGGGACAAGUAAAAAUCACCUAUGUAUCGUUCCUAAUCCUAGCCAUGAACGCCGAUGGACCUUGUAGCAGCUAGAUCCAAUUAAGAUAGGCUAAGCCCUCAAAAGAUAUUGGGAUCUAUUGUUAUCGAAGGGAUUGAAGAUACCUCAACAAUUGUUACGAAGAGAAGAAUGGCCGUAUCUAGUAGCAUAUAAAGGGUAGAUAUUGUUCUUGAGGUUAAAGCUUCUGACCUCUUUGAAAGCAUUGCGAGUGUUGCAAAGUUUCCUUCCAUUUCUGGUGAAUCUCUUUGUAGCUUUCUGUUUGGCCAGCUGAUCAAUAUGUGUCAUUUUACAUUCUUUGCUGGUAUACUAUGGUUUUGCUCAUAUAUCCGUAUGAACUAGGAUAAAUAGAUGCCCUGGAGACACGAGCGCAGCUGCGAUUUCAAAAGCCUUGUUCUAACAUCAUUGAGUGAUCCAAAUCAAAAUGAAAGAUGUCAGCUUUUUCAUCUCUGUCCCAUAUGCACCACUACUGCUUUCUAGCUAUUCCGAUGAUGAUAAAGUUGUAGCUUACCAUUGCAGAAUGAGAGUUGUUGCAUCAUAUAGUCUUCAUUUUACCUCUGAGAGGUGACAAUUAGAAAUUUGCUGUGGCAAACGCGUCAACUUGCAAUCUAAGGCCACGUUGUCUCACUGGCUGAUUGGUUUUUGGCUGGGAGCUUGAAUUGUUGCUCCAGUUGGACAUUCAAGUUGCCAGGGCCAACGUGAAAAAAGAAUGCUGAAUGUAGAUUUUUUUUUCUUUCAAGAGGCUUUAGUUCAAGAUAACUGAAUUUUGGCAGACUGUAGAUGUUAGAACAGAACUUUUCGCAUCAUCAUGUGCUGGAAAAGAAUUUCCAGUUCAUGAAUGCAAAGCUAGAUAGAUAGUAUGCAGAAGCUCAAGACUUGUCUGUACAAACUACAGACAUCCAAUGUUCAUAUUUGGAAAGAAUUAGACCAGCAAGCUUCCUGAUAAAUUGAUUCAUAAUCAAAUUAUGCAUCCCAAUGUUUGUACUUUGAUGUAUGACAUAAAGCACAAAAGUCUUCCAGUUCAAAAAUAUGACAUUUAUCUGUUUUUACUGCAGAGAACAACAAUCUUGGAUGUCAACUGUAGCAGUAAAUCCAAUUGACUUGUAUAAGAACGUAAGUCAAAACAUCAAACGGAAAAGUAGGUUCCCCUGACUCCCAUAUUCUUCUCAUAUUGGUAAGUCCCUCCCCAAUUCUGCAACUGCAUGCACUUUGCUUCCGGUUUUUGGAGACCAGCAUUGUGCGUCUUUUCUUGAGUACCUCCAAUUAUGUGCUCACUUUUUCCUGCAGAAUUUUCAUUUUUUUUCAUCUAGUUCAACAAUAGCAGGGUCUUCAGGUACUUGCACUAUUCCAGCGACUUGUAUUAAACACUAUUUCGUAUUAGCGCAUUUUCUGUUGAUUCUUACUUAUUGUGGAGAUGAGUCUAUAUAUGAUGUUAAAAAGGAACAGGGCUAUUCACCACAUCGCAUGGCAGCAUCUUGUAUCCAAUUUUGGCUGAAGUCUGUUUAGCAAGAGAGCACUACACUGUGAUACAAGCGCACCAUGGUAAAACGCAUUGGAUAUGAAUUAUCAAUGGUCCGGGGCAUUCAUCACAGUCAUAAGCACCCAGAUUUGUGUCCCUCAUUGCAAAGGGCACAAUAGUACUACUCACUGGUAUUAUCUUCGAUGAACAAAGCAUAAAGCGUGAGUUGAUGGAAGUUAAUGGCAAUCUUUUACUGUAGUGGAAGGCAAUCUGUGAUGAUUAAGAUUGCAUUGCACACAACUGCAAAUGCCGAAGCUGCACAAUUUACCACAGACACUUCAUAGUAGCAUGGUUAGGUAGAUUUGAAAUAAGAAAGAGUAUAUGCUUGUAGAGGUGAUGUUUCGAAGUGCACCUUUUAAAAGUGCAUGAAGUGUUGAAGUCGUCACUUCCGUGCAGUGAAAGACAGAGCAUCCAUGCUCUUCACGAAAUAUGUCAACAGUGCUCCUGAUACGAGAAGAAAAAGGAUGUGCAGGGUGAGCAGGUCGUUGCAUCUGAGGGCAAUUCAGCACAUAAUUUAUGGAGCAGAGAAGAGCAUCUCUGCUCUGCAUGGCAAUAGGCUAAACAUUUGACACAUUCAACACAAGCCUUGCAUGCACCAUCCUUCAUAUGGCAGUUCCAGCGGCAGAGAAUGAUAGUGCAGUGAAGAAAGAAGAGGCAAUCAAGACAACCAUAGACCUCACCUAUAUGUUCCAUUCACAAGCUUCACGCCCGAUUUUGCAGUCAGGCUGUGUGUGGAAGACCAGUGGAUGCUGAUGGUCGAAAUGGUAAAAAACCAGUUCCUUUGUGCCUCCAGAAGGACAACUAGCUAUUCUGAUGAUAAUAUUGUUUGAGUUUGUCGUUGCAGAAUGACAGAUUGGUUACAUCAUAUAGUCAACACUUUACCUUUGAGAGGUGAGAACUAGAUCUUUGUUCUGGCGAAUGCGUCAACUUGCUUCAGCAAAUAGGAUUUAUAAAGACAGCGACUUCUUUUGUGAUGUAUCCUGCUUGUGUCCCGAAGCUCUUGGAUCUGAAUAAUGCAAUCUAAGACCAUGUUGUCUCACUGGUUGAUUGGUUUUCGUCCAGGAGCUAGAAUUGUUUCUUCAGUCAGAGAAUCAAGUUGCCAGGGCCAAGGUGAGAAAAGAACGCUGAAAUAUAGAUUUCUUUUUUGGGAGGCUUUAGUCCAACAUAACCGAAUUUUGGUAUGCUGCAGAUGUUAGAACGGAACUUUUCUCAUCUUCAUGUUCUGGAAAAGAAUUUACAGUUCAUGAAUGCAAAGCCACAUUGAUAGUAUGCAAAAGCUUGAGUCUAGUCUGUACAAACUACACCUGUCCGAUAUUCAUUUUUUGAGGAAAUAAUAAGACCGGCAAGCUUCCUGACGUGUUGAUUCAUAAUAAACUUAUGCAUCCCAAUUUUAGUGCAUUAAUUCAUAACAUGAAGCAAACAAGUCUCACACUCAAAAAAUAUGAUAUUUAUCUGCUUUUGAUGCAGAGAAUAACAAUAUUGGAUGUCGAGUGUUAGCAGUGAUUCUGAUUGACUUGCUUGAGAACGUAAGUUGAACCAUCAAACAGGAAGGCUGUCUCCUGCCUCCCCAGUUCUUUUCUUCUGGAUAAGUGCCUCCCCAACUCUGCAACUACAUGCACUUUGCUUGCAUCUUUUUGAGACCAGCAUUGCCCGUUAUUUUUUUUUUUUUUUUUCAGUACCCUCAGUUGUGUGCUCACUCUCUCUGCUUUUCCUGCAGAAUUGCAAUUUUUUCAUCUAGUUCGGCAAUAGCAAGGUCUUCAGGUACUUCCAUUACUUUAAAAAACAUUUGGUAUUACCAUAUUUUCUGUUGAUUAUAACUUAUUGUGGAGAAUGAGUCUAUAUAUGAUGUUAAAGAAAAAAAAAAGAACAGGGGCUAUUCACCACAUCACAAGGCAGCAUCUUGUAUCUAUUUGUUGGCUAAUUGUCAGUUUUGUGAGAAAGCACUUCUGUGAUGAAAGCAUACUGUGGGUAAAACGCAUUCGAUUUGAGUAAUCAAUGCACGGGCAUUCAUCGCAGCUGGAAGCACCUAGAUUCAGGUCUUUUUUCUCUCAAAGGUCACAAUAGUACUCACCAGCAUGAUCUUCGAUGGACGAAGUGUAAAGUGUGAGUUGAUGGAGGUGAUGGUGAUUUUUUAUCGUUGGUGGUAAUUGUGGAAGGCAAUCAUGAUUGACAUUAAGACUGCACUGCACAAGAACGUGAAAGUUGAAAGUGCAAAAUUUACCAGACAAUGCAUAGGAAGUGCGCAUCAGUAGAUCUAAUAUAAGAAAGAGCAUAUGCUCGUGGAGGUGAUGUUUGAAAGUGGGCCUCUUAAAAGUGCAUGGAAUGUUGAAGUCAAAGCCGCAUUUUGUGCAGAGAAAGACAGCGUCAAUGCUCUUCACGACAUGCAUCAGUGAGCGUUCCUUCCUGAUACGGGAAGAAGUGGCUGUGCCAGGGUGAACGGGGUGUUGCAUAACUGAGGGCAAUUCAGCAUAUGAUUUAUGGAGCAGAUGAGAGCAGCACUGCUCCAUCAGCAGUGGAUGAUCGUGAAUUGGAGAAAGAAGAGGCAAUCCAGGCAACCAUAGACGUCACCUAGUAUGCUUUGCACUCGAUUCUGGUUUCAAGCUUCACGUGGAGGGACACCAGUAGAUGCUGAUGGGCGAAAUGGCAAAAAAGCUGCGCCUUUCUUGCCCUCCAGAUCUUGUGAACCUAGACUAUAGCCGCACAGUCCAUGUCAAGGCUGAAAUUGCACUCGCUGCUGCAGCGGGAAACUAUAUGGCAGGCAUUACAUUGGAGGUCUACCAAUUGACGGAAAGCAAGAGAGAUGGUGAUCAUGGAGAGACGGGCAUUGCAUCUCUGGGAGGAGAUUUGGCGUAGCUCUCAUGGAGAAAGAAUACACACGUGUACCAUCGAUAGACCUCCUUGCAGGCUUCGCUUUUGAUUCUAUUUUUCGUCUCUGAGAUGAUGGGAUGUGAGCAGAUUCUAAUGAGCAAAAUGUUGGAUGGUCGCAUUCUCGGAUUCCUCAUCAGGCUUAGGGUUGUGAAUAGGUAGACGAAGCAAUAUCAGGCCGUGCAGCAACGGUCAACCAUCCAAAUGGCAAGAAGGAAGCCCGCUCAGACGCAUGGCAACUCCGACAAUCCUCCGCACCAUUGCCUACUGGGCGGUCAAGUCGGGGCAGCGGGUGAAACGGGGGUCCUAGGGCGGACAGCAUGCCAAAUUCAGCGCAACUGGUGAAAGAAAAAUUGACACGAUUUACGGCAGUGGGCUGAGCCGCAGAGGGAAGACCAGCACGCGAGACAUUCCAAGCAACUACAAGACUUCCGCUUAGGUUCCGGAGACUCACGAUACACAUGAUAAAAUUUCUAUUUCUCUUUCUCUGUUUCCCGGAAUAGGUUUAGAGCAGAAAUCCUUUGGUAAUGCAAUUUGAUUUUUUUAUUUCUGGAACAGAUUUCUAUUCCAAAAAUAGAUUUGAAGAAAAAAUCAAAAGUUAAAAUUUUUAAUUUUUUAAUUUCUGAAAUAAAAACUGAGAAAUCAAUUUCUCUUAUAGAAAUUUUGUUAUGCGCACCCUUAAUGCAUGAUCGCCAAGGCAAAAUAGGAGAUAACAAAGCGUUUUGAAUGUAGUUAUAGUUACAUGAUGUCAACACAAAGUAAAUGAGAUGACAUGAGUUGUACACUACUCCCGUAUUAUUUGAUGUUGUAUUUCAGUGUUCAUUUGUACAUUUUUAUUUUAUUUUAUUUAUGCUUCAACGCAAUGGUUUAGUAAAACUGAAGUGGCCCAUGAAAAGUUUUAUAUCUUGUUCAUUUAAAGUCAGCCGCAAUUAUAUGAGGUCUUAAAAGUGCAUUCACCUUGGGCUAGUCUGUACAUUCAUCAGAGAGUUCUUCUCCAACUUUCUCUAAUUAAAAAAAAAAAAAGUAACUUACGGCUUUGCGAUAACAGUUUUGUCAUAGUUAUUUAACUUCACCUAUUUUUAAGUUUACAAGUUAUUUUUUUAAUUUAUUAGUCGAUUGCUUUUACAUGUAAAAGUAAUAUUUACAUUUGCCAUUAAAUACAAUUCAUACAAAUAGUAUGAGCGAAAUCUACUUUUUUUUUCUAGUUAUCAAUUUCUCUAUAAAUGCACAUAUUCUGCAGCACCCUUGAUUUGUAAGCUAUGUCGAUAUGGCUCAUUGAAGCAGAUAUUGUAAUCAAACUUGUAAUUUUCUGUUAAAUCUUUGAAUAGAACUCGAUUUCAUUUUCAAAACUAAUAAUUAUCUGCAUUGGUUAUUUUUAAAAAAAAUACAGAUUGAAGUUGUUACAGGCCCAAUUCACAUAUAUAACCUACAACUUCAACUACUUAAACUGAAUUUAGAUCCAUAGAUAAAAAGUUGGUAUUUGUAUAAACUAUGAAGACUAAGACCGAGGAGAACAUUUCUAGAAAGAGCAAAACAAAAUAGAGAGGUACUCUUCCGAGUAAUUACAAGUAAACCUAUCCAAAUGAUAGAAUGAACUACAUUUGGAUGAAAUAAAGAUUAUGAUGCCCCACAUUUUUCAUCCAUGGCGAUCAUCUGCUCGUUUUGCUAAAACUUUGAAUUUAUUAUAUGGUUGGUCCAACCUUGAUUUUAAACCGGGUCACAUCCUUUUCUGAGGCAAAAAAGAAAGAAGACAAAAUGCUCUCUUUUUUGUCAUAUUUAUUCUCUCCUACUUGGGUGUUUACGUGUAUAUAUAAACCUCUUUUCAAUCUCCUUUAUUGACUCUUACCACUUUUCAAUCUCCUUUAUUGACUCUCUCUCUCCCUCUCUCUCUCACUGAGAAAGUUACCAAAGGGUCUUAGGGGAACCUUCGGUGUUCACAUUGCAAUUAGUAGACUGUGCGGCGUUACAUGAUGAUCGUAUGGCCACUCAUGGGUAGAAAUGGGGCCUUCAUGAAAGUUAAGAACUUUUUUAAACAAAAAAUCAAUUCGAAUAGAAUCGCCAUUAAAAUUAAAAUUUGAGAUUUUUUUAGGGAAUUAGCAAAAUUCGUACUUCCAUCAACAAUCCAAGGUGUCUUGAACCGAAGAAAAUGCAAUCUUUUGUAAGAUAAAAACCUAUUUUUGCAAUAUUUCACCAAGAAAAAAUGUCCAUUGCUUCAAAAGUAUUUUAGUAGGAUUUUGUAUGUCCAACAGUUAUAGAAAUAGAUGAGUUCAUGCAUAAAACAUGGCGACACAAGGAUGCUCAUGUCGCGAUAUAUUAUUUGCACGAUAAAUGGAUAAUUGUAGAAAGGGAGGGGUAGCUGUUAUUGGAGUAUGGGAUUGGUAAGAUUAUAAUGAUAUAGAGAAACAAUAAUGACAUAUUGAUGCAUGUUUUCAUUUUGUUGACUUUGUGAAUAAGAUAUGUCAUUUAUCUAUCGUUACACCCCAACUCUAUUAAAUAAGGAAAACGACACUACCAUGGUCUUGCUCAAAGGACGCAACUUCAAAUUAUCAAAAUAUAUAUUCGUCUAUACACUUGAUAAAUAGUGGGUUGGUUACAAAAUCAAGAGUUUUGAAAUUUAUUAAAAAGAAAAAAAGUGUAAGUGUAUCUCCAAACUCAAUUAAACCCUACAAAUAUCAUCCCAAAUAUAUACAAGUAUCUAAACUCACAUCCAAAUCCAACCGUAAAAUUUUUUUCGCCAAUAAUGCUCACUUCCUACUUUAGCUGACGUUAAAAAGAUUUAGAAUGAAUAGUGUGAGUAACCAUAGCUUAGUGACUAAUCGAAAUCUCUCCUAAGCAAAUCAAGCAUCUGCUAUGAUAAAGCAAUACCAAAGAUUCAUUUAUCCAAAUUCAAUAUAUUAUGUACAAUAGAAUCAAAAUAUGAGUAAUAUCACUAUAAUGCAACUUUAUACUAAUAAAUUAUAUUCAUUCAAAUUUCAAAACCAAAAGGGUAGUCUAUCCGAUUUUAUGCAACAAAUAUGUUUCAAACAUUACUUUUUCAUUUAAAAAAAAAUCAUUUUCUGCAAUGCUUUUCACAACUUAUAAUAUAUCAAAUCCCUAUCACUUUCAAGACAUGAGCUUACAAAUUUGUAGAGGAUAACAACCACCCCAAAAUAAAAUGCAAUCGAAAGUUACACCCUUGGAAGAGUCUCCAAGUCCUAUCAAAGUUUAUCUAAAUGUCAAACUUACAUGUCAACUAACCUCGACUAAAACUUUAGUAGGCAAUACCAUAUUCUUGAGUCAAAUCGUCCACUUGACGAAAGACCUUUGAACAAUUACUUUACAAAUAGAGUCGACUGCAUCUUAAAACUCCAAUUCAAGCGAGCUUAUUUUCAAUAGAAAACUCUUUCGAAUUACUAAGAGAUCAUAAAGCCAAAAGAUGGUCGGAGAAGGGUGAAAUUCAUUGCCAAACAUAGUAAUUUGAAAACUGUUUUUAGCAAUGUGCAAAAUUUUAAAAAUUUAUCCCAAUCAAAUCAUAAACAUAUAUUGAUUUUCCUAAAGUCCUAUUAUGCAAUACCCUAAAAUUUCUUUACAACAUAAUUUCAUAGCUUAAUAAUCUCUAGAAUCGACCUCGCAACAUAAAAUCCAUACAAAACCUAAUUUACAAUUUAAUUACGAAAACUCCUUCAAUUAGGUAAAUAAAAGUUUUCGAAUCCUUACCGAUUGUCAAGAAACAUAAUUAAUCUGGUGCAUACAGCAAGAGGCCCCUUUUGUCUCCUCUGUCUUUUUCUCGGUUUCUCCGGGCUCUGCUUUCCUUCUCUCUCUCUCUCUCUCUCUCUCUCUCUCCCUCUUUUUCGUGUUCUUCUUGGCAGACUCUGUUUUCAUCUUUUUCUCUCUUUUCGCUCUAGUGAUUCGGUUUACCACGGCAUCAACUGAGGCAAGACCAAAGAAAGGACUUUAACGAGACACUUGGGCUUGGGCUUACUGAUUUGCUCUUGGUUAUUAUUUUUUGCCAGCCCGGUUAUUGGAAUUUUAUUCUUGCCCAUGAAUCUUCCAGGUUAUUACGUAUUGAUGUAUCUAUGCGGACACACUGCCGAGAAAAGGGGAAGGAGAAUAAGGAGAAUUCAAUCAGCACCGAACAGUCUUUUUUUUCUGACACAAGAAAAAUUAAAUAGGAAAGUUCAAAGGCCUUCUUCCUCCCCGCCAGUGGUGGGUUGAAGCAGGGACAUCGUUCGUGGUUCUUUUAUGCAGAAUAAUAUUUUAAGGGUGAACUUCGACGCAUAAUUGAUUCUGGUUAUUUUAUGGAAGAGACAACUUUGAUCGGAGAGUGGGUUCUGGAAGUUCGCCCUUCCAUAAAAGAACCACGGACGAUGUCCCUACCUUCACCCCACCCGGCGCCAUGGAUUUUACCUCCAUCGUCUCUAUCCUGAUCAACUUACUCCAAGUGAAAUACCAGGGGAAGUCACCCUUUGAAACCCACGCCAUCGCCAUUGGUGUUGCCAUCUGCAGCCUGCUCCUGCUCCUGCAUUUUCUGUUGCUGCAUCUCGCUAAUCGGGCACUCCCGUCUAGCGGCCGCGCUCCUGCUUGUGAUGGAGCAUCAUCGCACCUCCUCAUCGACUUCACUGGUUCAAUAUCGGUAGUUCGCUCGCACCUCCUCAUCGACUUCACUGGUUCAAUAUCGGUAGUUCGCUCGCGUGGUUGCUGUUCCACGACUCCUCCCACUCUGUCCCCUGGUUGUUCAUGCUGCUCCUGUUGCUUUCCGUGAGUCUGUUGCGCGGCCUCUUUCAAAAACUUUGGCUUUGGUUUUACGACAAGAUCUUUGCCAUGAUUUUCCGUGUGGCGCCAUCUGGUCUAUGGCAUGGUGGAAGAGCGCAGCCACAUCUGCCGCGCCCGGGCGUGGAUCUGCGUUUAUUGCUGGAAGUCUGAGCGCCCUAGUUGUUCGACUGACUGUUCCCUGCCUGCUUGGAUAAAGUAAUCUAACCACUUUAAAACGAAAGAAUAAGUACUUUAGGAAGCUAGCUAGUUUUGUUUAGGAGGCGCUUUGGGCUUGUUGCAACUAUAUCUGAAUCCAUAAGAGAAUCGCAAGCCUUUGGCAGGGAAAGUAAAAACCAAUUGUUAUUGAAGAGAUCAAAGACGACCUCAACAGUUGUUACCAAGGGAAGAAUAGUCGUUUCUAUAGCCAUAUAAGGGGUAGUAAUUGUUCUUGAGGUUAAAGCUUCUGACCUCCUUUAAAGCAUUGCUAAGUGUUGCAGAUUUCCUUCUAUUUUUGGUGUAUCUCUUUGUAGCUUUCUGUCUGGCCAGUGGAUCCAUAUGUGUCAUUUUAUGUUCUUUGCUGGUGUACUAUGGUUUUGCUCGUAUAUCCAUAUGAACUGGGAUAAAUAGAUGCCUUGGCAACGUGGGCACAGCUACAAUUUUCAAAGCUUUGAUCUAACACUAACACCAUUGAGUAAUCCAAAUCAAAAUGAAAGAUGUCAGCUUUCUCAUCUCUCUUGCAUAUACACCGUUACUGCUUCCUAGCUAUUCCGAUGAUAAUAUAGUUGUAGUUUCUCAUUGCAGAAUGUGGGAAUUGUUACAUCAUAGUCUCUAUUUGACCUCCAAGAGGUGACAACUAGAUCUUUGCUGUGGCAAAUGCGUUAACUUGCAAUCUAAGACUAUGUUGUCUCGCUGUGGAUUGGUUUUUGGCCAGGAGCUUGAAUUGUUGCUUCAGUUGGACACUCAAGUUUCUGGGGCCAAGGUGAGAAAAGAAUGCUGAAAUGUAGAGUUUUUUCGGCUGGCUUUAGCUCAAGAUUACUUAAUUCUGGUUGACUGUAGAUGUUAGAACCGAACUUUUCCCACUCUUCAUGUGCUAAAGAAUUUACACUUCAUGUAUGCAAAGCUAGAUAGGUAGUAUGCAGAUGCACGAGACAAGUCUGUAUAAACUACACCCAUCUUAUGUUGGUAUCUGAGGAAAUAAUUAGACCGGCAAGCUUCCUGCCAAGUUGAUUCACUAUCAAAUUAUGCAUUCCAGUGUCAACAAUUCAUUUCAUUACAGAGAGCACUCAAGUCUGGCACUUAAAUAAUAUGAUAUUCGUCUGCUUUUACUGCAGAAAGCUACAAUCUUGGAUGUCGACUGUGGCAGUGAGUCCAAUCGACUUGCAUGGGAGCAUAAGUUGAAACAUCAAACAGAAAGGAAAUUCUUUUUGUCUUGGUAAGUGCCUGCCAAACCCUGCAACUAAAUGCAAUAUUUUCAUGGAGUUCAGAGUAGCAGGGUCUUCAGGUACUUACACUAUUCCAGCAACCUGUAUUAAAAAAAUGUUUGGUAUUGGAGCAUUUUCUCUUGAUUAUUACUUAUUGUGGAGGAUGAGUCUAUAUAUAUGAUGUUAAAAAGGAACAUGGCUAUUCACCACAUCACAUGGUAUUGUAUCCAUUUGUUGCCUAAAGUCUGUUUAGUAAGAUAGCACUUGUGAUGAAAGUGCACGGUAGGUGAUACACAUUUGAUAUGAGUAAUCAAUGGAUAGGGGCAUUCAUUGCAGACAUAGGCACCCAGAUUCAGGUUCCUUAUCUUCUCACAAAGGUCACAAUAGUACUCACUGGUAUCAUCUUUGAUGAACGAAGCUUAAAGUGUGAGUUGAUGAAAGUUAAUGGCAAUCUUUUACUGUAGUGGAAGGCAAUCUGUGAUGACUGAGAUUGCACUGCACACAACCAUAAAAGUUGAACCUGCAAAUUUUACCAGAGACACUGCAUAGGAAGCACAGUUCUGUAGACUAAAAUAAGAAAGAGUAUAAAAUGCUCGUGGAGGUGAUUUUUCAAAGUGGGCCUUUCAAAAGUGCAUGAAAUGUUGAAGUCGUAGUCACAUUCCAUGCAGUGAAAGACAGAGCGUCAACGCUCUUCACGACGUAUGUCAACUACUCUCCUUCCUAGUAUGAGAAGAAAAAGGAUGCGUGGCGUGAACAGUUUGUUGCAUAACUGAGGGCAAUUCAGCACGUGAUUAGAAAAGAGCAGCUCUGCUCCAGCCAGCGAUAGGUUAAACGUCUGAUGGAUUCAUCACAAGCCUUGCAUGGACCAUCCUUCAAAUGACAGUUCCAGCAGCAGAGGACGAUCGUGCAGGGAUGAAGAGGCAAUUAAGACAACCAUAGACCUCACCUGGUAUGUUCUCCACAAGCUUUGCACCUGAUUCUGCUUUCUAGUUUCAUGUAGAAGACCAGUGAAUGCUGAUGGUCAAAAUUGUAGAAAACCAAGUCCUUCUUGCCCUCUAGGUCUUGUGAACAUAGAGUUAAAGCCGCGCAGUCCAUGUUGAGGCUGAAUUUGCAUUCACUGCAGUAGGAAACCAUGGCAGGUGUUACAUUUAGCUCCUCCAAUUGAUUGAAAGCAAAAGAGAGAGAGGGUGAUCAUGGAGAGACAGGUGUUGCAUCUCUGGGGAAAAUUCGGUGCAGCUUUUGUGGAGAAAGAAUAUGCAUGCAUAGCAUCCAUAGACCUCCCCCAAUAUUGCUUGCUCACAGGCUUUGCAUUUGAUUCUAUUUUUCGUCCCGAGAUGAUGGGAUGUGGGCGGAUGCUCAUGAGCAUUUGUUGGAUGGCCACAUUCUGAGAGUCCUCAUUGGGAGGACAGGCAAUCUUGGGCUGUGCACUAAGAAUUGAUGGAUCCGACUGUUAAGAGAAGGUUGUCAAAUAUAUAUAUAUCAAUCGCACGUAUUUCCUUGUGACCAAGUUUGUUAGGAAUAUGGAUGAGCCUCGAUAAGCCAUUCCCUCUUGGGUCCAUCCAUCGAUCACCUCUUACUUCUACCACAUUAGACUUAGUGUUCCACACAAUGAGUGACUAAGUUUGUCAGGAAAUAAAAUGAUAGCACAGCUUCAAGAUGAGUAUUUAUAGAUACGUCUUAGUGAUUUUAGAGCGCUCAAAAUGAGCAAUUUCUCAAGAACAGAUCAGAGAAAGCAUAUAACCUUGGAGCAUAAUCACAUAUGUCAUUAUCUGAAGAGCUAAAGAGAAAUAUGCAAUGUGAUUUGAGGAUUGAACCUAUGAUUUAGAUGCAGAUGGUAAUAAAUUCUUCUCUGGACUCUGAAGGUUAGCCAUUUUGUAUGAGAUAUGCAGGAUUGCAGGUAUCAUAAAGCAAAUCAAAUUAUGUUAGCAAAAAAGUUGGUACCGUCAUCUCCAAUGAAAGCAAAAUGUGUGAUAAAUGUUGUUGGCCAUGAAAACUGGAAGGAGCAAUAGAUGAUUCAUCUUCAGUCAAAGCAUGUGUCACAGAGAACAGCAUCUUUCUCUUCUUGGUUGACCAUUCUUCCUUGUCGGGCAAUUGUUUCUAUCUACUUCAUCAAUUAUGUAUGCUAUCCUUUAAUCCAUAGGAACUUCUCAUCAGUUGCAGGGUUUGGUUGCCCAAAAUCGGCUUGGCUUCGCCAAAACUCCUCUUCUCUAGAAGCCUGGCUGGCAUGGCAUCCCACUGGCAGUAGGGUGGUCAACCUUGCCUCGGCUUCGUGACAUGCUAUCUUUCCCCUCUGCAUUCCAUAGUCAAGGGUGAGUCCCAAGUGUCAGUUUGUGGAUAGCGGUCUCACACACAAAUCCCUACAGAUUCCUCUAGGUAGUCCAAAUUAUAUCUAAUUUAUUUUGAUGUGGUUCGUUCAUCAUUUGAUUUGACCUUGGAAGUUGGUUUUCUUCUUAUUUAUUUACAAGCCUAAAUGCUUAUUGUAAAAAACGAUUCCCAGGAGAGUAUCAUGAUAAUAAGUCAAAUAAUGAAGCUAAGUAGGUGAUCGACUCGAUAAAUUAAGAUGGCAGCACUGUCAAAUGCUUCUGCUAAUUUGGUGGCAGAUACUUAAAAUUGUUACCGACAAUGGAAGGGCAAAUGUUAUUGAAAAGACCAAAAAUACUUUGACAAUUAUUACGAGUAGAAUGGGGAGAUGUUUCAUUGGUUGUUUCAAGGUUACCUAAGAUCCUACUAGACCAAAAUACUUGGAAGUUUUUUCUUUACUGAAGAGAGAAAAAGAGGGAUGUUCAUGAAAAAUGGCACUUUUACUAGCACUUUCAGAUAGCAGCACCUUAUUAUCACAUUGCCACAUGUCAAACGUUGUCAUAUGGUCGUUACUAGUUGCCAAAAUAAAGUCAAAAUUGUUCUUGAGGUUAAAGCUUCUGAAUUCUUUGAAAAUAUCGCAAGUGUCACAGUUUUGCUUUUAUUUUUCUGGCAAAUCUCUUCGUGACUUUCUGCUUGGCCAGUGGAUCUAUAUGUGUUAUUUUACAGACUCUUUGCUGUUAUACGAUGGUUUUGCUCAUUUAUCCAUAUGAACUAGGAUAAAUAGAUGCCUUGGAGACAGGAGCACUGCUGCAAUAUCAGAGCUUUCUUCUAUCAUCAUAGAGUUAGAAGAAUCAAAAUGAACAAUGUCAGUUUUUUCAUCUCUGUCCCGUAUGCACGGGUAAUGCUUACUAACUAUUCUGAUGAUAACAAUUUUUGAGUAUGUGAUUGCAAAACGACACAGUGGUUACAUCAUUUAGUCAGCAUUUUACCUCUGAGAGGUGACAACUAGAUUUUUGUCGCCGCAAAUGUAUCAACUUGCUUCAGCAAAUAAGAUUUAUAAAGACAAACUUCUUCAGUGGUGUAUCCCACGUGUCCGGAAGCUCUUGGAUCUGAAUAAUGCAAUGACUAUGUUGUCUCCCAGGCUAAAUUGGUUUUCGGCCAGGAGCAUGAAUUGUUGCUUCAGUGGGAGAUUCAAUUUAGGGCCAAGGUGCGAAAAGAACGCUUGAUUUCUUUUUUUGGGAGGCUUUAGUUCAACAUAGCUGAAUUUUGGUAGACUGCAGAUGUUAGGUCCACACUUUUCCCAUCUUCAUGUGCUAGAAAAGAAUUUACAGUUAAUGAAUGCAAAGCUCGAUAGAUAGUAUGCAAAAGCUUGUGGCUAGUCUGCACAAACUACAUAAACCUUAUAUUCAUUUUCAAGGAAUUAACAAGACCGGCAAGCUUCCUAACAAAUUUAUUCAUAAUCAAAUUAUGCAUCCCAAUGUUAAUACUCCUAUUCAUAACACAGAGCACACAAGUCUUACACUCAAAAAUAUGAUAUUUAUCUGCUUUUGCUCAGAAGAUAACAAUAUCGGAUGUCAAGUGUUGGCAGGGAUUCCAAUUGACUUGCGUAAGAGCAUAAGUUGAAACAUCAAACAAAAAGGCGGUCUUCUGCCUCCCCAAUUCUUUCCAUCUGGAUAAGAGCCUCCCCAACUCUUCAACUACAUGCACUUUGCUUGCAGCUUUUUGAGACCAGCAUUGCAGGUCUUCUUUUGAGUACCUCCUAUUGUGGGCUCAUUCUGUCCACUUUUUCCUGCAGAAAUAAAUCUAGUUCAGCAAAAUCGAGGCUUCAGGUACUUCCAUUACUUUAAAAAAAAAUUGGUAUUGCCAUAUUUUCUGUUGAUUGUAACUUAUUGUGGAGAUUGAGUCUGUAUAUGAUAUAACAAAAGAAAAAAGAACAGGGCUAUUCACCACAUCACAUGGCAGCAUCUCGUUGCCAUAUAUACGUUAAAGUUUAGUGAGAGAGUAUUUCUGUGAUGAAACCAAACCGUGGGUAAAACGUAUUUGAUAUGAGUAAUCAAUGGACAAGGGCAUUCAUCAGAGACGGAAUCACCCAGUUUCAGGUCCGUUUCUCUCAAAGAUUACAAUAGUACUCACCAGCAUCGUCUUCAAUGAACAUAGCGUAGAGUGAAUUGAUGGAGAUGAUGGCGAUCUUUAUUGUUGGUGUUAACCAUGGAAGGCAAUCAUUGUUGACAUAAAGAUUGCAUUGCACAAGAACGUGAAAGUCGAAUGUGCAAAAUUUACCAGACACUGCAUAGGAAGCAUGGGUCGGUAGCUCUAAUAAAAGAAAGAGUAUAUGCUUGGGUAGGUGAUGUUUCAAAGUGGGCCUUUCAAAAGUGCAUGGAAUGUUGAAGUCGAAGUCGCAUUCUGCGUAGCGAAUGACAGCGUCGAUGCUCUUCACGACAUGCGUCAGUGAGCCUUCCUUCUUGAUACGGGAAGAAGUGGGUGUGCCAGGGUGAACAGGGCGUUGCAUAACUGAGGGCAAUUCAGCACAUGAUUUACGGAGCAGAAAAGAGCAGCUCGGCUCCAGGCAGGCAUGGGCUAAACCUUUAACAUAUUAAUCACGAGCCUCGCUCGCACCAUCCUUCAUUCGACCCAGCUCCAGCGGCAGCGGAUGAUAGUGAAUUGGAGAAGAGGCAAUCCAGACAAGCAUAGAACCCACCUAGUAUGCUGCUCUAUUCUCAGCUUUACACCCAGAUUCUGGUUUCAAGCUUCACGUGGAAGGACACCAGUAGAUGCUGAUGGGCG
Molecule: long non-coding RNA, 92532 nt
Filed under: Eucalyptus grandis
Lineage: Eukaryota; Viridiplantae; Streptophyta; Magnoliopsida; Myrtales; Myrtaceae
Description: long non-coding RNA (EGRA_LNC002209)
Source: RNAcentral